This 125189-nucleotide long non-coding RNA is filed under the name Prunus persica (peach). RNAcentral's name for it is "long non-coding RNA (PPER_LNC001496)". The record is from RNAcentral. Lineage: Eukaryota; Viridiplantae; Streptophyta; Magnoliopsida; Rosales; Rosaceae.
UACAUGAGUGACACAUAUUCACAAAUCGGCUGAUCACUUAUUUUCCAUUAUGACGUUGAUAUAUAAUUUGCAGACUCCACAAAUGAAGAAAAGAGCACAAAUGACGUUGGCAAACCUGAAACUUUCCCAUUGGGCAAUCAAAAUUACUCCAGUCAAAAAAAUUAUGGAACAGGCAAUAAACGUUACUGCAGUCAAAAAAGGUAUGGAAGAGGCAAGAAACGUUACUGCGAUCAAAAAAAGUAUGGAAGAGGUGCUUCUCCAUCUGACAAUCAACUACUCCAUUAUAAAGACUUAGCUAUUUUCUUCUUGGAGAAGGACAUGCGCCCUGGCACAACAAUGAAGUUCCAAUUCUCUAGAAAUUCAAACACGGCUACUUUCUUGCCACGAGAAAGCGCUCAAUCGAUCCCCUUCUCCUCUAACAAACUACCAGAAAUUUUCAACCAUUUUUCAGUGAAGCCAACAUCUGAGGAAGCCAAAACAAUUAAGCAAACAAUCGAAGAGUGUGAAGCUCCCGGCCUUAAGGGAGAGGAAAUAUAUUGCGCCACAUCUUUAGAAUCAAUGGUUGAUUUUAGCACUUCGAAGCUUGGAACAAGAAACGUUGAAGCAAUCUCGACGGAGGUAUUGGAAAAAGGAGCCACCAUGUCCAUGCACAACUAUACAACAAUGCCGGGACUGAAGAAGUUGGCCAGUGACAAAGUCGUUGUGUGUCAUAAGCAGAACUAUCCCUAUGCUGUGUUUUUCUGCCAUGCAAUAAAACAUACAGCAGCUUAUGUUCUCUUCCUGAAAGGCGAUGAUGGGGAGAAGGUUAAAGCAGUAACCAUCUGUCAUCUAGACACAUCAGAAUGGAACCCAGAGCAUAUGUCCUUCCAAAUCGUCAACGUUAAGCCCGGAACCAUUCCCAUCUGCCAUUUCAUUUCCACUGAUGCUAUUGCCUGGGUUCCGAACCACAAAUCUGCAUGAUCAUCACUUAGCACUGUACGUAUAAUUAUCUCCUUACUUAUUUCUGCCUCUUCAUCAUGUGGUGUAAGAUAUAUGAUGAGAUGAAGUUUUUGGGAUUAGUGGUUGGGUUGCCUGAAAAACACAGAUUACAGAAACUGCUUGAAAUUAACCCGAUCAUGUUUUCUCUUGUAACUAUAUAGACUUCAACUUGUACUCAUAAUAAAGCAUGCUAUAUUUAUGAAGAGAUAUUAAUCUAUAUAUAUUUUUUAUAUAUGCUUUGGCUUUGUGGUUCUACCCAAUGUUUGAGUGUUGAAUUGUUACGUUGGAAUAGGCUGCUAAUGCAUGUAGUUAGAGAAGCCUUCAUUUAUAUCAAAGUCCUCAAACUAUCAAGAACUAAUGUAUCCAGAAACAUAUACCAAGACGCAAAACAACAUAUUUUCCAUGCUCUGUCUGUAACACCAAAGCAAACUUCCUUGAUCACAAAAGGAUCAAAUUCCAGUACUAAUCUAAUCCAUCAUGUAAAGCAUACAAGUGCCUCCCUAAAUACUAUACUCUUUUUGUUAUUUCCUACUAUACUAUUUAAGAUUUAAAAUUCAGGUCAACCCAUAGAUUUCUCGCCUUUUUCUUCUUCAUCUCGUCGGGCUUGUCUUCUUCUUGAGGAUUGUAUAGGCCAAGGAAAUGCUUUGAGUUAGUUUUUGCGCUUUUGCGUUUUGGGCCUUGGAAGUUGGGACCCAAACCAACUUCACAAAAAGAAAACGCUCAGACUAUAAUGAGUGGAAAGUUAUAAGGGGUAAGUUAUAAGGAGUUCACUUUAUAGCCAUCAGAUCAAUCUAAGGGCUGGGGAGAAUUGAGAUAAAGUUUUAAAAUCGGGUAGGUGAGGAACCCAAACCCGAAUUGAAUAUCCAGCACGUCCGAAAAAGAAGAAGAAGAGGCAAGCACGUCCGAAAAAGAAGAAGAAGAGGCAAGGUCGAAGUUUGAACAGAAAAAACUCAUCUCUUUAAAACCCAUAGCUCUGAGAAACGGUUGAAGGCAACGGUUAACGACGGUUGUUGAAGCCACUCCGUUCUCCAGACCCUGAAAAAGUAUUUAUUUUGAGUAGAAGGGGCAAAUGUGUGGAUUCCGAAACAGUGAAGGGGCGAAGCAGUGGAAGGGGAAGGAGAGAAGCCGUAUUCGUUGGAAGUGGUAGGUUCCAUUUGUGGAGCAAAGCAACACAAAGACCCCGCACAGACACCUUGCGAUUGUUCAAUAACCAGCAUUUGGUGAGUAAUUUAUGGAAUUUGAGUUUAGGGUUAGAGUAAUGGUUUUCCCCAAUUUGUACCAUCAAUUUUGUUGGAUUUGGCAUCUCUUCUUUGUGCUUCAGUUGCAUGUUAAUUUUUGCUUGGGUAUAUGUUAAAAAAAGAAUGAAAAUCAAGUCAAUAACAAGUGAAUAACAUGUCAAUAAUGAUAUGAAUAAGAUAAUGGUGUUGAAUUGGAGGAGGCCCUCAAAACAUUCCACAUUUGAAGCAGUGCAUAGUGCAGAUUAUCUCUCUGGCGCUAGAAUAUAUAUAUAUUUUGAAAUAAAUAUGAUUUCCUUUGUUACUAAAUUUGCCUGAGAAACAUGAGAACAGAUAAUAAUAAACUCAUGAAUAGAAGUGCAAAGCAUUUGAUGAGUAAUUUAUGGAAUUUGAGUUUAGGCCCAGGAAAUUCCUUGACCCCAAAAAAAAAAAAAAAGUUGAUUUAAAAUUCAGGUCAACCCAUAGAUUUCUCGCCUUUUUCUUCUUCAUCUCGUCGGGCUUGUCUUCUUCUUGAGGAUUGUAUAGGCCCAGGAAAUGCUUUGAGUUAAUUUUUGCAUUUUUGCGUUUUGGGCCUUGGAAGUUGGGACCCAACCCAACUUCACAAAAAGAAAACAGAUUUGCCAAAAAUCAAAUUUCAAGUCUCUCCUCCGAUCGAAAUUUGGAUUUGAUGAACUAAAGUGGUUUUACUUUCUCCAUCAGUGUUUGAUAACUUAAUUUGUUAUUUACUUUUUUUUUAAAAAACUUUGGCUUAUAUAUAUUAGUUUUCUUUUUUCCUUCAUAUUCACCACCUUUAUGUUGCAUAAGUAUUUCAGUCUUAAUGGGUUUCCAUCUACCACUCAUCUUUGCUCUUCUCAGUGUAAGCCUUUUUUUUUUUUUAAAGCACAAGAUUAGAGGGGAGGGGGAUUUCUCAAUGUAAGCUUUGCAGUUUCAUAAUUAAUAUUUCCAAUAUCUCACUGUUAGUAAAAUACAGAAAAAGUACUAAUAACAUAUGCACAUGUUACUAAUUUAUUGAGAUAAAACACCAUUUUGCCCCUAGAAUAUUUUAUUAGGUUUAAAGUUGACUUUUUGACCAGGAAGGAAUUUGGGUAUUUAGACUAUAUCGUUGCGUAGAGCAUGGCGAGAUGAGUCCGUAGACACAUGAUUGGCUCGAAUCAGAGUUAUAAUGAGAGAGAUACGAUCAAAAUACCCUCAGUGGUAUAACCGUAAUUUUGGCUUAAAGGGUUUGAUAAAAUAUAAUUUUUCUUUCUUUCUUUCUCUCUCUCUCUCUCUCUCUCUCUCUCUCCUCUCUCUCACGACGGCAGUGAUAGCCGGCCACUUUUUGGCCAGCCAUGCUCUCGUCCGGCCACUAAAGUUGACGGGGCCGGUACCAAAAUGACCGGGCCACCAUCCUUUUCCAACCCCAGCCAGGCCCCACUGCCAGCAGUCGUGAUUUUGCUGAAAAAUGGAGAAGAAGCGGCCGAUUUCGUUCGAACUUCUCCGACUUCGUUCUCUCUCCUCCGGCCACCGAUUUCGAUGAAUGAGGUAUGGUUUCUCACCUACUUUUUAUGCUCUAGCUGCCUGUUGGGUAGGAUUCGAUCAAUUCCUUGCGUAGGUAGCUUGAUUUUCGAAUUGGAUUUCGGCCGGUUUUGGGAUCUCGAUUCCGGCCACUUCCGGUCAGUUUUUGGGGUACAUCCCAAAACAAAAGUGGUUCUAAAUAGGGUGUUAUACCUAGGGUAGGAACCUUGAACCGUAAUUUUGAGAAUUUUCGGUGAUGCCUAAUCGCUUUGGACACCUACGCUAUGCCUGCGUGUGGGCACUAUAGAAAAAGGGCAUUGUGUCCCGAUGCAAUCCCCUUGUUGUCUUGAGCGCGUAGGUGUGCUCGGAUUUCAAUUUGGAUACCGUUUGAAUCUCGAACGAAUAUCGCAUAUUGUGCGUUAUUCGGGGUCGAUAGGUUUGAACUGUUGGAUAGUCUUAGAUUUAUAAUAUGUUAAUCUAGACAUUCUUAGGAUCGAAUGGGAUUAAACGGAUCGUAAAACGGAGUCCCGGAUACUCCAAAAAUGCCAACCCUAGGGCUAGGUUCCUAGUAACCGUCCGAUCGUGCGAUCGUGAGCGAUCCGACCGUUUGAUCCGAACCAAACUUGCAGGACGUGUAUCCUAAACCUUGUAGAACCCAUAGGAACUUUCGGAUUAGAAUUUGGAGGUCGUGGGCCCCUUGGGCCGUUUGACUAAGUUUGGGUAGUUUGACCCUUGGCUGAUCGUGAGUCUUCAGAGGUCUUGAGCGUUGUUGAGCUAUGUUGACUAGGUUUAGACUUUUAGAGUGUUUAUUAUUAUCAUAGGAAACUAUUAGAUAUUAUUUUAAUAAUUGAAAUUAUCAAAUUUAUGUUUAUGUGCAUGAUUGUUGGUCUAAAAAUAACAUUGUUUUCUUGAUAAAAUUACGUUGCAGUCUACUAUAGACUGGUAUCACUAAAUGGAGAUUACCUCUAUUAUUAGUUUAGAUAAUUAAGAGUAUGUCAGUUUGAAGUGCUAUAUGCACUACCCUAAGUACCACCCUGUGAUUGUUAGGUCCCAUGUGGUGUAGAUUAUACAGCGUCAGGACAGACCCCAUACGUGGCUUUGGAUGUUCUGGCGCAUGGGGGAGAUUAUGUAAUGGUUAGGUCAUACGUGGCGUAGGUUAUUCAGCGUGUUGACAGACCCUAUACGUGGCGUUGGAUGUUCCAGUAUGGAAAGAUUUUGUGAUUGUUAGGUCCCACGUGGCGUAGAUUAUCCGGCGUGAGGACAAACCCCAUUCGUGGCUUUGGAUGUUCCUGCGUAUGGGGGAGAUUAUGUGAUGGUUAGGUCACACGUGGCGUAGGUUAUUCGGCGUGUUGGCUAACCCCAUAAGUGCCGUUGGAUGUAACGACCGGUCCUAAAUAAAUUAGUGAAUAUUAAUUUAUUCAGAGAAAAUACCAUUUUGCCCAUAGAGUAUUUUAUUAGGUUCAAAGUUGACUUUUUGAUCAGAAAGGAAUUUGAGAAUUUCGAUUAUACCGUUGCAUAGAGCACGGCGAGAUGAGUCCGUAGACACGUGGUAUGCUCGAAUCGAAGUUGUAACGAGAGAGAUACGAUCAAAAUACCCUCAGUGGCAUAACCGUAAUUUUGGCAAAAAGGGUCGAUAAAAUCAUAUAUAUAUAUUUUCUCUCUCUCUCUCUCUCUCUCUCUCUCUCUCUCUGCGAUAUUGUCCCUCUCUCUCUUUGAUUCACUGCCAUCUGCCCACGGCAGGACUUGAGACUGGUCACGUUUGAACCGGCUCGAUGUCCCGAUCACGUCGCACCCAAAAUGCAAAUGGAAACCUUGAAUUCCAGCCACGGCUUCGACUGGUUUGAACUGGGUUUUUCCCGGCGUUGCGCCACCGCCUCCGCCGCCCAAUUCCGGUGAAACAGGUAUAAUUCCUCACCUAUUUUUCGAGAUCCAGCUGUUGUUGUGUAGGAAUUAGACGAUUUUCAUGUUUAGGAACUCGAUUUAGAAUUUAGGUUUUGGUCGAAUUUUCAAAGUGAAAUUUCGGCCACUUCCGCUGGUUUUUCGGGGUAUGUCUAAGAACAAAAGUGGUUCCAAAUAGGGUGUUAUACCUAGGGUAGGAACCUUGAGCUGUGAUUUUGAGAAUUUCCGGCGAUGCGUAUUCGCUUUGGACACCCACGCGCCGACAGCGCGUGGGCACUGUAGAAAAGGGGCAUUGUGUCUCAAUGCGAUCUGCUUGUUGUCUUGAGCUCGUAGGUAUGCUCGAAUUUCAAUUUGGAUACUGUUUGAGUCUCGAACGGAUAUCGCAUAGUGUACGUUAUCCGGGUUUGAUAGGUUUGAACCAUUGGAUAGUUUUGAAUUUGAUAUAUGUUAAUCUAGGCAUUUCUAGGAUCAUGUAGGAAUUCAGGGAUCAUGAAUCAGAGCCCCGGAUGUUCCGAUUUAAUAACUUAAAGUUUAUGUUUAUAAUAACUAUCAGAUCGUGCGAUCGUGAGCGAUCCGACUGUCUGAUCUGGACCAAACUUGCAGCACGUAUAUCCUAAACCUUGUGGAACAUAAAAAAAUUUCGGAUUAGAAUUUGGAGGUCGUGGGCCCCGUGGGCCCAUUUAACCAAUUAUGGGUAGUUUGAUCCUUGGUUGACCGUGAGUCUUCCGAGAUAGUUUUACCUUCCUAGGAGGAUUAUAAUGACCCUAGUGAUAGGUCUUGACCGUUGUUCAGCUAUGUUGACUAGGUUGAGACUUCUAGAGUGUUUAUUAUAUUAUUGUAGGAAACUCUUAGAUAUUAUUUUAAUAAUUGAAAUUAUGAAAUUUAUGUUUAUGUGCAUGAUCGUUGGUCUAAAAAUAAUAUUAUUUUCCUGAUAAAAUUACGUUGCAGUCUACUAUAGACUAGUAUCACUAAAGUGGGAAUACCUCUAUUAUUAGUUGAGAUAAUUGGGAGUAUGUCAGUUUGAAAUGUUAUACCCUAAGUACUACUCUAUGAUUGUCAGGUCACCCGUGGCGUAGGAUUUUCCGGUGAGAUGACAGACCCCAUACGUGGCGUUGGAAUUUCCAACGUAUGGAGAGAUUAUAUGAUUGUUAGGUUUCACGUGGCGUAGGAUUUUUCAGCGGGAUGACAAACCCCAUACGUGGCAUUGGAAGUUUCAGCGUAUGGGGAGAUGAUAUGAUUGUUAAGUCACACGUGGCGUAGGUUAUUUGGAGUGCUGACAGACCCCAUACGUGGCGUUGAAAUUUCUGGCGUAUGGAGAGAUGAUAUGAUUGUUAGGUCACUUUGGAUGUUCUAGCGUAUUGGGAGAUUAUGUGAUUACCAGUGAGAUGAAUAAAGGAUUGUUAUGUUAUAUUGGGAAAAACAUGUUUGUAGAAAGAAUUACGUGUGGCUUGAUCCCUCAGUAAGGGUACGUAGGCAGCCUAGGGUAGUGCCUUGGUGCAGUCGCUGACUAAACAUUAUAAUGUUGUUUUUAGGUUUGAUUAUAUGGUAUUAUGGGGCAAGGCCCCUAGGACUAUUGGUGAUAAUUCAUAGAUGGUAGUGGAUGCAUGCUAGAAAUUUGUAGGAAGUUAUUUCAUGUGGAUUGCAGUGGUACUCGUAAAAUUUAUUUGAGUUCCUUAAUUGCAUUGUUAAUAUAUUAAUUUACUUAAGAGUACUGCUAGUAGUUCUGCCUUGAUUUAUUUGAAGGCUGGAGGCCUUGUCUGGAAACUGUGUGCAAUUAGAUUGUGUGUGCUGGCAGUUGACUUUUUAAAUUGUGAAUUUUGUGCAGGUUGAAAUUUGGGAAAUGUUCAAUUUACAGGGGAGACUCUGCUGAAAUUUCGGUAGAAAGUCUUGUGCCCUUAUUCCUUUUUGGGGAAAAGGAUAUAGUUUUAGAAGUGGCGAUGUCGGGAAUUUCCACAGGAUUCGUCUCGGGUUUCGGGAAAUUCGGGGCGGGUCUGAAAAAGUUGUUUCAGUUUUGGCAAGUAUCGGAAAAGACCAAAAUUUUCCGACUUUAUUAUUACUAGAAACAAGGUCGAAGUAUUUACCAAUCAUGUGGCCUUCCAAGUGCUCUAGGUUAAGCCAGGAACCGUUCCUAUCUGCCGUUUCCUUCCCAACUAUGAUCAUGUUGUCUGGGUUCCAACCCACAAAUCUACAUUGGGCUACGUAUUUGAAUUUGUACUAAAGCGUGAUCUAUAGUAUGCAUAUAUUGGAUAAGUUUGAGAUCAGUGGCUUGGGUGUCCGCUGAGCUUGAACAAGUUUGGGUGUGCUGAGUGUUUCCAUGGGUGUGUUGAUGAUCAUGGUUAUUAGAUUUGUGAUAGUUUGGGCUCAAUUUCAACAGAACUCAUCUCAAGCCUAGAUAGUUGAUUCUUAAGUUUAUCAGGAAAAAAAAUUAAAAAUUAAAAAAUCUAAAGUUAAGCCCAAGGCGCCGAACUUGGACUUCUCACCAAACUGUGCAUAAAUUGAAAUAUUUAAUAGAAGCCCAAGAUUUUUGAAGCACAUAAUAUCUACAAAAAUCUACAAAGUGUAAUACUUUACAAACUUCUUAUGUGUACCAAUUUCUGCUCAAAUUAAUUUCUCUGUGGUGCUGAGAUUCAUCAUAAUUUUAGUAGAAAUUGGAAGUUUUCAUCAUUUUUGCUUUAAGUCUCUCCUCCACUCACUAAUAAAGAUUACUCAAGUGAGUUUACAAAACAUUUUUUUUCUACUCUCUCCUGAAGACUACACAUCUUCUCAAAAGAUUAGAUCACUUCACAUCUUGUAUAUGUGAAAACUAAUGCAAAAAGUUGAAACUUUAUCAUAAAACCUCGACAAAAAUUAGCUCUACUUAGAACAUUAAAUUUGGAUUCGUUGAUUUAAAUGGCAAUUUGACACUUCAUAGAAAUUUUUACAUACAUGUGUUAGUGUUUGAUCACUUCACUUAUUACUUACUAUAUUUAUUCCAUGAUUCUCCCUCAAGUUAUGUAAAUAUUAUUAUCAAACAUUUCAAUUCAUUUGUGAUAUUUCUUGUCCAUCUUUCAAUGUACCCUGAAAUCCAUUAGCCACAUAUGAUGACCAAAAUCCACACUCUGUUGUUUGCAAACGUUCAAUAUACGACUUGCAUCCACAGUCCUGACCCAAAUGAAAUGCGGAAACUGUCAAGCUAACUGUAGGGAGGACUAUAUUUGAUUUUACCUUAAAGACUGAUCCGAAACCACCUUCUCCAAGUUUAUUGUUGUUUGAAUAGUUUUUGGUUGCACAAACAACAGCGGCCAAGUCAAAUAAUGGCAAUUCCAGAUCUUCCUUUUGGCCGGGCUUCAGUUCUCCUGUGAAGUACGUAGUGAAGUAAAUAAUGUAGCAUGGAACCUUAGCUUAGAAACCAGAGAGGCAACAGCAAAAAUUUUCUAUAGAACUGAACCUACCUAUCUUAGAAAAUGAAGGGGCAGAAGAGUAGAAAAUCAAAUAGCUUACCAUAUUUUUGUUGCUGGUUCUUCCUCACAUAUAAUAGCAGGGUAAGGCCCAGGGUCAGCAGUCCAGUAGACAACACAGUACUGGUUACUAUGAUCUUUGUAUUGUGUCCUUGAUCUAGGAAUGAAGUAUUUGAAAGCAGAAGAUUGAGGAGUCAGAAAUUCAUAAAGAAAAAAUCUCUACUUUUUAUCAUCCAACGAACAAUUAAUGCUAGUUUCUGAGACAGUUCUAAAGAAAUAUUUUUCUAACAAUGUCAAAAGUUUUCUGGCUCUAUCUUGUUUCUAAUCAUGUCACUGUUGGAAGAUUUCUUUCUUCUUUUUUCCUUGGUGGCUUUUAUUUUUCUUUCAAACUUUGUUUUAAACAGCAAGAUGAUUCCAUACCUAGUUCUGACGAAGCCAUUCUUAUGUAAAUAUCUUGCCCAUUUAUAUUGGAAUAUCUUAUAUCAACCAGAUCGCUGAACCACAGCAAGGACCCCCUUCCUCCAUCUCGGAUAUCCAAAUUUGAAAAAGCGGCGCAGGAGCAGUUGUUCAUGCACAUCAUCUCACAUUCCUUGAGGUUCAUAAUUGUGUUAUACUAGGAUUGUUCUGUACUUUAUUUCACCCCAGUGUACUUCUUAAAGAUGUCUCCACUGCAAUUCAGUUGGCUCUUUCUCACAGAUCUAUAUGACCAAUCCACCAAGUCCCAGUCUUGUUGAAAGUCGGUAUAAAUCCUUUCAAGCAGCUACGUACUGGGGACUUGUCAAUACAACAUGCACCAUUCGGACCACAUAUUCCAUAUUUGUCGCAGAUAUCAGUCGUUGCUCUUAGAUAAACAACCCAACCUUGGUUUCCAUCACUCCCGAUGUAGCUCAGCCCAAAUCCAUCUUGAGUUAACGCCAGCCUGAAAAGAGUUGAGCUGUUGAGAAGCUUAUAACCAUAAUAUACUUCAUCAUCAUUAUCCAACACAAAAUCAUAUGUUGGAUUUAAAUUAUGCAUCCCACUAAAUUGGAUUCCAUUCCAUGGUGCAGUCCGAUAUUUUAUAACAGAACCCUCCCUCAGAAUUAAUUCAUGGUACCCAUAAGGACCAAGUUGAUAUGGGUAAUGUCCUUGAGAAGGAUCCUGGGGGCUUUUCCAGGGUGUAAGAUGCCAAUUAAAACCUGUGAUUUUGUUCCUAACAAGCUUCAUACCUGGUAUUAAUGUAUCUCCUGGGUAAUCAAAACUCUGCCAUAAAAUAUUAUCAGAGUCAUUACGACCAUUGCCAUCUAUCACAACAAGAUUUCCGGAAUCCAAAAUCUGUGCCACUGGAUUCUAUGAAGAACUUGAUGUGUUGGAAGACCUGUAGUGUUCUUUGUUGAAUAUUUGGAUUGCAAAGGGAGCAAGAAAUGUACUGAGAGAGAAAGAGAGAGAGAGAGAGAGAGAGAGAGAGAGAGAGAGAGCAGUGAGCCUUAGAUUGUUCUAACAGUUUUCUUACUCUGCAUGAACAUAGCAGCAGAGCUUAUAUUCCUUCAUGACUGUUACAUGUUCUCUCUUACAUCAGUAGAUUCAAAUCUAACGGUUUGUAAUAGUAAGCCAAUGUGAGUAUGACACAUGGCAAUACACAGCUGUCCUAACAGCUGGGAAUUCAAAACAGACUCUAGCAUUGCACCUGGCAUAUAAGCACAAGGCACUCAGCUAACACAAAGAUUAAAAACAGAUUGAAUAUAAACUGACAUAGAACUUACUAACUAAUCUGAAAUUAGCUAGACAGUUUACAUUUUAACACUCCCUUCUAAAGUGCUAGCUGAUUUCACUCCAAGCAUUCUCCUCAAAUAGUCAAACCUGUCUUUGGGAAGAGCUUUGGUGAAGAUAUCAGCAAUCUGCUCUUCUCCUUUGCAGUAGAGCAGUUCAAUCACUUCUUCUUGUAUUGCAUCUCUAAUAAAAUGAAACUUCCUUUUAAUAUGCUUGCUCCGUUGAUGAAAAACAGGAUUUUUAGCCAUUGCUAUGGCUGAAGUGUUGUCACAAAACACAGUUGUUGCAGUGGUCUGUUCUUCCCCAAAAUCUUCAAGAACAAACCUGAGCCAAAUGGCUUGUGAUGUAGCUUCUGCUGCACUCACAUACUCUGCCUCUGCAGUAGAGAGAGCCACACUGUGUUGUUUGACUGAUGCCCAUGAAAAAGCACCACUUCCAAAUGAAAAUGCAUAUCCAGAAGUGCUUUUCAUAUCUUCCUCAGAUCCACUCCAGUCACUGUCACAGUAACCAACUAAGAGUGCAGAUUUUCCUGUCACAUACUCAAUUCCAUAGUCAAUUGUGCCUUGUAUGUACCUUAGAACCCUUUUAGCUGCCCCAUAGUGCAUCUUAGAAGGGUUAUGCAUGAAUCUUGCAAGCAGGCAGGCAGAGAACAUGAUAUCUGGCCUGGUUGCAGUAAGGUACAGCAGGCUGCCUACAAUUUUUCUGAACAAACUUUCAUCUGCAGCAUCACUUCCAUCCUCUCUUUUCAAUUUAUCAGUAGCCACUAAUGGAGUGCUUACUGACUUGCAGUCUUUGAGUCCAAACUUAUCCAAGAGAGUGAGAGCAUACUUCUUUUGAUGAAUGAAGAUGCUCCCUUCAGUUUGUGUUACUCCCAUACCAAGAAAAUGGUGGAGUAAACCCAAAUCAGACAUCUCAUACUUGCACAUCAUUUCAGCUUUGAAUUCUUUCAUCAUUUCAUCUCUACUUCCUGUGUACACUACGUCAUCUACAUAGAUUGACACUAUUAGUGUUCCCACCUUCCUUUGUUCUCACAUAGAGAGUGGCUUCACUUGGACUUCUGUGAAAACCACACUGAUUCGAGUAGGUGUCAAUUUCACUAUACCAGGCCCUUGGAGCCUGCUUCAACCCAUAGAGGGCUUUUCUUAACCUAUACACCUUAUCCUCAUCAUCUUUAACCACAAAACCAUCCGGUUGAUCAAUAUAAACUUCUUCUUCAAGGACACCAUUUAGGAAGGCUGACUUGACAUCCAAUUGCCAUAGUUUCCAGCCUUUCUGAGCAGCAAGAGCUAUGAGAGUUCUAAUGGUGUCUAACCUUGCUACAGGAGCAAAGGUUUCAUUGAAAUCAAUCCCUGGUUUUUGUGUGUAUCCCUUGGCAACAAGUCUUGCUUUAUGUUUUUGAAUGGAGCCAUCAAGAUUAAGCUUAAUUUUGAAUAUCCACUUCACUCCCACAAUUGGUUUACUACUUGGCCUGUCAACCAAUUCCCAACUGGAGUUUUUCUCUAUCAUAAGUAUCUCCUCAGUCAUAGCCUUCCCCCAAGCUUCAUCUUUGACUGCUUCUUCAAAAUUUUCAGGUUCAAUGAUGCUCAUCUUGCAUUGAGCAUACACUUCACUCAAACUCUUCCAUUUCUUUGGGGUGUUAUCAUAAGUUUCUAAUGGAGCAGAGUCUUGAGUAGCAUGCACAUCAUUACUUGUUUGUGUUUCCAUAGGAGACUGUACAAUCUGUUGCUGUAACAGAUUUGGUUAUGAAUCCAAAUCUGAUACAAUUGAACUUACUCCAUCACCCCAAGACAUAGGGAUUUGCAAUGCCUCAUUGGUUUCCCAAUUCCACAUUGCUUCUUCAUCAAAAAUAACACUCCUAGACAGCUCAAUCUUUUGAGUUCUCAAGUUGAGCACUCUAUACCCCUUUUCACAUACACCAUAUCUUACAAAUACUCCCUUCUCACCUGUGUCUUCCAGCUUGUGCCUUUUCUGUGUGGGGAUGUGAAUAUAGCAUAGAGAACCAAAUAUUCUCAAAUGCUUGACACCUGGUUUUCUUCCACCGAACUUUUCAAAUGGAGUGGAAUUGUCCAGUGCACUUGUAGGACAUCUGUUCUGCAAAUAUACAGCUGUAUUGACAGCUUCUGCCCAAAACUUCAAAGGGAUUUUCUUCUCAUACAUCAUGGCUCUUGCCAUUUCCAUCACAGUACGAUUCUUUCUCUCUGUAACUCCAUUCUGUUGUGGAGAGUAGCCUACUGNNNNNNNNNNNNNNNNNNNNNNNNNNNNNNNNNNNNNNNNNNNNNNNNNNNNNNNNNNNNNNNNNNNNNNNNNNNNNNNNNNNNNNNNNNNNNNNNNNNNNNNNNNNNNNNNNNNNNNNNNNNNNNNNNNNNNNNNNNNNNNNNNNNNNNNNNNNNNNNNNNNNNNNNNNNNNNNNNNNNNNNNNNNGGUGUGGUCAUCAAUGAAGGUGAGGAAAUAUCUGUUCCCUCCAAGAGUGAUGGUCUGCAUUGGACCACAAAUGUCUGAGUGAAUCAGUUCUAGAGGUUGAGUGGCUCUCCAAGCUCCUUCCUUAUCAAAAGAGCUUCUGUGAUUCUUGCUUUCAGCACAACCUGAGCAGACCUUCUCAUGUUCUUGUAAAUUAGGCAUUCCCUGAACCAUAUCUCUCUCUUGUAACAACUUCAAACUAAUAUAGUUUAGGUGCCCAAAUCUUCUGUGCCACAGCCAGGAUGUUUCUCCAACUGUUGCUCUGUUUGCCAUAGGAGGAUUAACAUAGUCAAGAUUUAAAGGAAAACAUUUGUUUCCCUUCAUUGGCACUCUUGCAAUGCAAUCUUCCAACUGCCUAUCUCCAUAGAUAUCAACUGCAUUAUCACCAAAUACAAGCCAAUGCCCAUGUUCUAUCAUUUGACCUACACUUAGCAAAUUUUCAUCUAAACUUGGUACAAUCAUGAUUUCUUUGAUAUAUCUAGUCACACCCUUCAUUUCUAUAGCCAAAGUCCCUUUGCCUAUUAACUGCACUAGAUCACCAGUCCCCAUUUUGACUUUACUCUUCAUACUUUUAUCAACAUUUACAAGUAAUGACUCAUGGGAAGUCAUGUGAUUGCUGCAUGCACUAUCAACAUACCACAUAUUCACAUUCUUUCCAAUUGUUGCAGCAUGACAUGCAUAGAACAUAAUGGCAGGUUCAGUUACCUGAUUUGCAAUGUUAGCAAGUUUCCCUGCCUUGUUUGCUUGGUCACAGUCCUUAACAAAAUGACCAAAUCGAUUGCAGCCAUGACACUUUGGUUUUCCUUUAAACCAACACUCACCAUAGUGUAACUUCUCACAAUGUUUGCAUUUUCCAGAUUUGUCUCCUUGACUUGGUUUUCCCCCUUGAUUGGCACUGUUUUGGGGUUUAGAAUCCCAUUUCUUAUCCUUGGACUUCCAAUUCUUCUUUGAUUUAUUAGAGCCAGAACUAGAACUUGAUUGAGAUCCUUUUGAGUUUAUGCUCAUGCUGCUGAAAGCUUUCUCAGUGGUGCUUUCUGCAUGUCUGUCAAGGCGCUGAGCAAAACCUCUUAAUGCUGCAAUUACCUCCUGCACUUCAAUGGUUUCAAUGUCUCUAGUUUGCUCAAUCACAUAGCAGACUGGAUCAAAUUCCUUGGUUAAGCUUAUUAGCAGUUUUUGAACUAUCCUCCCUUUGGUCAGAUCUUCCCCAUAUCCCUUCAUCUGAUUUACAAGCUCAAGUAACCGAGUGAUGUAUCCAGACAAGAUCUCAUCAUCCUUCAUCCUGGUGUACUCAAAAUCUCGACGCAGACCCUGCAACAUGAUGGAUCUGACUUGCUUAUCACCAUGAAACUCCUGAUGCAAGAUAUCCCAAACACCUUUUGAGGUUUCUUCAUUUGAGAUUCUGGGAAAGAUGUCAUCUGAAACAGCACCUUGGAUAAUACCAAGAGCCUUAGCAUCUUUCAUCAACAAGGACACCAUCUCUGAAUCUGAUGACCCUUCUUUAUCAGCUUUUGAAUCUGGAACUUGAAGGCCUUUCUCAACCAAAUUCCAGAUUCCAUGAGAUUUGAAAAUUGUUCUCAUUCGAAUCUUCCAAAACUCAUAGUUCUCCCCAUUGAAUAUUGGAGCUCUAAGAUCACUCCCUCCUGACCCAGCCAUCUGAGACCAGACUCAAUGAGUUGAGAGUAGGAAAUUUCCCGUUGGAUUUCCAGACUCAGCUCCCACAGCUUCAACGCCCUCUAUCCAGAUCCAACCUGCGCACCUGAUACCAUGUUGAAUAUUUGGAUUGCAAAGGGAGCAAGAAAUGUACUGAGAGAGAGAGAGAGAGAGAGAGAGAGAGAGAGAGAGCAGUGAGCCUUAGAUUGUUCUAACAGUUUUCUUACUCUGCAUGAACAUAGCAGCAGAGCUUAUAUUCCUUCAUGACUGUUACAUGUUCUCUCUUACAUCAGUAGAUUCAAAUCUAACGGUUUGUAAUAGUAAGCCAAUGUGAGUAUGACACAUGGCAAUACACAGCUGUCCUAACAGCUGGGAAUUCAAAACAGACUCUAGCAUUGCACCUGGCAUAUAAGCACAAGGCACUCAGCUAACACAAAGAUUAAAAACAGAUUGAAUAUAAACUGACAUAGAACUUACUAACUAAUCUGAAAUUAGCUAGACAGUUCACAUUUUAACAUUCUUAUGGUCGGCAGGGACAAGAAUUCCAGGGCUGCUCAACUUGAAUACACCUGAUGAACCAGUGAGGGGUGUGUUUCUUUUAGUCUGCACUAUAUAUGCAGGGUCUGACUCUAAUUAGAAGAUAAUUGUAUUAAUUUGGUAAAGCUUUGUCUGUAACUGUCUCGCACCUUAAAAAAAUUUCACAAUUAGCAGCAUUGGCAAUACUUGAUUAGAAAGCAGAAACCCUACAGUAUAUAGUUAAGUUGAGUAGCUGGGAAGACAAUUAGUAAGCUUUCAAUACUAAAGUUGAAUAUUGGGGAGACAAAUUACUAGAGCUUCAAGUUCAGAUAAAUAGGAUGAAUUUCUCUUAAGGGAUCCCCUUUCACUGUAGCUUGGAGUAGAAUUCAUUUUGACACAAUAUCAAUUAUCAAUGUAAACACGUUACUGAUGCACUAUUGACAAUAUCGAUGCACGUCAUAUCAUAUUUGUGGGAGUAAAUUUCCUCACGAGAAUAUUUGGUUCAAAAGAUUCCCCUUUUUUUUUUUUUUGCCGCCUCUUUCUCCUUGCAAAAUAGAACAAAUAAGAGGACCACACCCGGGGGGUGUUGGCCAAAGGCCCUCCGAUGCUAAAUUAGUUCAAGUAUUUGUAAGAAAAAUACUAGCUAACUAGGGUACAGAGGUGUAUUUAAGGUGUAAACCGGGCAGCCGAAGUCUUAUGUAAAAGAGAGAGAGAAAGGAGGUGGCUAGCGUUUGAGAGGAAUUUUCUGCAGAGUUUUUAGUAGAGAUUUCAGACGUACCUCAACCAUUGUGUGUGGCCAUCUUUUUAUAGUGGUCUUGGAGGCUAGGGUUUCAGAGGAAUAAUUCCGUAGAUGGAAAGGAAUUAUUCCUCCCCUAUUUGGAAUUGAUUUGAUUAAUUAGGGAUUUGAUUUAUUAGGGUAAAUCAAAUCCCUAAUUGUGGUAGGUAUCAAAUCAAAUCCUUUUUUAAUUAGGUAACUCCUCAUUUAAUUGGGAAUUGUGGUAGGAAUCAAAUCAAUUCUCAACCUAAUUAGGUAACGUUCAAUUUAAUUGGGUAAUUCCCAAUUAAAUUGAGUAACUCCCAAUUAGGUUGAUUAAUUCCCAAUUAGAUCAAAUAAUCCCCUAAUUGAAGGAAUUAUUUGACCUAGGGUCUGAUUUAAUUCGAUUCCCACAAAUGCCCCCCAGCUUCUGCAUGGUGCAUGGUGGCACGUAGGAGAUGUAAAUUAUCUGUUGGGCUGUCCAGCUGUAACUGGGCUUCCUUCGUGGACCUGGGCUCCCGAGUAGAGGAGGUGUUUGACUUGCCAAUUUUAUGAACACCCAAUUGGAAAGGGUUUGAGAUUCCUUGUAGGUCAAGGAAUUUUGCUCCUUAUAAAUGUAGGGCUCCUCCAAAUUAUUCUCGACAUCAGAAAUCUACUCCUCCAAAUUUGUUAGUGAGAGAGAGAAGACUUUGGAGAAUUUUUCAGCGUGCUUGAGACUUCAUCUUUGCAGCCCAUCCAAGGUAAUUUGAUAGGAAGAAUUUUAUUUUGAGUUGCUAUGACUUUUGGCAGCAAGCUGUGAGACUAAGGGCAUGUCUUGAGGUGCGCGCUAGGGCUUUAGGCAUGGCAAGAGACUCGGAAAGGCUAGCAGGUUCGUUUCCACCUACGCUGGGCUCAAGGAGAAGGCAACAGGGCUUCAGGCCUUGUGGAUGAAGUGGGCUUUCGCUGGGAGCAAGAGGCCUGGAGCUGAGGCAAGGAGACAAUGGGCCUGGUACGAGGUGUGGGCUGAGCAUGCCAGCUUUGGAGCAAGGGGGCCAGGACGACUGCUGGGCAGGAGGUGCGCUGGGCUGCAUGCGCGAGCUGCGCCGAGUGCUGGCUGGAGGAGCGAGCUGGGCUGCGCGCUAGGCCAUUCAUGCUGGGCUACUUCCGUUUUUUUUUUGUUUUUUUUUAAAUUUUAUUUGCUGUUGCUGCUUUUUUUUUUGUUUUUUUGUUUUUUUUUUGUUUGGUAUUCUAACUCGUAAUUUUUUUUUUCUUCUUACAGCUACUUGUUGAUCAACCAUGUCUUCCGGAGAUGGUAGCAAGGCUCCAAGCUCUUAGGUCCUUUUGUAUUUAUGGGGAGGCUCCAUAGUGCAUGGCAAGAAGUUUGUGGUCAACUUGCAUCGCGUCACGACUUAUGCUCAGUUCCAGAAGUGGCGGGCCACUUAUGCGUCUGCCAUUCCAGAUGACGUGCUGGUCAAGCUAUUGAAAUCUCAAACUGAUAACGAGCCUUUGGUGGACGUGAGUGAUCAUGAUGCUAGGAUCAUUACCUUCCGUCCUUUUUACUUCUCUUUAGGCUUCAAAUUCCCGUUGUCAAAGCUCUUCAAGAAGGUGUUCUGUGCCAUGGGGUGUGCUCCGAGCCACUGUACUCAUGUGCUUCAAGAAUUUGAGUCGUUUCUUCAUGUUGGAGCUGACGAUGCGAGAGUUCUUUUAUUUUUUUCGAAGUGAGGCACUUUGAGCGGUACGCCCAAGUUCGUAUCUACAAGGCCAAGCUGUUCCACGGUCUCAGUCAAGGAGAUCACGCUUGACAUGAAGAUGUGUUGGAGGUCAGCAGACGGUGGGAGGGUGACGUCGGUGACGGCCCACCUGUUCCCAUCACCUAUUGUGAUGGUAUGUCUCUUUACGAUUUUUGAUAUGCUCCUUUUAUUUGAAUUUCUUGAAGUGUGGCAGACUAACUUCUAUCUUCUGCUCGUAGUGAGUGACAUUAGCAAGCAAUUGGAGCUCCGACCAGACAUGGCUAAGGUCCGUCGUGCUUUGAACAUCCCUCUAAGGUUUCACGAGUGGCGCUGGCUGUUGAGUGAGUACCGGGAGGAAGACGGUGGUUUUCUCCUUGCCGAGGAUGUCGAAAGGUGGAAGCAGAACGAUCCUGACCCUGAUGAUCUGCUUGGCAGACAGGAAGAAUGUUCUGCUUAAUCGCUCUUAAAGAGAAAGGCUGCUGCCAAAUCUUUGAGAUGUGAAGCUACUUCUUCGCAUGCAAAGGAUGGGUCUCCAUCGAGGAAGAAACCAAGGCUCCCUUCUGCUGAGAAGACUCAAGUGGGGUCUGCUCCCUCAUCAUCUGCCAGGGUUAAGCAUCUCGUGGGUGCAGAUAGCAAGAAGGUUGGUGGUAUGCAUGGUACUCGGGGUGUUCUGCCCAAGCUUCCUGCUGACACGCUCGAAAACCAUGAUAUACUUCGUGAAGUGGCUCGUGCCCAACCUAGUUCUGCCAAGCGUCAAAGAGAUGUAGACAUUCCUCCUAGAAGUUCGAGUUGUCUGCAUCGGUCAAAAGAUGGAGACCGAAGCGGGAGGUCUGCUUAUGAUCCAGCAUUAUUGACUCAUUUGGAGAUGAGGUUGGCGAAGGCUAAGAAGGUGAAAGAGUCAUCUGCCCGGGUUAAGGGUUCUUCCUCGGCGUUGGUAGUUGGUCCCAAGAUGAACAAGUCUAGCUCUGUAGGGGAUGCAUGCGUAUCUGAUCUGCUCAAGAUGAACUUCCUAUCAAACCCGUCCUCUUGUGUUGAGUUGGUUGAUCACAUCCCUCAAGCGGGCGAUCUAGGCACUUUCUCGUGCCUUUCCUUAGAAAAAUGAAGGAAAAUGACAUUCCAUCUGAUUCAAAAAGGACUGGUUUUUGCUACUGAGACUAUUUGGAACUCAUCUGCUAUUGCCCCUCUUCUGUCCAACUCAGCGAGUUGGAGAAGAAGAAUGCUGAUUGGCUAGACAGCUUUCCGCCGAGCAGGCCCGUUACGAGAAGAAGAUGUCUGAUUUGAGGGCGAUGAUAUCUGAGCUGAAAAGCUCCCUUACCGAGAAGGAUUUCGAGCUCAACUCUUCUGCUGCUGAUUUGGCUAGUCGAAAAGAUACCUUCUUUCGUCUUGAGCAUAAGAAUGCUGACAUCUUCCUUAGCUAUAACAAACUCCUGGCUAGAUUUCAUGCCUACCAUAAGUCUGCUAAAGAAUCCAAGACAGAUGGAGCUGCUGAAGGCGUAGCCGGUCAGGUGGAUGCCGAAGAGGCUGCAGCUUAAAAGUCUUCUGCUGGCGUCUCAGAGUAGAUGAAGACUCUUUUUUGUUUCUUUUCAGCUUUUGUAGUUUGCUUUAUUGUUUAGAAUAACUGGUCUUAUUUGACCAUCUUCUUUUUGUUGAACUUGGCUGGUUGGUCUGUUUGUUAGGGAAAUUUCAGUUACAUUUUCCAACUUCAAUUUGCAUAUUUGACUUGUGAACUGCUUAAGUAACCAGCCUGUGUUUUGAUUGCACAUCCCCCUUUAGAGAUUUGUGAGUACCAGGGUCCCCCUUGGAGGACUCCGGCCAUGCACAGUAUAUCUCGUAGGAUGGUUCCCCUUAGGAAGUUGGCGAGUACCAGGGUCCUCUUUGAGAGACUCCGGGUGUGUUCUGCACAUCCCGUAUGAUGCCUUAAUCGUCGCCUUGCUUCUCCCGUAGGACGCUGCUUAUAGGCAACUAUAUGACUAUCCUGCCUUUCUUAGGAAACGGAUAGGAACCUGGAUAUUUCCCGCAUGAAGCAUGGAGACCUCCUUUUAAGAAAUUUUUGGUGCACCAUGCUUCUCCCUUAGGACGCUUUUUUCGCAGGCUGGGUCUCCAAAUGGACGCUUUUAGUCGUUGCCCUGCGUCUCCCUUAGGACGCUCCUUAUGGGCAACUGUGUGACUAUCCUGCCUCCCUUAGGAAAUGGAUAAGACUUGAAUAUUUCCCGCAGUAAGCAUGGCGACCCCCUUUUAAGAAACUCCUGGCGUACCCUGCAUCUCCCUUAGGAUGCUUUUUAAGAGGGCUGCUUCUCCAAACGGACGCUUUUAGUCGUUGCCUAUGUCUCCCCUAGGAUGCUCCUUAUGGGCAACUGUGUGACUAUCCUGCCUCCCUUAGGAAACAGAUAGGAAACUAGAUAUCUCCCUUAGGAAAUUCCUAGCGCACCUUGCGUCUCCCGAAGGACGCUUUUUUAGCUGGCUACGUCCCGAAACGGACACUUUUAGUCGUCGCCCUGCGUCUCCCUUAGAAUGCGCCUUAUAGGCAACUGUGUGACUAUCCUGCCUCCCUUAGGAAACGGAUAGGAACCUGGAUAUCUCUCUUAGGAAAUUCCUGGGGCACCUUGCGUCUCCCGAAGGACGCUGCUUAUGGGAAAAUAUUGUGUUUCGUGGGCAGAUGAGACAUUUUGGAAUGAGAAACUGAACUUAUAUUGAUAUUCAUAAGAUUACAGUCCUUUAUUUGAAAAUGGAAAUAACUUGGUUCAAAAACUUAGAACUUCUAGCAGCUACGAGGAAGCACUAUGGAUAAUACUUUCGGAGAUGGUGAGCAUUCCAUUGUCGUGGUAUUUCCUUCCUAUCCAUGGUGUCCAGUGUGUUGCUUCCUCUGCCCCGGACCUGCUGAUCACAUAAACGCCCUCCCAGUUAGGAUUCACUUUUUUUGACCCGUGUCUUGGUGCAGUAAUGAAAGCCUUAGCACGAGGUCGCCUGGUUGAAACUGUUUGACCUUAGCUCUUUUGUCGUAGUAAGACUUCAACUGCUAGUGAUAGGAGGCGACCCGAAUAAUGGUCUUCUCACGCCUGCCCUCAAGUAAGUUGAGGUUGAGCCUCAUCUGCUCGGAGUUCUGAUCAACACUGCCUACCUUAAGACUUAUAGAGAGGACAGUGAUGUGAGGUGGUAUGAUCACUUCUGUUCCAUAGGCGAGAGAGAAUGGGGUUUCACCAGUCGAUCUUCGCUUGGUGGUGUGAUAAACCCAUGGUACUCUGGGGAGUUCAUCCACUCAUUUCCCUUCAGCGCCUUCCAGCCUUUUCUUUAAGCAGUCCAAUAUGACUUUGUUGGAUGCCUUGGCUUGUCCAUUUCCUUGUGGAUACCUCGGGGUGGACAAGUGUUGUUUGAUCUUGUAUUUCACAAAAAAAGCGGUGAUCUGCUUGCCAAUGAACUGUGAGCCAUUGUCGGUAACCAACGACUGUGGGCAGCCAAACCGGCAUAUGAUGUUUCUCCAGAUGAAUCACUCCACAUCGGCUUCUUUAGUAAAUGAUAGAGCUUCGGCCUCGAUUCAUUUAGUAAAGUAGUCGGUGGGGACGAUCAUCAUUUCUUUCUUGGCGGGCGCUAGUGGCAAGGGAUCCACUAGGUCGAUGGCCCAUUGCAUGAACAGCCAUGGACUGUUUUGCGGAUGAUAGACUUCGGCAGGCAAGUUAGGGAUCGGCUUGUAUUGCUGACAGCGUCACAUUUCUUGGCACAUUCAGCACAGUCGUGACGUAUGGUAGGCCAGAAGUAGCCUAUGUUUAGAACUUUCUGGGCGAGUGACCUGCCCCAGAAUGGUUGCCAUACUCGUCGUCGUGAAUUUUACAGAUAAUCUCAAGUGUUUGAUGGUACUUUAUGCAGGUGAGAUGAAGGCCGGAGUAUGAUCUGUGGAUGAGCUUGUUGCCGUGCAUGUAGUAUCUCUCGGCCUUUUGCUGGACUUUUCUAGCUUCGGACUUGUCCGUUGGCAGGUUUCCAUUCGUGAAAUAGUCGAUGAUGAGGUCUUGCUAGCUGGGGUCCUCGUCAAUCUGCAUGGUAUUAAUCGGCUCUAUUUCUUCAAUGCUUGGUCGGUCAAGGUGUUCGACCUAGAUGGAGUGUUUGAACUGGGUAUCCAGCGUUGAACCUUGGCUUGCCAGUGCGUCUGCAUGCGCGUUCUUUGCCCGGGACACUUGUUGGAUAGUGAAGGUAGGAAAUGCCUUCAACAGCUCUUGGACUCUAUCAAGGUAUAAGAUCAUCCUUGGGUGCUUUGCCAUAUAUUCACCUGAGGCUUGAUUCGUGAUCAACUGUGAGUUUGAGUAGAUGGCUAGCUUUUUGAUUGCGAGCUCCUUUGCCAAGCGUAAGUCGGCGAGUAAUGCCUCGUAUUCUACCUCGUUGUUCGAGACCGAGAAGCCAAGCGUAAUAGCUUGCUCUAACAGGGUUCUAUCCAGGGUGGUGAUAACGACCCCUGCUCCAGCUCCUUUUUGGUUCGACGCUCCGUCUACACGCAACUGCCACAUGUCUCUGGGAUGGCUUGGUUCUGCGGAGGUCCUGUCUGCUUUUGAACUUCCCUCCUUUUGGUUGACUAACUUCUCUUUUUUGGCUGAUGGGGUGAAUUCUGCGACGAAGUAUGCUAAAGCCUGGGCUUUUAUUGCAGUUUUUGGCCCGUAGAGGAGGUCAUAUUGGCUUAGCUCUAUAGCCCACUUCAUGAGUCGCUGAGAAGCAUCAGGGCUGUGGAGGAUUGAUCUCAAAAGAAAGUCAGUCAUGACUAUGACUCGAUGAGCUUAGUAGUAGGGUCGCAGCUUUCUCGCAGAAACUACAAGAGCCAAAAUAAGUUUCUCCAAUUUCGGGUAACGAGUCUCUGCAUCGAGGAGAGCUUUUGACGUGUAGAAUACCGGAUAUUGGGCCCCUAUCUCUUCUCGGAUGAGAGCUGAACUGACAGCUGAGUUGGACUUACCUCACUAGGGACUGGAUUUGAGAGCAUGGAAGGUGAGGUGAGGUAAGUCUUCAGAUUAUGGAAAGCUACUUUGCAGUCCUCAUCCCAUUUCUCUCUUUGUCCUUUCUUCAAAGCUUUGAAGAGUGGUCUGCACUUGUCGGUUGAUCUCGAGAGGAAUCGGUUGAGAACCGCUGCUUUGUCCGUCAGACUUUAUAUCUCUUUCACCGUGGAAGGCGACUUCAUCUCUAGAAUGGCUUUGAUUUGACGUGGAUGUGCCUCGACACCUCGUUGCGUGGCUAGGUAUCCCAAGAAUCGGCCGGAGGAUACACCAAACAGGCAUUUACUUGGAUUCAACUUCAUGCGAUACUGGCGGAGCAAGCUGAAUGAUUGGGUAAGACUUCCGAUGUGAUCUGCACGUUUUGGGGCUUUGACCAGCAUGUCAUCCACGUAGACCUUCAUAGUUUUGCCGAUCUGCUUAUUGAAGAUUUUAUUCCCGAGCCUUUGAUAGGUUGCUUUGGCGUUCUUCAGCCCAAAGGGCAUGACCUUAUAGCAGCAGGUCCCUCUCUCGAUGAUGAAAAAAGUUUUUGCCUUGUCAUCCUCGUGCAUCAGGAUUUGUUUAUAGCUGGACUAGGCGUCCAUGAAGCUAAGCAGUUGAUUGCCAGAAGUGGAAUCCACGAGUUGGUCGAUUCUCGGCAAUGAGAAGUUGUCUUUAGGGCAUGCUUUGUUGAGGUCUGUGUAAUCGACACAAACUCUCCAUUUGCCAUUUUCUUGUUUUGCCACCAAAACAACGUUGGCAAGCCACUCUGAGUAGGAGGCCUCUUCGAUGAAGCCGACAGCUAGGAGUUUGUCAAUCUCGGCCUCGAUGAUAGCAAGUCGCUGGGGUGCGAAGUUGCGUCUCUUCUGCGCCACUGGCUUGCAGGCAGGGUUGAAGUGGAGUCAGUGACAGAUGAUGUUCUUGUCGAUGCCAGACUUGUCUGACGGCAACCAUGCGAACAUGUCUCUGUUGCUCUGGAGGAAGGUGGUAAGCUCCACAUUCUCUUCUGGCCUUAGGCGCGAACCGAUCCACUCUUUCCUAUCUGGUUGGUCAGGAUCCAAGGGUAUUAACUCGACGUCCUCCUUGGGUUUCCAUCCUUCUUCAGGAAAGACCUAUGGACGGAUUUCCUCGACUUGGUCCUGACGCUUUAAUUGCUAUAAGAUAGCAAGAUCCAGUUGCUCAACCUCCUCCAGAUCUGCCUGGCUCACAGGGAGAAACUGCGCUUGUUUACCUUUCUUUAGCCCUUGGGCGGAGCAUUUCCUCGCCAUUGCCUAAUCGUUGUUGAUUUGGCCGACACCGCCCCCAAGGAUUGGGUACCGAAUUUUCUAAUGUGUGGCGGAGGUGAUUGCAUUAAUUUUGCCAAUCGAUGGUCUGCCCAGAAUGCCGUUGUAGGGUAAGACCUUAUUAAUGACCAUGAAGGUUAUGAGCUGAUUAUAAGUGGGGAGUAGACGUCGAGGUCUAUCAUGCCCACGGUAACCGUUGUUGCACCAUUAAAAUCGCUCAGCAACCUAGCUAAUUUGUAAAUCUUUGUCUCCAAUCCCAUCUGUUGAAUGACCUCCAGUUGCAGGAUAUUGGCUGCGCUGCCCUCGUCUGUGUGGAUUCAGUCUACCAUGACCUGAGCAAUUUGAAUGCUGAUGACAAGGGCUUCGUUAUGUGGCAUGUAGAGGCCGAUCAGAUCUUUCUUUUGGAAGCCGAUUACAGGAUCGUCUUCUGCUGGUGGAAGGUCGGUCGAGAUUUGGGAGAUCACAGUGGUCUGUUUGAUCUUCCUCUUUUUUUCCUUUCUGGUCAGCCCAGACUCCUCGGAGUCAGCUAGGAUUGUGUUAAUUCUUAUGACCUUCUGAGGCGGCUCCUUGGCGAUGUCACGAUCUUCUAUCCGCUGGAUGACCUUCUUUGCAAUGAAUUCUGUGCAGUGACCUUCUCUCACGAGUUCUUCAAGAUGUGCUUUCCAAGCGAAGCAGUUGUUCAUAGUGUGUCCGUGCAUUUCAUGGACGGCACAGUAUUUGCUAGUAUUCCUUUUGUCCGGAUCUUCUUUCAAGGGUGGUGGUCUUCUUACCCAAGGUUGUUCUUCACUUGGGCUAAGAUUUGAUGUAUGGAGAUGGUGAACUUGGUGUAGUUCUCUCCUGCCGUAGCAUCCCCUUAUGGGUGCGACCUGCGCUUGUCCUUGUCCCUGUUGCUAAAUCCGUCGCUUCUUUGGCCUGCCCCCUUAGUCGGCUGAUCUUCCUGCUUAGUAGAGUUCUUUGCGGCGAUUCGAUCGUCAUCCCAAAGCGCAUAGCUUUCCGCGGUCUCGUAGACCUCUGCCAAAGUUUGGCUGGGAGUGAUGGUCAGCUCGUGGUACAAGUCGUGCUCAGUCGAAAGGUCUUUCUUGAAAGCAGAGGACGCAAUUUGGUCAUCACAUCCUACAAUGUUGGCCUUUUCUACUUUGAAUCUCUUGAUGUAAUCUCUAAAGGAUUCGUCGAACUUCUUGCGCAGGUUAUACAGGUGGUCAGGGUUCUUCUUGAUUGUUCGGUAAGAGGUGUAUUCUUUGGUGAAUAAGUAAGUCAGCUCCUUGAAGCUGCUGAUCGACCUGGAUGGCAGAGUAUGGAACGAGUCUUGGGCUUCCUCACAAGGUCAUUGCAAACACCUUGCACAUCAGCGCGUCGUCAACCUUGUGGAGGAUCAUGACACUUUUGAAGUGUUUUAGAUGGCUCUCAGGAUCGGAAUCCCCCUUGAAGUGUGUGAAUGUGGGCGUUGAGAAUCGCUUCAGGAGAGCAGCCUGCUCGAUUUUGGCAGUGAAAGGUGUAGAGUAUGCCUGGUCUACCUCAUUUCGUACAUCUUCGAAAUUUCCACCGGUCUUCAAGUCUCGAAGUUGGUCAUUCACAAGCUUCUCUACGUCUUCCGCACACAUUGCUUGUCGGCCACAUUGGCGACCUUCACGAAUUGUUCGAUGCUGACUGACUUCCUCGUUGAUUUCCGAGGAUCGACCUUCUUGUCUGCAUUGCCUAGGUGGAGUGUUGGUGGAUUGCGCCUACGAAAGAUUCUCUGUGGCUUGUCAAUGAGAAUCGGUUCUUCGAGAGUGAGUAACGAAGUGCCUUUCCUCAUGGUCCUUAUUGUGAGGGUUAUCCAGCUGACCUCCCUGGGGCCUAGCCUUUCCUGAAUGCUUCUCUGCGAGUAGACAGUUGAAUGCUUUUCUUCACGAUCCUCGUUGUGAUGGUUGUUUGGCUGACCUCCUUAGGGUCUUAGCCUUUGAUGUACAUUUCCCUGCCUGCCCAAGUAGGUGCGGACGUCGAGUCGUGGGCCCAGCCUUUCGUGCACGUCGUUCCUUAAACUCAAUCUGCUCUGAGUGUGGCUUGCAGAUGCUUGCGACAUGUCGGCAGGUCGAUCACGUUGUUGUCCCUCGACUUGUCUGCCCACUCUUGCUUGACCUGCUUGGUACUCGUUGAGCUGUCUACCGGCCCGUUCAUCCUUCCUUCUUUCCUCGCCUGGUUGUCCAAGGCCAAGGUUUUGAGCAAAGCUUAUUUGGUUGAGGAGCUGCCUCAUUAGAUUGUUUUGGUCGUCCAUUCUUUAAGCUAGCUGGUCAACUCUCAGAUUAAGGUCUGCUUGAUUUCAUGGAUCAGGAGGAGAGAAGUGUGUGGAGCUCAACUGCACAUAGGCUAGGGUUUCAUUAGAGGUGUAUGCGGGAGCGUGUGUCGAGCGUGGAGGCAAUAGAGGGAAUGCUUGGAGUUGCUCCAAGACCGGCCCUAGGUCGGCGGUGGUAACGAGUCCACCUUGAUGGGAAGUUCCACCAUGUUUGGCGGCAGUGACCGAUGCAGUGGUGAGAGGUGGUGGUGCCACCAUGUCGAUCGCGGGAUCGUUGGUGGAGUGGCUUUGGGCCGUCGCAAAUCUAGCCAUCAUGGCGGCUUUGCCUCUCGUGUUCAUGCUUCCAACCAUGGUUGUUUGGAAGGCUUAGGUGGAUUGGAAAAUUAGAGGAACGGAUUCCUUGAGCACGCAUUGAGUAUAACUCGUGCUCUCAAUGAAAGCACCAAUUUGUGGGAGCAAAUUUCCCCACGAGAAUAUUCGGUUCGAAAGAUUCCCCUUUCUUAUUCGCCGCCUCUUUCUCCUCGCAAAAUAGAACAAAUAAGAGGACCACACCCGAGGGGUGUUGGCCAAAGGCCCUCCGAUGCCUAAAUUAGUUCAAGUAUUUGUAAGAAAAACACUAGCUAACUAGGGUAUGGAGAUGUGUUUAAGGUGUAAACCGGGCGGCCGGAACCUUAUGUAAAAGAGAGAGAGAAAUGAGGUGGCUAGGGUUUGAGAGGAAUUUUCUGCAGAGUUUUUAGUAGAGAUUUCAGACGUACCUCAACCAUUGUGUGUGGCCAUCUUUUUAUAGUGGUCUUGGAGGCUAGAGUUUCAGAGAAAUAAUUUCGUAGAUGGAAAGGAAUUAUUCCUCCCCUAUUUAGAAUUGAUUUGAUUAAUUACGGAUUUGAUUUAUUAGGGUAAAUCAAAUCCCUAAUUGUGGUAAGUAUCAAAUCAAAUCCUUUUUUAAUUAGGUAACUGCUCAUUUAAUUGACAAUUGUGGUAGGAAUCAAAUCAAUUCUCAACCUAAUUGGUAACGUUCAAUUUAAUUGGGUAAUUCCCAAUUAAAUUGAGUAACUCCCAAUUAGGUUGAUUAAUUCACACUUAGAUCAAAUAAUCCCCAAAUGGAAAGAAUUAUUUGACCUAAGGUAUGAUUUAAUUCGAUUCCCACAAUAUUUAGAUGCAUAAUUGAAUGCGAAUAAACAUCACUCUCUCCAGUGUGAAAUGGCGAAAAUUCUCUUCAAUCAAAAGUGGGCUUACUUCAAAUUUAGUUGAAGAAUGAUGGUGUGUCUUGCCUGACAAUUGACAAUUAGGUUUAGGAGCGUUCCUCUAGUAGAAAAAUCUAAAUCAUUUGUGGUCAUCCACUCACUUGGUUAGUCUUCCAGAAUCAAAUACCAAAUCAACCCAAAGGAAGCUGCAAUUUUCUGAAUUGUAUACUUGUUUUAAUUCUUCCUAUCUUUUUCUCUCUUUCAUUUUUUUUGUCUCCCUCAAGUUAAUACUUAAGUGAGUUGCCAAAUGGGGGUAAAAAAGAGAGUAGAAGAGAUGAACCCCACAUUUGACUUUAAUAGACAAAUGCCCAAGAGAAGUACCAGUAAGAGCAUCUCCAAUUGGGAGGUGCUAUCCUAUAAUUUGACACACAUUUCUUUUUUCUUUUUUUUCAAUUCUAACAACAUGUCAUCUAUAUCGCAAUAGGCCGUUGUAGUUAAAUUUUCAAAUAACCAAGUUGCUCUCUAUUUUCCAAAGAAGACUAGAAAACAACUUACCAUCUAUCUGGUGCUGCUUCUUCCAAACAUUAGAAAAAACAGAGCUACACCCAGGAGGAGCCCAGGAGAUGACACAAUACUGCCUACUAUGAUUCUUACUUUCUUCACAUUCAAUGAGACUAUAAAAUAUAACCCAAGUGGUCUAACCCCCCAGGGCGGAAAUUGGGUUUAGCAAGUUUAGCACUGAUUGUUGUAUAGUCUUAAACAGUCCUGAUCUCUUGGACCCCUGUAGUCCAAGAGAUUUAUGGUCACCCACCGUUGGAUGUAAAUUCAACGGUUGACUUGAAUCGGGUAAUAAUAAUUUAUGUCAUAUUGCAUUUAUAUAUAUCAUUUUGAACCAUUGGAUUAAUAUCCAACGGUGGGUGACCACAAUCUCUUGGACUCCUGUGGUCCAAGAGAUCGGGACUGUAGUCUUAAAAUAAGUAGUUUAGCGAGUGCAAACUUCGACUUAAAAAAACUCUCAUGUAUAGCCGCGCGGCUAUACUAUUUACAUAUAAAUAUAUAAAAAAGCACCCCCUAGUCACGUGUCACAAAUAGUAUAGUCGAAAACAGUAGAGCCGCGCGGCUAUACUGUUUUUAAAAUAAAAAAAACCAUAUUCGAUUCUCCUUAUAUUUAAAAGGGGUAUAGCCGCAUGGCGAUACUAAUUUUUUUUUUUCAAAAAAAGGGACCCCAGUACUCCUUUUAUAUAUUAUAAUAUAUUGUCUAAUAUUUGGAAUAUUUACUCUAAAAUAAACAAUAUAUUAGGUUCUUUUUGUCUACAAAUUGACCAUUAAACUUCUUAAUCACUCUUAUACUUUCAAUUAAAUCUACUAGGCUAGGUUAUGAUAUUUUCACUAAAAAACUCCUCCUUUUUUUCUUCUCUUUCUCUUCCUGUUUUGUUUAACUUAAGCUUAAGUUUUGUAAUUUUUUUUCCCGCCCUUUUUACAUGUUUGAGUAGGGUACUUUAAUAUUGGGAUUUAUGAACUUUUUUUGUAUUUCUUCUUUAUAUUGGAAUAUAAAUUAUUAACUUUUGAGUCUUUAAUAGUGUAGAUGAUGAGAUUAUUAUUCAACCAUUUUAUAAUAUGAAAUGAAGGACAAUCAUGAUUGUGAUGAAUGGAUUAUUAAUCAAUAUGAAAUGAUAUUAUGAAGUGGGCUAAAUCGAGUAGUUAGUAUCGUAUUGUUGAGACCCAAAAAAUCCAAGGCUAGGCCCAAAUAUAUUAUGAAGUGGGCUAAAUCGAGUAGUUAGUAUCGUAUUGUUGAGACCCAAAAAAUUCAAGGCUAGGCCCAAAUAUAUUUCCGGUCCAAUGCGAUACCUUACCGAGAAGAAACCUUAUUUGGGCACGCGAAAGUUCGUCAUAUGCUCUUGCACACAUGCCAUGCCAAGCAAAUAAGCAACAUGCCACGCUACAAGCUUAAGUGGGCCCAAGCCACGUGAAUGCCUAGGGCCUGCUGAGUGGGUUGUGGUAUGGAUGGUUAUGAGUAUUCACGAGGCCCAUUGAUGGUCUAAGGAGUGGAAGUUUUGGGCUACUUGGGAGCACCAAAACUCAAGCCCAUUCAUUGAGCCCAAACAUAUGGGUAAGCAUGAGAUAAAACCUAGUAGCCCAUCACCUUAAGAAAUCCUAAUAGCCCAUAACAUGUGAGAAAAUCCCACAUCAACCAAAGCUUCCAGCAGUCUGACGAAAUCAAAGGGAACUCACAAGCCGUUGGAAACAAAACAACCCAACACUGUAACACCCCGACCCCAAAUUUCCCCAAAUUUAACCCUUAUUUAAUUAUUUAAGGGUAUUUUAGUCAUAUUUUUAACCGGAGAGAGUUUGGGGCAAUGACUAGUAUUUUUGGAUAGGUCGUACUGAGACGAGUUUAUGGACACGCAGUGAGCUCGAAUCGGAGUUGUAACGAGAGAGAUAUGGUCAAAAGAAGCCCAGUGGCACAAUCGUAAAUAUUUUGAAAUGAGAUUUUUUAUAAAAAUCUGGUUUUCUCUCUCUCUCUCUCUCUCUCUCUCUCUCUCUCUCUCUCUCUCUCUCUCUCGCUAGCGACCUCUCUCUCUCUCCCCCGUCGGUCUCUCCCCUCUUUCUCCUCGUAACUCCGGCCACCGGCCCCGGCUGUGGACGGGGCCGGUACCAAAAUGACCGAGGCGUCGUCCUCUUCCUACCCCAGCCACCUCCCACCGCCAGCCGUCGCGGAUUCGCCGGAAUCUGGAGAUGAAGCGGCCUACGUCGUCCAAAUUUCAAAGCUGCCGAUCUCCCUCCUCCGGCCACCAAUUCCGUCGACCCAGGUAUGGAUUUUGAACUUCUCGAGCUGCUCUAGCUGAUGGUUGGGUAGGAUUAGAUCGAUUCUUAGCUUAGACAACUCGAUUUUCAAAUUGAAAAUCGGCCGAACUUCGGCUGCCGUGAUCGGCCAUUUCCGGCCACUUUUUGGGGUAGGUCCAAGAACAAAAGUGGCUCCAAAUAGGGUGUUAUACCUAGGGUAGGAGUUUGGAGCCGUGGUUUUGAGAUUUUCCGGCGAAGCGUUAUCGCUUUGGGCACCCACGCGCUGCCGGUGCGUGCGGCGGCGCGUGGGCACUGUAGAAAAAGUAGCACUGUGUUCCGAUGAGAUCCUUAGGUUGUCACGAGUGCGUAGGAUUUUGCGGAUCUCAAUUCGGACGUCGUUUGACUAUCGAACGGAUAUUCGCAUAUUGCGCGUUAUUCGGGUUCGAUAGGUUGGGACCGUUGGAUGGACCCAAAUUUAAUAUAUGUUAAUCUAAUUAAUUCUAGGAUCGUGUAGGAAUUCACGGAUUGUGAAUCGGAGCCCCGGAUGUUCCGAAUAAUAAUUUUAAAGUUUGUAUUUUAUAUUAAUUGUCAGAUCGUGCGAUCGUGAGCAAUCUGACCGUUCGAUCUGAACCAAACUUGCAGGACAAGUGUCCUAUACCUUGUAGAACCCAUAGGGACCUUCGGAUCGGAAAUUGGAGGUCGUGGGUUCCGCAAGUCGGUUUGACCAGGGUUAGAGAAGUUUGACCCUUGGUUGACCGUGAGUCUCCCGGAGUAAUCUCACCUUUCUAGGGGAGAUUAUCGGGUACUAGAUGAUUGUGGACACAAUAUUAGAAUUAAUUUAUAUAAUUAUAAUUAUAUAUGGUUGUACAAGGGUACAACAGAGUCUAGAAUGUCAGUUUGGAGUGCUAUACGCACUACUUUAGGUACCUCCCCGGAUGUUGGGAUUUACUACAAGUACCACCAAGUGAAAUUGAGGUCCCGCGUGGCGUAGGUUAUCCAGCGUUGGGAUAGGUCUCAUACGUGGGGUUGGUUGUACCGGCGUAUGGGGAGAUUUGUGAUAUUAUGUUCAGGUCUCACGUGGCGUAGGUUAUCCGGCGUUGAGACAGGCCCCAUACGUGGUGUUGGUUGUACCAGCGUAUGGGGAGCUAUGUGAUAUUGUGUUGAGGUCGCACGUGGCGUAGGUUAUCGGGCGUGUCGACAGACCCCAUACGUGGCGUUGGUUGUACCGGCGUAUGGGGAGAUUUGUGAUAUGAAAUUGAGGUCCCACGUGGCGUAGGUUAUCCGGCGUUGGGACAGGCCCCAUACGUGGCGUUGGUUGUACCGGCGUAUGGGGAAAUAUGUGAUAUGAUGGCAUGGUCGCACGUGGCAUAGGUUAUUCGGCUUGUUGACAGGCCCCAUACGUGGCGUUGGUUGUACCGGCGUAUGGGGAGAUUAUUUGAAAUGCAGAGAAACGAAAUAUGGUAUCGCCCAAAUGUGGAAUUGGGUUUUAGGGAAGAACUACGUGUGGCUUGAUCCCUCAAGGAGGGUACGUAGGCAGCCUAAGGUUAAUAGGUGCAGCCGCAGACUAAAUGUUAGUCAUAAUUGAUAUUUGAAUUGUUUGGUAGUUGGUUAAGAAUUAUUGGAAGGCCGAAGGCCAUUUGUGUGAAUUGCAUGAAAUUAUAUUGUGCAUGCUGCCAGUUGGGAAUAUUAAAUGCGUUUUUAUGCAGGUAUAAAUUUUAGGAAAUGUCCAAUUUAUAGGGGAGACUCUGCCGAAUUUUCGGCAGGAAGUCUCAGUUUUUAGUAUCUGGGCCUGGCAUCGGGAGGAUGUCGGGAAUUCCAAAGGGUCGUCUCGAGUUCUGAAAAAUUCGGUGCGGGUCCUUUCAAACACCUUAUAAAAUAUCCAACGCCGUGCAUCUCUGUUAAAACCAGAUCACAGCCAAACCACCAAAACCAUGCAAACCCAUAUGCUGAUCACCAUUUUUACUAGCACCCUUACCCAUUCUUUCCUCUUCAAGCUUUGGUGAGAAAACAAGAAACAAAAGUGGGCGGAUCUUCACCCACAUGGAGAAAUCCAGCUGCCUGAGGGCCCUGGAACUCCAAAAAACUUCUUACCUACAUGCUCAGGCUAGGGAAGUUUCACCAAAUAAGCAAGAAUGGAAGAAAGUGAAGGAAAAGGGGAAAGGGUGGCUUGACGAAAUUAAGGUUUUCAGCACUUAUAAAAGGAAACACUUUCUAUCCAGCAAAAACAACUCACCCUGGUUGCUGCAAGCCUCCUAGCAACCAUGAGAAUUCAUUGAAGGCAAGCAUCCCCUUUGGAACCCUUCAAUUUCAUGCUUUGUUCUUCCAUCUUCCUCCUUUCUCUCUCUCUCAAAACCCACAUCCAGAGAGAGCAAGCAUCAUCUCUCAUCUUUGGAACCCUUCGAUUUGAAGCCUUGUUCUUCCAUUGCUUCCCAUUUUCUCUUCUGUCAAAUCACCUAGGAGCUUGACGAAACUUUCGUCAAGCUGCUGGAAAUAUGGUAAAGCCACCCAUGCUUCCAUCUUCUUCCUCUCUUUCCAUAAACACACAUCCAAAGAGCAAGCUUCAUCUCUCAUCCUCUAAACCUCUGCAAUUUCAAGCCUCAUUCCUCUAUCUUCUCCCAUUUUCAGCGGUAGUGAGAAUGAUUUCUGCGUGUGCAUGGGAAGGAUUGUAACUCAGAUGAGGAGGAGAUGGUUUGGAGUGGGGUGAGGCAGUUGGAUAGAGCUCUUGGCCUUUUCAAGUUUGGAUGGGAAAGAGCAGGGAUGAAAGAAGCUUUACAACUGCAAGGGCAUAUAUGGUGCGUAGGGGCUGAAGGCAGAACACUUACAUAUAGAGGAAACACAUUUUUUGUCCAUGGGAUUCAUGUUUGACAAACACUUGUCUUAGACUAUGAGUUCAAAUUUCAAAACCUUUUUUUUUUCUUUCUGAAAUCAGGACCAGUGUGGAGAACUAGCAAGGAUUGGAGAAACAGAUUUUUGGGCGUCACUUGACCACAGAUUGUUGAUUGCUCAAAUGUGUAGAAUUGGCCAUCUUAAAUGUCAAAAUGAUUUAUCAAUUGGGGUUUUUUUAGAAACGUUUAUGUUUGUCAAUAGAGACAGAAGUCAGAGAACAUAAACCUUUCUCAGCAAAUUGAAAUUCUCAGUGCAUGCUCUGUUCUUCCAUGGCUUUCAAACCUUCUCUGCCACGGUGAAAUGGAUCGAUAGAGAUAGUUUAGGCCGUUCCAUUUGUUUGAUGAAGCAUUCGUUCUAGGGAUUCUGUAUAUUCAUAACAAAAUCACUAGAAUGAUUCUUAGAAAUUCAUCACUGCUAAAGGCAAUGGGUUCAGCAUAAUAACUUCUUAGUCUUGCUUCUUGGUCCUUUAUUUUCUUUGCAUAAUACUCCAAGUUUACCUGGGUUCUACAGAGAAAAUCUCGUAGAUACCUCUUUUUGUGGUCUUCCAUGGCAUUUAAGUGCUGCUUUCCAUGGUGAAGUGGGCCUAUAGAGACUACCUGAGGUGUGUAGGCUUUGUCAUUUCCACGCCGUAAUCGCUCAGGAACUCUGUAGAUACACCUUCAAGGGGGACAAGGGAGACAAACUAUCCAAUUCCUUGCGCCUUACAAAUAGAUCGCAUGGGUUUUCUAUUUCAUCUGCAGCUUCAUCAAUUCCUUCCAUUUUUCUCCUGAUCAUCAUGCGCGGUGAUUCAAAUAUUUCAUAAUGAACAUUGAAAUGAGAUGCUACAAGCAAACUUAUGAAAAGAAACAGAAAUACCAAAAAGACAAAUCAAUGUAGAUGGUUUAGAAAAUCUAAACAUUGCAAUUAUACUCCUUUGCCCAACUUCUAGGAGCAAACGUACACAAAGACCUUAUUGCUUCCAACUUUUCCAACAGAAUUUCAUAUGAAUUGCUCCAAGUGAAAUCCGUAUGAAAAAUCGGUAGUUGGAUUUUCAUCCUGCUUUAAUAUGAUUAUUUAACUUCUAACAAAAAAACUCUUAUUACUUGAGCAAGUAAAAUACUAUUCCAGGUUUCUCCUAGUUCUAUAUGCGCUUAUAAUUGGUAUACUCUAUAAAUACCAUAAUCUGAAUUUCUCUGUUUUGAUUACUUUAAUUUAUUACUUAUGUUUUAAUUAUUGUUUACUUAGUGAAUUAUUAGUAUUUAAGAGAAGGCCUUCCAUCGAUUAGGCACCACGUGUCUAUAAUAAGUAAAGCCGUCCGGCUAUACUUAAAAAAAAAAAAAAUUGUAGUAUAGCCGACCGGUAUAGCCGCGCGGCUAUACUAUUUAAUACAUUAUAUUUAAACGGUAUAGCCGCGCGGCUAUACUAUUUAAUAAAAUAAAAAACAAAAGAAAAAGAAAAAUUACCCUCCUAUUUCAUUAGUUUGUACUUUAUAGAUACUAGCCCCUUGACACAUGCUCACGCAUGUGCCAAUUGGUUUUCUUUUUCUUUUUUAUUUUUAUUUUUAGAAUUAAGAAAAAAUAACAGGAUAGUUAUGUUCCAUAAAAGUAGGACCUAUUAUCUUAUUUUGUUUUUAAUUUUAAUUUUUUUAAUAUUAAAAAAAUAUGAAUUUACGAUAUUAUCCUCAUUUAAUUAAUAAUUUCAAUUCUUAAUGUUUGAAUUAACAAAGGGCAUUUUCUGGUAUUUUGAAUGUUUCACCAUUCUCUGCCUUUUGCUUUAUAUAUAUAGAUUAAUUUGCCAGUUUCAAGAUAUCCAAAGUACAUAUUAGACUUUCACUAUAUAAAUUUCAAUAUAUAUUUUUUAUAACAUGUGUUGUUCUUAUUCAAUAAUAUGUGAGAAUUAUUUGUAUAAUACGUGAAUUUUGUGUGUCUUACUGAAUUUUUUUAAAUACGUGUAUUAAACGUUACAAAUACGUACAUAUAUGUACAACACGACUAUUGUAAGUUUGCUAUAUAAAAAAAAGUGAGAUGUAUCUAGAACACGAAUGUAUUAUCGAAAAAUAUAUAUGUAUGUAUAUAUAUAUAUAUAUAUGUAAAAGCCUAUAGCCUCUCACCUAUACUAUUUAUUAAAGACAAUUUAAAAAUUACAACAACAAAAAAACCAGUACAGCCACAAAGCUAUACUAUUUUAAAAAAAAAAAAUAGAAAAAAUAUCAAGUACUACACAGGGCAAAGGCCCAGUGUAAAAUAGUAUAGCCGUACGGCUAUACGUUUUUAAGAAGAAUUUAAAAAACUAAGUAUAGCUCACCGACUAUACUAUUUUUUAAUAUAAAAAAACAACCCCAUCCAUUAGGCGCCACGUGUCAACAGAAGUUUAUUUUUAAAAAAAAAAAUUAAAAGACAAGGAGUAUAGCCGGGUGGUUGUACUAUUUUUUUAUUUUAAAAAGAAGACAGUCCAUCGAUUAGGCGCCACGUGUCCAUAAUAAGUACAGCCGCUCGGCUAUAUGUUGGAUAUUUUGAAACUAGCAAAUUAAUAUCAAUAGCCGGUCGUAACCUAUGCUGUCCACGUCACUCAUGUUUUACCAGAGUUAAAGCAUCCACAAUGAGCUCCCCAAACCAUCUCUUUAGACAAAUUUUAGGGAGAAAUUGGAAAAGUACAACUCCAACCAUGCUCCCUAUCCACCAACUAAAAUAGGGAGACCUCUAGGAGCUCCUAAAUCUGAGGAGAGGGAAAGGACUCUUAGUGACUCCCUAUAAUUUAAUGUUGCUUUGUUUUAUGCAUAUUUUAAACUUUUAAUUAAAUCAAAUUAUUAUUUUAUAUUAUUUUGUAUACAGAUGGACCAAUUAUAUUAAAUUAAAAAAUAAUUAAAGUAUUUGUGACUCUCUAAACUAAGGAGUAUGAUUAGAGUUCAAAUUUUAUAAAAAGCUCUUAAAAUAGCUUUUGUGUGUUUUUAGCUAAAUUUUAACUAAAAAAUUUGAAGAUUCUUUAUUUGGGUUUCUUUCAAGACGAAAACCAUAUCCACAACAGACAUCUUUGGCUGUUCAUCACAAUUGAGAGACAAUGAAGAAGACAUAAGGGAGAGGCUGCCAAAUACUUAUCACCUUAGCCACCACCAACACCACAAGACCAAUAUGUGUAGGCCAGGAGGCUUUCCAAUUUUAAUAUAUAUAUAUAUAUAUAUUAAAAAAUAAAAUAAAAAUCAAUCUAUUAUCAUAUAUAUUAUAAAAUAAAGAUUAUUGCUCCAUCCUCCAUGCACUUGCGUGCCCUCUUACAAAGUAUGAAGUAGAUUUUGUUAGCUGGAUUUAUAAGAUCUUUUGUUUUUUGGAAAUUUUCUGAAAUAAGGAAAAUCAAGUAAAAUUAAUAAAGCAUAAAUUGGAAAGGGAAAAUAUCUAGAGGAUGCAUUGUAGGAUUGCUCAAGCCAAUAAUUGUACCCUCUAAAUAUAUAGGGACAUAUUUUUUUUGUUUUCAUGACAUGUCGUCCUAAAAUUAUUGUUCUUAGCGGGCUCUCCACCCCCUCUCGAUUGAAAACCUAUUGUGUAAAUCUUCAAUCCUGAAUUAGAAAAGUACAACUCCAACCAUGCUCCCUAUCCAUCUCCUAAAAUAGGGAUACCUCUAGGAGCUCCUAAAUCUGAGGCGAGAGAAAGGACUCUUAGUGUCUCUUUAUAAUUUAAUGUUGCUUUGUUUUAUGCAUAUUUAAACUUUUAAUUAAAUCAAAUUAUUUUUUUAUAUUAUUUUGUAUACAAAUGGACCAAUUAUAUUGAAUUAAAAAUAAAUUAAAGUAUUUAUGACUCUCUAAACUAGGGAGUAUGAUUGGAGUUCAAAUUUUAUAAAGAGCUCCUAAAAUAGCUUGUGUGUGUAGGGGUCUUUUUCUUCUGGCAACUACAGAUGGGUUGGGCUACCGUAAGGAGCAAACUGAAGAAAAUAUCCCCUGUGUCUGAGUUCAAAGAUUCGGCCCCAAAAUAUUUCGAAAAGGCAGUAAAGCCUUAGGAAACACCUUAGUUACCUUCACCAACGAAAAUGACGGCUGCUUACAGGUAGAUUCUUAGUGCUUACAGAUGAAUUCUUAGCUUAGCAUGAGGAGAUCGUGGCAUGGAAGCAAAGUUAGCAUGAGUUUAGCACUAAAGAGAAAAUUAUGUGUUCUUGGGAGGAAGAAGGGGUGUCCAGGUAAAUGGGAAAAGGUUUUGCAAGUAGAUUUGGCUAAGAGAGAAGGGAGAGAGAGAAGAGGGUGGCUAGAGUGCUUCUUCCGGCAGCUUGACAGUGACUCUGUCAAAUGUUAGAGCAAUCUGCCAUAAGAGGGAAAAUGGGGAAGAAGGAUGAACAGUGCACAAAAUUGCUAGGUUUUUGCAAGUAAGAGAGGAAGCUUGCUCUCUGGAUGUGGAUGAUCCGUUGGGUAGAAGAGGCCCCAUUUUAUAGCCGCUGGAAACUAUCAUUUCUCAAGAAACCCUAAUAGUUUCUACCCAAUUUGGUCAAGCUUUUCCCUUCCUUUCUCAUCUCCUCCCUUGACUUUUCCUAUCUUGGUGAAAUUUCCUCUGUCUAUUUGCACAAAAUCAGGAGCUCAAGGCCUCCCUUUCCCGCAACUGUUCAAUGGGAGACUCCAUUCUUAGCUAUUUUUCUUCUUCUUUCCUUCCUCCUUCCCUGACCAAAUCUGAUGAAGGAAAGCAAAUAGGUGCACACAUUGGUUUGAAGGGUGCUUCUCCUUCUAGCAGCUUACAUGCCAAUAUCCCUUGGGUCCUUGCAUGUUUUUUGCUUUGAAACUUGUUUCUUCCUUCCCGUCAACUCACGUGGUCUUCCAUGCUUCUUCAUGGCUUUAUCUUUCAGCCAAAAGAUGGAGUUUUUACUGCUUGCUACUUUUAAUUGUAUGGGUCUUCUAGGAUAGGAAGUCAACCUACCAAACAAAUGGGCCACCUUUAUCAAAUAUUGGGCUGUUGGGGUUAGUUUUAGUGGGCCAUUUUGACUGGGCUUUUUGGUUGGGUUAUUUAAGUUAUUUUCCCUUUUGUGCUCACCCAUGUAUUUAGGCCUAAGAAAUGGGCUUGGGCUCCGAGUCUCCCAAGCAACCCGGAACCUCCAUUUCUUGGCCCAUUAAUGGGCCUCAUGACAACCUAUUACCAUCCAUACCACAACCCACUCAAGCAAGCCCCGGGCAUUUGAAUGGCUUUGGCCCACUUUAGGCUUGUAGUGUGAUUGGGUGUGGCAUAACGAUUUCUCGCUUGGCAUGGCAUGUUGCUUGGCAUGUUUUUUCAUUACGAUGCUUGAUGGAUUUGUAGAGCUACCUAUUUUUAUGAUCUUAAUCUUGAUUCCUAGCAUGACAAAUUUAUUUAUUUGGCAUGGCAUGCGGAGCGUGACUUGUGCGUGGCGAGUUUUGUAUGCUCCAACUUGGGCCUUUCCUAAAUAAUGUAUCAUUUUGGGUUAUGAAUUCUUUCGGGCCCAACCGUGAAUUUUUUGGGUUUCAACAGUGUGUUUUUAGCUAAAUUUUAACUAAAAAAUAGGGAGCAUGAUUGUAGAUCAUCUUAUAUACCUUAAUUUGAAGAUUCUUUAUUUGGGUUUCUUUCAAGAUGAAAACCAUAUCCACAACUGGCAGACAUCUUUGGCUGUUCAUCACAAUUGAGAGACAAUGAAGAAGACAUAAGGGAGAGGCCGCCAAAUACUUAUCACCUCAGCCACCACCAACACCACAAGACCAAUAUGUGUAGGCCAGGGGGCUUUCCAAUUUUAAUAUAUAUAUAUGGAGUGAAAAAAAUAAAAUAAAGAUUAUUGCUCAUCCUCCAUGCACUUGCAUGCCCUCUUACAAAGUGUGAAGAAGAUUUUGUGUGCUUCAAGUCAUUGACUAGAGCUGAAACAUGGUUAGCUGGAUUUAUAAGAUCUUUUGUUUUCUGGGAAUUUUCAGAACCAAGGAAAAUCAAGUAAAAUUAAUAAAGCAAAAUGGAAAGGGAAAAGAUCUAGAGGAUGCAUUGUAGGAUUGCUCAUGCCAAUAAUUGUACCCUCUAAAUAUAUAGGGACAUAUUUUUUUUGUUUUCAUGACAUGUUGUCCUAAAAUAUUUGUUCCUAGCGGGCUCUCCACCCCCUCUCGAUUGAAAACCUAUUGUGUAAAUCUUCAAUCCUGAACGAUGCUCCUAAAACUCAAGUGUCCCAGGCCAAUUAUUGCUCUCAUACCACUUGUUGCAAUACACAUCCACUCAUUCUCAGGGAAAGAAACCCAUCGAUAUUAUCUCAAAUUUAACCACUUUAGUCUAUUAUGAUUAACUAUGUAUUUUAUGGAUCAAUGCAGUUGUGAGGUUUUAUACCCAAUUAGAUCGACCAAUACAGAGAUCACAUGUGGACUGAAAAGCGCCAUCGGUAGGGGAGUGUUUGGCACCCUUUACUGCCGAGUGCAACACAAGACCCCUUACCAGGAACUUAUCUACUAGGACACGUGAAGCCACCACAAGUAAUAUCAACAGUCCCACAUCGAAGUUUAACAUAACAUGUACACUCCCCAGGACUGAUAAAAGUGGGCACAAGUCCCAAAAAUGGGGGAACUUGGACUUUCAGCAAUUCAUCCAUUAUUAUGUCCAAAUUACUAUACACUCCGUACUUAUUCUUACUUAAGCAUUGGAGAGCCUUCGGCCGGUACCACACCAGUGCCUAAGGGCUUACCGAGCGUUCUCUAUCUUGCAUAUUGAUCGCUCUACUGAAGCCCAUAAAGAGUUAAAGGUCAAGACAUCACUAAGUUGAGCCCAAAAGUGCUGAACCACAUCAAAAAUAUGUAUAGAUUGAAAAAAUAAAAUAAAAAUCAAUCUAUUAUCAUAUAUAUUAUAAAAUAAAUAUUGGAUAAAUUACUCAAAUGGUCCUCAAACUUAUACUCGAUUUACAUUUUGGUCUCUCAAUUAAAUUAUUUGUUCAAAUGGUCCAUCAACUCUAUAUUAUUUCUGCAAAAUCUACAAAGUGGUGGGAGGCAGACCAACAAAAAAAAUUAGCGAAGGCUUAUAACUCUGGUAAAACAAGAGUUACUUGGAUAGAAUAAUGUUACGUCGUACUGAAGAUUUUUGGGUUUCUUUAAUUGGUUAAGUGAAGAUUCUUUAUUUGGGUUUCUUUCAAGAUGAAAGCCAUAUCCACAACCACAACCACAACUGGCAGACAAUCUUUGGCUGUUCAUCACAAUUGGGCGACAAUGAAGAAGACAGAAAUUGGAGUACUGUAUGUUAUCACCCACACCACAAGACCAAUAUAAGGAGGAUGGGGAGGCUGCGGAAUACUUAUCACCUUAGCCACCACCUACACCACAAGACCAAUAUGUUGUAGGCCAGGAGGCUUUCCAAUUUUAAAUUAGAUAAAUCGGAAACUGUUUCGAUAUCCAAUUGUAUUCUAUAAAAUCAAUGAACACGGUGCUUCAAGAAAGUAAUAAAAUUUCAAUAAUUCAAUUGAGUGGUCAAAUUCAAGUGAUUUUUUGUAGUGAUGAUCUUUGAAUGAGUAUCUAUAAAAGAGACGGUUUGGAUUAGUGAAAUACAAUAUGGAGUGGGCCCUACCAGCAAUCCACGACAAAAUGUCUGCAAGCUUUCGUAAUAUAAGGAGGAUGGGGAGGCUGCGCAAUACUUAUCACCUUAGCCACCACCUACACCACAAGACCAAUAUGUUGUAGGCCAGGAGGCUUUCCAAUUUUAAUAUAUAUAUAUAUAUAUAUAUAUAUAUAUAUAUAGGGAUGUGAUUUCUCUACUCCCCUUUUCUCUACUUAUACUCCCUUUUGCUUUUAAAUACUUUUUAAUCAAUUUUUUUUCCGCUUUCCUAUUAAUAUUCUACCAUUUCCCUACAUUAAUUUCUUUUUACUUCACUUUUAUAUUAGUUCUUUUUCUUUAUACUUAAUUUUUCAACUUGCACUCCAUUUUCAUUAUUUUUUUCCUAAUCGAGUAAGAAAUUAAGUUUUUUUUCCCCAUUUAAUACUGAAAAUGGAGUGUAAGUUAGAAAAUUAGGUAUAAAGAAAAAGAAAUAAUAUAAAAGUAAAGUAAAAAAGAAAUUAAUGUAGGGUAAAGGUAGAAUAGAAAAGAGAAUGAACAAAAUUGAUAAAUAAAUAAAAAAGGUUUAAAAAGCAAAAAGGAGUGUAAAUGGAGAAAAGGGGAAUGAGGAAAUCAGCUCCAUAUAUAUAUAGAUUGAAAAAAUUAAAAUUAAAAUCAAUCUAUUAUCAUAUAUAUUAUAAAAUAAAGAUUAUUGCUCCAAGGAAAUGACAUCUUUUGUUUUCUGGGAAUUUUCUGAACCAAGGAAAAUCAAAUAAAAUUAAUAAAGCAUAAAUUGGAAAGGGAAAAGAUCUAAAGGAUGCAUUGUAGGAUUGCUGAUGCCAAUAAUUGUACCCUCAAAUUAUACAUGGACAUAGGGGUGGGCAUUCAAAUAGGCAAACUAGAAAUCCGAGCUGAACCGCACCUAGGAAAACCGGAAAAAAAACCGAGUUGACCAAAAAGUCAACAACUGGUCAAAAAUCGAACCGGACCGAUUUGGACUGGUUUUGGAUUCAGUUUAUAUGCAAUGCUACAUUUUUAGUCUCAUAACUAAUAUUUAUCCAAGUUCAAUUUCAAAACAUCUUUCUUUUUUAGCUUUAAUAUUUAUUUUUAUAUGAAAUUAAAUAAUUUAUUAAUUUUCAAGUAAAUAAAAUAAAAUUUCAGUUGAAAUUUAUAUUAAAAAAAUAAUUUUAAUAAUCCAGUUCAAAACCAAACCGGACCAUCCAGCUGUGAGGUACAUUUCUCCCACAUGCCACAAUUGUAUAUUCACAAUUACGUCUGAUACAUCACAUCAUGCCACUUGCCUCAAAUGAAUUUAAGUGAGUGUGGCAGUGGAAAGUAAUUAAGCUCUAUAUUGGUGGGUGGACUGUUACUUCUGGGUUCCCCUCAUCAUUCGUCUAUAAAAUGGUGAAGGCAGUUGCUAUUGUUACCAUAAGAGCCAGCUCCGACUUCCUUUAAUUUCUUGCUUCAUAUCCACUAGCUACAUCUGUUACCAAGUUAAUUUCAGUCCUAAUGGGGUUUCAUCUCCCACUCAUCUUUGCUCUUCUCAGUGUAAGCUCUGCAAUUUGAUUAACUUUUCCAUUCUCUCUCAUUGUACUCUAUAUAAACGAAAGUUUUGUGUUCCUAUAAUUCUCUCCGAUUUUAUUUAGUACGUACUUAAGUGUCGUCCACUAAUUAAUUACACUUUGUGAUUUGAUUUUAAUUUGAGUUCGAAUUAAUGUUGCAGCUAGCAGCAGUGGCACUGGCAAACCAUGCUGCUCAACCAGCACCUCAACUUUACUGGAACUCCGUCCUGCCAAACACACAGAUGCCAAGAUCUAUCAGUGAACUUCUGCAUCCUGGUUUGUGUUGAGCUCUUUAGAAUCUUAGAUAUCUCUUCUACCUGCCAUUUUACUAAAAUAUGUUCCACCACAUAUUUAUCAGUUAACCACUGUUAUUACAUGAGUGACACAUAUUCACAAAUCGGCUGAUCACUUAUUUUCCAUUAUGACGUUGAUAUAUAAUUUGCAGACUCCACAAAUGAAGAAAAGAGCACAAAUGACGUUGGCAAACCUGAAACUUUCCCAUUGGGCAAUAAACAUUACUCCAGUCAAAAACAUUAUGGAAGAGGCAAACCUGAAACUUUCCCAUUGGGCAAUAAACAUUACUCCAGUCAAAGACAUUAUGGAAGAGGCAAACCUGAAACUUUCCCAUUGGGCAAUAAACAUUACUCCAGUCAAAGACAUUAUGGAAGAGGCAAACCUGAAACUUUCCCAUUGGGCAAUAAACAUUACUCCAGUCAAAAACAUUAUGGAAGAGGCAAACCUGAAACUUUCCCAUUGGGCAAUCAGCAUUACUCCAGUCAAAAAAAGUAUGGAAGAGGUGCUUCUCCAUCCGACAAUCAACCACCAAUUCCAUAGAAAUUCAAACACGGCUACUUUCUUGCCACGAGAAAGCGCUCAAUCGAUCCCCUUCUCCUCUAACAAACUACCAGAAAUUUUCAACCAUUUUUCAGUGAAGCCAACAUCUGAGGAAGCCAAAACAAUUAAGCAAACAAUCGAAGAGUGUGAAGCUCCAGACCUUAAGGGAGAGGAAAUAUAUUGCGCCACAUCUUUAGAAUCAAUGGUUGAUUUUAGCACUUCGAAGCUUGGAACAAGAAACGUUGAAGCAAUCUCGACGGAGGUAUUGGAAAAAGGAGCCACCAUGUCCAUCCAAAACUAUACAACAAUGCCGGGACUGAAGAAGUUGGCAGGUGACAAAGUCGUUGUGUGUCAUAAGCAGAACUAUCCCUAUGCUGUGUUUUUCUGCCAUGCAAUAAAACAUACAGCAGCUUAUGCUCUCUCCCUGAAAGGCGAUGAUGGGGAGAAGGUUAAAGCAGUAACCAUCUGCCAUCUAGACACAUCAGAAUGGGACCCAGAGCAUAUGUCCUUCAAAAUCGUCAACGUUAAGCCCGGAACCAUUCCCAUCUGCCAUUUCAUUUCCACUGAUGCUAUUGCCUGGGUUCCGAACCACAAAUCUGCAUGAUCAUCACUUAGCACUAGUACUGUGCGUAUAAUAUGCCUGUAUAAUUAUCUCCCUACUUAUUUCUGCCUGUUCAUCAUGUGGUGUAAGAUAUAUGUUGAGAUGAAGUUUUUGGGAUUAGUGGUCGAAAUUAACCCGAUCAUGUUUUCUCUUGUAACUAUAUAGACUUCAACUUGUACUCAUAAUAAAGCAUGCUAUAUUUAUGAAGAGAUAUUAAUCUUCAGGCAAAUAGAUAUUAUGAAAACAUAUAUAGCAAUUUAUCCAGAAGAAAUAUUAUGAAAUGAAAAGAAUAAAAAGUAAAAAAACAGAAGGAAAGGAAUUCGCACCUGCUAUGUAUGAAAGGACCAAGAUUGUUUUCCCUUUGGUUAAUGACUAGAAAAGCUCACUUGCAGAUUGCUUUCUCUGACCGUAGAUGCAACAGAAAUUUUCUCUUAAUAAUAGCACAAUGAUCGGGUAAUUGUAAGAACAAGUUGAUUUAAAAUUCCUUGACCCAAAAAAAAAAAAAAAAUCAUUUCAAAUUCAGGUCAACCCAUAGAUUUCUUGCCUUUUUCUUCUUCAUCACGUUGGGCUUGUCUUCUUCUUGAGGAUUGUAUAGGCCCAGGAAAUGCUUUGAGGUAGUUUUUGGCCUUGGAAGUUGGGACCCAACCCAACUUCACAAAAAGAAAACAGAUUUGCCAAAAAUCAAAUUUCAAGUCUCUCCUCAGAUCACUAAUACAGAUCAAAUUUUGGAUUUGAUGAACUAAAGUGGUUUUACUUUCUCUGUCAGUGUUUGAUGACUUAAUUUGUUAUUUACUUCUUUUUUUUUUUUUACUUGAUCUUUGUAGGGGUUUUUUUCUUCCGGUAACUUAAACGGGCUGGGCUGCCGUAAAGGGUAGAUUGAUGAAAUUGUCUCCUUUGUCUGAGUUCGAAAAUCAAGCCCCAAAAGCGCUUCGAAAGGGCAGUAGAGCCUUAGGAAGCGUUCUAGUCAUCUUCACCAACUAAAACAACAGCAACUUACAGAUGAUUUCUUAAGGCUUACAGAUAAAUUUUCUAGCUUGGCAUGAGAGGCUUGUGACAUGGAAGCAAAAUCAGCAUGAGUUUAGCACCAAAGAGGAAAAUAUGGCUUCCUAGGGAGAAAUGGGAGUGUUUAAGGUGAGGAAGAAGAGGUUUGCAGGCUGAUUUGGCUGAGGAGAGAGAAAGAAAGAACAAUGUUCUUCCAGUAGCUUGACAAAGCUUCUGACAGAUGUGAAAGUCGUCUGCCAUAAGAGGAAAAUGAAGAAGAAUGGUGAAUAGUGCAUGAAAUUGCUGGGUUUUUGCAGGUAAGAGAGAAAGCUUGCUCUCUGAAUUUGAGUUGGUUUUUGGUUGGGUAGAAGAGGCCCCCUUUUAUAGCUGCGGGAAACCAUCUUUUUUCAAGAAACCCUAAUGGUUUCUAUCCAUUUUGGCCAAGCUUUUCCCUUCAUUUCUCUUCUCCUCCCUUGACUUUUCCUAUCUUGGUGAAAUUUCCUCUGCCUAUUUGCACAAAAUUAGAGAUUUUGAGGAGCUCAAGACCCCUUUCCCGCAGCUGCCUCAGUGGAGAAUCCCCAUUUUCAGUCAUCUUUCUUCCUUCUUUUCUCCCAUCUUCCAAGGUUAGGUCUGAUGAGGGAAAGAAAUGGGUAUGCACACUGGUUUGAAGGGUAUUUUUGCUUGAAACUUGUUCUCUCCCAUGUGCUGGAGCUUCCCAGCAACUUACACACAUGGAUAUUUUGGCUUUCAUCGUGGCUUUUGUUUUCAGCUAGGUGCUGGAGAUUUCGCAGAUAUUUUCAUGAGUUGCUUGGGCCUUCUAGGACAAUAGGUUGGUUUAUCAAGUGAAUGGGCUAACUUCAUCAAUUGUUGGGCUAUUUUGGUUGAGUUAAUGGACUAUUUUGGUUGAAGUAAUGGGCUAUUUUGGUUGAAUUAAUGGGCUAUUUUUCUCUCUUUGUGCUCACCCACAUAUUUGGGCCUAAGAAAUGGGCUUGAGUUCCGGGGCUCCCAAGCAACCCCGGGACUUCCAUUUCUCGGCCCAUCAAUGGGCCUCAUAUCAACUUAUUACCAUCCAUAUCACAACCCACUCAAGCAAGCCCUGGGCAUCUUGCGUGGCUUGGGCCCACUUAAGCUUGUAGCGUGACGUGUUGCUUAUUUGCUUGGCAUGGCAUGUGUGCAAGCGCAUAUGACGAACUUUAGCGUGCCCAAAUUGGGUUUAUUCUCGGUAAGGUAUCGCAUUGGGCCGAGAAUUUAAUUGGGCAGAACUGUGGAUUUUUGGGCCUCAACAAUCUUAUAUAUAUUGGUUUUCUUUUUUUCCUUAAUAUUCACCACCUUUCUGUUGCAUAAGUAUUUCAGUCUUAACGGGUUUCCAUCUACCACUCAUCUUUGCUCUUUUAAGUGUAAGCUUUUUUUUUUUUUUUUUAAGCACAAGAUUAGAGGGGAGGGGGAUUUCUCAAUGUAAGCUUUGCAGUUUCAUAAUUAAUAUUUCCAAUAUCUCACUGUUAGUAAAAUAUGGAACAGGAAAAGUAUGAAUAAAAUACACACAUGUUUUAUUUAGCAAAAUUUUGACAAGAUACAACUGAAAAGUUUGGCCACUAUAUAAUAUUUUGAUAUAAUUUCUACACUUCUUCUCAAAAGAUUAGAUCACUUCACAUCUUGUGUAUGUGAAAACUAAUGUAAAAAGUUGAAACUUUAUCGUAAAACCUCGACAAAAAUGAGCUCUACUAGAAAAUGUUCAAUUUGGAUUCGUUGAUUUAAAUGGCAAUUUGACACUUGAUAGAAAUUUUUACAUACAUGUGUUAGUGUUUGAUCACUUCACAUGUUACUUACUAUAUUUAUUCCACUCAAGUUAGGUAAAUAUUAUUAUCAAACAUUUCAAUUAAUUUGUGAUUUUUUUAUUAUUUAAUCAAUUAUGAAUUAAUGGAUUCUUCUUGUUGUUUUGAAGACCAAUAAAAAAAAAAGGGUAAGGAUGGCUUAUAACUCUGAUAAAACAACAGUGACGUGGACAGCAGAUGUUACACCGUACUGAAGAUUUUUGAAGAUUCUUUAUUUGGGUUUCUUUCAAGAUGAAAACCAUAUUAUCCACAACCACAAUGAAGAAGACAGAAAAUGGAGUAAUUCAGAUGUUACCAGCCAUCCACGACAAACUGAAGUCUGCAAAGCAUUCGUAAUCUAAAGGGAGACUUUGGAAAAGCCCAAAGGAGAGAGAAAAUUUUUAAAAGAAGCAAAAAUGGACAAAAUUGCCCUUAUUUAUUUUUUGAUUUCCUAAGAAAUCCUUUACAUUUGCAUGUCUUUGGUUUGAAAGUUGAGAGGUUAUUCUGUCUUUUUUCAAAAAGCUUUGGCUUUUUCCAAAAGUGAAAGUUUUUUUAUGGGUAAAACCUAAAUUUACUUAAUCCCUAAAAAGGAUGGGGAGGCUGCGCAAUACUUAGCCACGUGUAGGCCAGGAGGCUUUCCAAUUUUAAUAUAUAUAUAAAUUGAAAAAAUAAAAUAAAAAUCAAUCUAUUAUCCUAUAUAAAAUAAAGAUUAUUGCUUCCAUGGGCAGUGCUAUGCACAGGACAGUGCCUGCCCAGCACAAAUUUUUUUUAAAUAAAAAAAAAAAAUCUACAUAUGUUAUAAGCUCAUCCAAAAAAAUAAAAUAAAAUAAAAGUAAAUUCUACAUAUAUGUUGCCCAUCUAGGUGGUUCCAUAUCUUCUCUCUCCUUCUCUUUUGGCUAUUAGACUUCUUGUUUCUCUCUCUCUCUUUGCUACCUCACAUCAGCAAGUUUCUCCCUCUCUUUUUUUGGGGUCAAAUUCUUCCUCUAUUGACAAAAUCUUCUAUUAUCUUGGGUGGGCAACUUGGCAACAACAUCUUCUCUUCUCCUUUUGUCAACAACAAGUAUUAUUCUCAUUCUCUCAUUUGCUAUAUAUCUUUAAUUAUAGUUUUAAUUUAAAAUUGAGUAUUCUAGGGUUUAAUUAGGGAUGAAUUAUAAUUUUAGAAUUUUGUUGAAAUUAAUUAAGGCUUCGAUUAGGGGUGAAUUAUUCUACUGCUUUGGUUUGGAAUUUUGUUAAAAUUGAGUAUUAUAGGGUUUAAUUAUGGAUGAAUUAUAAUUUUUGAUUUUGGUAUUAUUGAGAUGUUAUUAUGAGAAUUUGUUUCAUUUUUUUAUUGGUAUAUUUGAUUAAAAUUCUUUCUACAUAUUAUUCAUAGGCUAUCUUUUAUUAUGUCGGAUCACAAUCGGAAUCCCAAGAGAACAAAGAAUUUGAAUAGUGUUGUUUUGUAUUGCAUUGCAUUUACUUUUGGUUUUAGUUUUGCUUUUAGUGUAAAUUACUCAAAUGGUCCUCAAAUUUGUACCCGAUUUACAUUUUGGUCCAUAAACUAAAUUAUUCAUUCAAAUGGUGCACCAACUCUUUAUUAAUCAGUGCUUUGGUCCUACCGUUAUGUUUUCUAUUAAAUUUAGUCAUGUGAGCAGCACAUGCUACAUUUGUAGGGGUAAAUAAGACUUUUGACCACUUUAUCACCUAUGUAUCACCACUUUAUAACCUAUUUGGAGAACAUAGGUCAGUUAUGGACGGUUUUACAAUUAUAUUUGACGGCAACAUUAACAUAAUGUAACAGUGGGAUCAAUGGAGCGAUUAAUAUAGAGUUGAUGGACCGUUUGAACGAAUAAUUUAAUUGAGGGACCAAAACGUAAAUUGAGUAUAAGUUUGAGGACCAUUUGAGUAAUGUACCCUUCGCUUUUAUAUUUGUUGAACUUUUAUUUAUGGAUAGAUAUGCAUUUGAGGGUAAGACCCAUUAUGUUCCCCCUGACUUGGUGUAUCUUUUUAUGUUUAUUAAUGAAAUUCACUCGAACUGUUGAGUUUAGUAUGUAAGUUUUGCCUAACCGGCUUUUGAAUCCUAGAACCGCCACUGUUGCUCCAUCCUCCAUGCACUUGCAUGUGCUCUUACAAAGUGUGAAGUAGAUUUUGUGUGCUCCAAGUCAUUGACUAGAGCUGAAACAUGGUUAGCUAGAUUUAUAAGGACCCAUCUCUCUAUUUCCUAGACAUAUACCCAUCUCUCUAUAAAUCUAUAUGUAAAACUCAAUUUCAAACUUAAAUGACCAGUAAGAUAUAAGAGGUCAUAGUAUUCCUAUGUUUUUACAUCGUUGCCACCAGACUUCUUAUUUUAUUUAUAAUUUAUUUCAAGCAUUUCAUUAACUGCCAUAAUUGUAAUUAAUACUCCAUAUUAAUAGCAUAUCAAUCACCCCAUUUCUUUUGAUUGCCAUUCCCUCUAACAUAUCGCCCCUUAAAAUUGAAAACCAAAAAAAAAAAAAAUGUAAAUUACAUAUCCAAUAAUGUACCUAUGAAAAAUAUAAAUAUAAAUAUAUACGUAUAAAAAUAUAGGUUUAUUAUUUACCAAAUAAAAAAUAUAAAAAAACUAGGUCAGUUGCUUUGUAAUUGAAAUUUCUAUACAUUUUCCACAAAUUAAAAAUAGGUACACAAUAAUUUAUAGAAAAUAUAGGUGCAUUAUUUAUCCAUAGGUAAAAAUACCUAUAAAUGCACAUAGGUAAAUUAUUUACCCAUAUAUUAUUUUUUUGCUAAGGAUUUACCUUAGUUUUUAGUAGAUUAAUUUACCUACCUAGAGGCAUAGGUAGCUUAAAAAAAUUGUAGCACCUUAGUUGGUUGCAUACUAAUUUACCUACCUAGAGGCAUAGGUUGCUAAGAAAAAAUGUAGGUAAAUUCAUGUACCUAAACACAUAGGGGUCAAAUAGAGAAUAACAUGUUAUUUCCCUUCGAACAAAUUAAUUUCAAACCAUAACAAUAAUUGAAUUCGGAAAUUGGUAUAAAUAAAAGGAAAUAAAUAAGCUAUCAAUUUGAAAAUUAAAAUAAGAAAUGAUCAAGUAGUCAUAUUUGAAAAAAAAGAAAAGAAUAUAUUCUUGGUUUUUAUAGGAACAACGUGUAUAUUCAAACCAAAUGGCAGUAACUACACCAAGCUUUAAUUACUUUUUUUUAAGGCCAAAAGUCACUUUUGGUCUCUGUAGUUUGACACUUCUAUUACUUUUGACGCUGUAGUUUCAAUUCCGUCAAUUUUGCCAUUGUAGUUUCAUAUUUGUAGCAAUUCAAGGACAUGUUAAUAUUAAUGUCAAUUUGUUUAAUGAUGCAAGGGGUAAUUUCGUCAUCCCAAAAUCCUUGAGCAUAAAAGCUUGUCUGAAAUUCUCCCCAUUUCAUAUUAGGGCUCGAAAUUCAACCACUAAUCCCAAUUUUUGAAGAACCCUAUACCCAAAUGACCAAUUUCAAGCCCUAAUAACAAAUUAGGGAAGUUUUAGAUGAGCUUUUAUGCUCAAGGAUUUUGAGUUGAAGAAAUUGCCCCUUGCACUGUCAAAGAAAUUGAUAGGAAUACUGACUUGUCCUUGAAUUGCUACAAAUACAAAAAUACAGGGUCAAAAUUAACAGAAUUUAAACUAUAUGGUCAAAAGUGGUUAAAGUGCCAAACUACAAGGACCAAAAGUGACUUUUAGCCUUUUUGUUUAAAUAAGGAAAAAACUUACCUAUUAAAUCCUUGGAAUCUAUACAAAAUUGAAACACAGUUAAUCAGCAUUGAAUUGCAGCUAAUUUCUUAAACAAGGGUAUUAUAGGAAUUUAAAAAGUAUAACAUUUAAUCCAUUGAGCUUGAUUAGGAAUCUUGAUGAGUUGGAUCCUAGUUAUAUAGUUUCUCUUAUAAAAAUCGGGUUUUAUUUAUAGACAAAUAAAACAAUGGGUUGUAGGUAAGAAAAUAUUAAUUUGAAGGGAAAGUGUCACAUCCUGGGAUCGGCUCCGCCGUAGCACGAUAUUGUCCGCUUUGGGCCCCCCUCUCUGCCCGCACGGUUUUGUUUCUGGGAGCUCACGAGCAACUUCCCAGUGGGUCACCCAUCCUGGGAUUGCUCUGGCCCCCAACUCGCUUAACUUCGGAAUUCCUAUGACUCCGAAGCCAGUGAGCUCCCAAAAGGCCUCGUGCUAGAUGGAUGCGGGUGUGUACAUAUAAGACACAUCACCCCCUCUCCGUUGGUUGAUGUGGGAUCUUACAGAAAGAGUCAAAUUUACUAAAUUAAUAAAGCAUAAAUUGGAAAGGGAAAAGAUCUAGAGGAUGCAUUGUAGGAUUGCUCAUGCCAAUAAUUGCACCCUCUCGAUAUUGAAAAACCUAUUGUGUAUUAUUAUCUUCAAUCAUGAAUGAUGCACCUAAAACCCAAGUGUCCCAAGCCAACCAUUGCGCUCAUACCACUUGUUGCAGUACACAUUCACCCGUUUUUAAAGAAAGAAAUUCUACCAAUCGAUAUUGUCUCAAAUUUAAUCACAUAGGUCUAUUAUGGUUAACCAUAUGUACUUUUAUCGGCCAUAUAGAGGUACCUUUUUCCAACGUGCAACAAUUGUAUUUGAUUCACAAUUAUGUCUGAUAUACAUCACAUCAUGCCACUUGCCUCAAAUGAAUUUAAUUGAGUGAGGCAAUGGGAAGUAAUUAAGCUCUAUAUUGGUGGGUGGAGUGUUACUUCUGGAACCCUCAUCAUUCGUCCAUACAAGGGAACAAUUCCCUUCCUUCUAUAAAAUGGUGAAGCCAGUUGCUAUUGUUUGUUAGAGUUUUAGGAUCUGAGUGUUAGAUUUUGUGAGAAGAGAGAAGAGAAUUUAGUGAAAACUUCCAAUACUGCUCUGCUAUACGUGUAGCAGAGAGAACAUUCUGUUUUGUUAUAUAUUUUCAGUACAACAACACACACUUGGUGUGAGAAGAAAAAUGACUGUUAUGCACAGUACCAGCUGGAUGCUUUCCAUCAAAGUAAUCUCAGCCAUUCACUAUCUAACCAAUCAAGCUAUGACACCUGGACUAAGUAUAAAGAAAUACAACUAAGCAGAAAACAAGACUCUUAAUCCUGAAAUCAACUUAAGCACUUAUAAUUCAACACUCCCCUUUAAGUCUUGAGGUGAUUUCACUCCAAGCAUGCCUCUGAGAUAAUUGAAUCUGUCUUUGGCCAGAGGUUUGGUAAAAAUGUCAGCCAAUUGUUCAUUUGUAGGACAAUAUUCCAGAUUGAUUACCCCUUCUUGCAAUGCAUCCUUGAUGAAGUGAUACCUCCUGUCAAUAUGCUUUGUCUUCUGGUGGAAUACAGGGUUUUUAGUGAUUGCAAUUGCUGAGAUAUUAUCACAAUGCAAUGGAGUAGCUUCAGUUUGAAGCUCUCUAAAGUCUUCUAGCACAAAACGGAGCCAAAUAGCUUGAGUAGUAGCCUCAGCUGCACUGAUGUACUCAGCUUCUGCAGUAGACAGUGCAACACAGUUCUGUUUCACUGAGGCCCAAGAAAAUACUCCACUUCCAAAACUAAACGCAUACCCUGAUGUGCUCUUGCAAUCACCAACUGAUCCUCCCCAAUCACUGUCACAGUAACCAACUAGAAUUGAUCUUUUGCCUUUCACAUAUUCAAGACCAUAGUCCAGAGUUCCUUUGAUGUAUCUCAAAACCCUUUUAGCUGUUCCAUAGUGUCUAUUUGUAGGACAGUGCAUGAAUCUAGCUAGCAAGCUUGAGGCAUACAUGAUGUCUGGUCUUGUAGCAGUUAAGUACAGCAAGCUACCAACAAUGCUUCUGUAUUGUUCUUCAUUUGCAGCUCAACUCCCAUCAUCCUUAGCUAGUUUCUCAGUGGCAACAAGGGGUGUUGUCACAGGUUUGCACUCAGUCAAACCAAACUUGCUCAACAAGGUGCUAGCAUAUUUCUUUUGAUGUAGAAAUAUACUAGACUCAGUCUGAAUAACUCCCAUGCCAAGAAAGUGAUGAAGUAAGCCCAAAUCAGUCAUCUCAUACUUAGCCAUCAUGUCUUCUUUGAAUUCAGCCAACAAUGCUUGACUGCUCCCUGUAUACACAAUAUCGUCUACAUAGAUAGACACAAUUAGAAUCUCCUUAUCUCCCCUUACUUUGGUAUAUAAGGUUGUUUCACUUAAGCUUUUCACAAAACCACAUUGAGUGAAGUAGCUGUCUAUCUCUCCAUACCAAGCCCUUGGGGCUUGCUUCAGACCAUAAAGGGCUUUAUGCAAACGAUAAACCUUGUCUUCUUUACCUUUAAUUACAAAACCUUCAGGCUGACUGACAUAAACUUCCUCUUGCAGCACACCAUUAAGGAAAGCAGACUUCACAUCAAGCUGGAACAAUUUCCAAUCCUUUUGAGCAGCUAGAGCAAUAAGUGUUCUAAUGGUGUCCAAUCUGGCUAUAGGUGCAUAAGUCUCAUUAUAAUCCAGUCCAGGCUUCUGAGCAUACCCCUUAGCCACUAAUCUUGCUUUAUUCUUUUGCACUGAGCCAUCCAAAUUCAGCUUUGUCUUGUACACCCACUUAACUCCAAUCACUGGUUUUUCAGUUAGUCUAUCUACCAAUUCCCAUGUUUCAUUCUUUUCAAUCAUCUGCAGUUCAUCUUCCAUAGCCUUAAGCCAAGAUUCAUCCUGAGCAACAUCAGCAUAUUUUUCUGGUUCCAUGAUACACAAGUUACACUGAGCUAGAACAUCAUCUAGCCUUCUCCAUUUUAGAGGGGUGUGAUCAUAAGCUUGAGUUCUCCUUUCUUCACUGCUUAUAUCACCUGGAGUUGAUGAAAUGCUCUCUUGCAUAUCCAAAGUUUGAGGUGUACCAGUAGAAUUCUCAUUAGAACUGUCAGAUUUCAAGUCCAAAUCAACUUGGUUUUCAAUUGAGUAUGUUGUCAUAACUGAACCAUUUUUGUUUGUCCAAUGCCAAGCAUUUUCUUCAUCAAAUGUCACAUCCCUUGAUAGUAAAAGCUUGUUAGAAACAGGAUCAAAAACUCUAUAUCCUUUUUCACAAGUUGCAUAUCCCACAAACACUCCCUUUGUACUCUUAGGAUCCCGCUUGUGUCUCAAUUCAGUUGGCACAUGAACAUAACACAGAGAACCAAACACUUUCAGAUGUGCAAUUCCAGGCUUCCUUCCACUAUAUGCUUCGAAUGGAGUAAUGUUGUUGAGAGCUUUGGUAGGACAUCUGUUCAGCAAAUAGAUAGCUGUAUGCACAGCUUCUGCCCAUAGGAAAUAAGGCAUUCCCUUCUCAUGUAACAUUGAUUUUGCCAUCUCAAUGACAGUUCUAUUCUUCCUCUCAACUACUCCAUUCUGCUGAGGAGUAUAGGCCAUUGUAAGCUGCCUUUGAAUGCCAUUAGCUUCACAAAACUCCAAAAAAUCAGUAGACAUAAACUCUCCACCCCUGUCACUUCUUAUGCACUGAACCUUGUGUCCAGUUUGUAAUUCAGUCAUGGACUUGAACUUCUUGAAACAAAAGAAGGCUUUUGACUUGUUUCUCAAGAAGUAUACCCAAAUCAUUCUUGUGAAAUCAUCUAUAAUCAGCAUGAAAUAUCUGUUCCUUGCAACAGACUCAUUUCUCAUGGGACCACAGAGAUCCACAUGUAUUAGCACUAGUACUUUGCUUGCUCUUUGAGCUUGAUCUUUUGGAAAAACAUUUCUGUGCUGUUUUCCAAAUUGGCACCCGUCACACACACCACUUUGUUCUUCCAAUUUUGGUAAACCAUGUACCAUUUCUUUAUCACUUAGCUGCUUCAAUCCUCCAAAAUGCAGAUGACCAAAUCUCUUGUGCCAAAUCCAUGUGGAUUGAAGAAAACUAGUCUUCAUUAGUAACUGUUUUUCAGCUAGAAAAGAGACAGGAUAGCAUCUGUUACUCUUCAUUUGCACCUUUAUGAUGAGAUAAUCCAUGGAUGGGCUAUCAAAUACCCUGCACAUCCCUUCUCCAAACACUAGACAGUACCCAUGUUCAUCCAUCUGCCCAACACUUAGCAGAUUUUCUUUCAAUCCUGGCAGAUACAUUACUUCUCUGAUGUAUUUCCUGCCCUUUGCUGUAUCAAUACUCAGUGAGCCAAUACCAGCUACACUCACUAAUGCACCAGUUGGCAUUUGUACUCUCCCAGCUACAUUAGUUCUCACAUCAACCAGCAAAUCUAAAUUUCCUGUCAUAUGAUUGCUGCAGCCACUGUCAAUGUACCAUUCAUUGGUUUUGAUCUCAGUGGUUGAGCAAUUGGCAUAAAACAGGUUUCCUGUAACCUCCAUUUGAUUUACACAAUUAGCCUUCUGCACAUUUUUGCUCACUGUACAGUCUCUAGCAAGAUGUCCAACUCUGUCACAGUUAUAGCAUUUUGGUUUUCCCUUAUACCUGCACUCACCAAAAUGAUGCUUUGAACACACCUUGCAUUGAGGCUUUGUGUUUUCCUGAUUUGAGAACUGUGUUGAAGUGUGGUUCUGUGCAGAAUAAUUAUUCUGCUGUGUCUUGUCUUUUGCCUCCCAUGACUUCCCUUUAGAGUUCCAGCUUCUCUGUGACUUAGAUGAACCAGACUGAGAAGCAUUUUUGUUCUGACCCUUUGAAUUCACAGUGAAUGAGGCAAAUGCCUUCUCAGCUGUAUCAACACUAUGCAUUUCAAGCCUUUGCUCCCGACUCUUCAAAAUGGCAGUUACUUCCUGCAAAUCCACAGUUUCUAGUGUCUUUGUGUUUUCAAUCACAAUGCAUAUAGGGUCAUACUUCUUACUUAGACUAAUUAACACCUUCUGAACCUACCUCUCAUUUGACAGAACUUCACCAAAUGUUUUCAUUUGGUUAAUCAAUUCAGUUAGUCUAGUAAGAUAUUCAGAUAAGGUUUCACUAUCACGCAUCCUACUGUAUUCAAACUCACGUCUAAGGUUUUGAAGCUUUACCGAUCUAACAUGCUCUCCACCAUGAUAUUCUGAGUACAGCAGAUUCCAAGCCAUCUUUGCAGAGUCAGCAUUGGCAAUUCUGGGAAAAAUCUGAUCAGAAACAGCAUUUUGAAUGAUACCCAAGGCCUUCGCAUCCUUCAUGAGAAUCGCAGCUGUUUUCUCAUCAACUUCUUCUUCUGAACCAUCCUCAGAUUCCUGCUUCGUCUUUGAAUCUGGGAUUAAAAACCCCUUCUCUACCAAACCCCAUAAACCAUAUGAUCUGAAUAUGGUUACCAUCUUAAUCCUCCAAAAUUCAUAGUUCUCACCUGAGAAAAUGGGGAUUCUAGCCUCUGAACUUCCAGAUCCAGCCAUUACGAAUUUCAGAUUCGCCUGGAAACAAGAUGUUUUCAGAUUUGACCCUUGAUCGAGCUCAAUCAGCUUCGUGAGCUUAGAAUGAGCUCACCUCGAUCGAUUUUCUUCACAGAACAACGCCCAGCUUCAGAUAAUCAAACUUGGCUCUGAGGCCAUGUUAGAGUUUUAGGAUCUGAGUGUUAGAUAUUGUGAGAAGAGAGAAGAGAAUUUAGUGAAAAUUUCCAAUACUGCUCUGCUAUACGUGUAGCAGAGAGAACAUUCUCUUUUGCUAUAUAUUUUCAGUACAACAACACACACUUGGUGUGAGAAGAAAAAUGACUGUUAUGCACAGUACCAGCUGGAUGCUUUCCAUCAAAGUAAUCUCAGCCAUUCACUAUCUAACCAAUCAAGCUAUGACACCUGGACUAAGUAUAAAGAAAUACAACUAAGCAGAAAACAAGACUCUUAAUCCUGAAAUCAACUUAAGCACUUAUAAUUCAACAUUGUUACCAUAAGAGCCAGCUCCGACUUUCUUUAAUUUCAGUCCUAACGGGGUUUCAUCUUCCACUCAUCUUUGCUCUUCUCAGUGUAAGCUCUGCAAUUUGAUUAACUUUCCCAUUAUCUCUCACUGUACUCUAUAUAAAGGAAUAAGUGUCGUCCACUAAUUAAUUACACUUUGUGAGAUUUGAUUUUAAUUAGAGUUCGAAUUGAUGUUGCAGCUAGCAGCGGUGGCACUGGCAAACCAUGCUGCUCAACCAGCACCUCAACUUUACUGGAACUCCGUCCUGCCAAACACACAAAUGCCAAGAGCUAUCAGUGAACUUCUGCAUCCUGGUUUGUGUUGAAUAAAUAUAGUAUGUUACUGGAGUACGUAUGGCAACAUAUUCACAAAUGUGUCACGUAUUUUCCAAUAUGACGUUGAUAUAUAAUUGCAGACUCCACAAACGAAGAAAAGAGCACAAAUGUCAUGAAUGCUGUUGGGAAUGGAAAGCCAAUUGACCACAAGGGCAACCUGAAAAUACUGUACUACCACAGCUUGCACGACGCCCAUUUUCUUACAAGAGUGAUGAUCGUCCCACUGACAAUCAACUCCAUUAUAAAAACGUAGCUAUUUUCUUCUUGGAGAAGGACAUGCGCCCUGGCACAACAAUGAGCUUCCAAUUCCCUAGAAAUUCAAACACGGCUACUUUCCUGCCACCAGAAAGAGCUCAAUCGAUCCCCUUCUCCUCUAACAAACUACCAGAAAUUUUCAACCAUUUUUCAGUGAAGCCAACAUCUGUGGAAGCCAAAACAAUUAAGCAAACAAUCGAAGAGUGUGAGGCUCCAGGCAUUAAGGGAGAGGAAAUAUAUUGCGCCACAUCUUUAGAAUCAAUGGUUGAUUUUAGCACUUCGAAUUUUCGAACAAGAAACGUUCAAGCAAUCUCGACAGAGGUAUUGGAAAAAGGUGCCACCAUGUCCAUGCACAAGCAUACAACAAUGCCGGGACUGAAGAAGUUGGCAGGUGACAAAGUCGUUGUGUGUCAUAAGCAGAACUAUCCCUAUGCUGUGUUUUACUGCCAUGUAAUAAAACCAACAGCAGCUUAUGUUCUCUCCCUGAAAGGCGAUGAUGGGGUGAAGAUUAAAGCAGUAGCCAUCUGCCAUCUAGACACAUCAGAAUGGAACCCAAAGCAUUUGGCCUUCCAAAUCCUCAAAGUUAAGCCCGGAACAAUUCCCAUCUGCCAUUUCCUUCCCACUGAUCAUAGUGUCUGGGUUCCGAACCACAAAUCUGCAUGAUCAUCACUUAGCACUGUACGUAUAAUAAGCUUGCACCCCUGUAUAAUUAUCUCCCUACUCUACUUAUUUCUGCCUCUUCAUGUGGUGUAAGAUAUAUGAUGAGAUGAAGUUUUUGGGAUUAGUGGUCGGGUUGCCUUAAAAACACAGAUUACAGAAACUGCUUGAACUUAACCCGAUCAUGUUUUCUCUUGUACUCGUAAAGCAUGCUGUUGUGGUUCUACUUAAUUUCGUUCUCCCCAAUGUUUGAGUGUUUAAUUGUUACGUUGGAUAAUGCUUGUAGUUAGAGAAGCCUUCAUUUAUAUCAAAGUCCUCAACUUGUAAAGAUAUCAAUGGUCCUAGUGCUGCCACGUGUAAGAAGAUUGAAGAAUAAAGCUGUUGAGAUAUUGUUAGACCUGUUAUGCAGUUUAGGAAAACUGUUAGUAUUGAUAAGAGAAGGUUAGAGAUGUUAGAGAGGUUAGAAAACACGUGAACAAGGCUUUAACUCAGCUGAUAUAAAGUCUGUAGUUGUGCUCAGUUGAACUUAAUGAGAAAUACAACAAGUCUCUUCUCUAUCUCUGAAAUUCUCUCUGCUCUCUCUGCUUUACUUCUUUUGUCUCUGCUCUACAUUUUUUUUCAAUCUUCCUAUCUUAACAAAACUAUCAAGAAUUAAUGCAUCCAGAAACAUAUAUACCAAGACGCAAAACAACAUAUUUUUCAUGCUCUGUCUGUAACACCAAAGCAAACUUCCUUUAUCACAAAAGGAUCAAAUUCCAGUACUAAUCUAAUCCAUCAUGUAAAGCAUACAAUCUACAAGUGCCUCCCUUAAUUUGUCCAUUGGAUAUAUAUGUCACUUUUUGGUAAUUUGGUAUAGCAGCACCACGUAGUCUUGAAAUAGUAGUGCGGCUAUACCAAAUAUACCAUUUGCCCCUGCAUUUAACAGAAAAGUAAACAAAAUUGACGGUAGAACUAUUUGUCCUAACGAAACUGCAGUUGAAAGACCAUGAGAACGAUUUUGAAAAUUGAGGGACUCAAAUGAAAAUUGGGUCUAAGUUCAAGAACCAAUAAAACGAUUAACCCAUAGAUUUUGGAUCCAGUACCACAUCCCAAAGAGAAAACCACAAGUUUGCAAGCAAGUUUGUCCAUAAUAACACUACGUACAGUAUGGGCAGUGCGCUAGACUCAUCUCACUUUCUCAACCUAUCCUAUAGUUGUCUAAAAGAGUUUCUAAUUUAAUGUACUGAGAUUUACGAAAGAAAUAUCAGAGAAACAAUUUUCAGGCAAUAAAAAAAUGUCUUGGCAAGAAAAUGUACAAUUUGUUACAUAACUUAUUAAAUAUGAACAGUUGAAAGAAAAAAGAAUCUGGAUGAGGGAUUUGCAAAUUCCUAUGGCCCAAUUACCUUUUUUUCUUUGUUGUUUUUUUUUUUUUUUUUUUGGUUCUUUUGAUCCAGUAGCAUAUUCCAAAGAAUGAAAACCACAGGCAUGCAAUGCAAGCUCUUUUCCCACGUUUUCCUCUGUUUUUCUCCUAUCAUGGAAGUGAUUAAAACACACCUCUAAGCUUGUUUUGCGUUUGGUAGCCGAGUGUAAAAGCUCAAUGCAAGAUAGUUUGAGGUAGAAUUUUCUCCUAUUUUAUUAGGACAAUGAUAAUUAAAAAAAAGUGUGAUUCAUUGAAUAUUUGCGGGGUUUUGUUCAGACCUGACAAAGUUCUAAGUCAACACAUCAAAUUCCUUUUUCCAACAUGCAACAAUUGUAUUUGAUUCCCAAUUUUUUCUGAUAUACAUCACAUCAUGCCACUUGCAUCAAAUGAAUUUAAUUGAGUGAGGCAAUGGGAAGUAAUUAAGCUCUGUAUUCGUGGGUGGAGUGUUACUUCUGGAACCCUAAUAAUUCGUCCCUACAGGACUCUAGAACUCUCAAACUUCUUACAAGGACUACUUAACUCUAUAGCUUAAUGCAUAUAGCAUAUAUAUGCAAACACAAUUAGAAAUUCUACAACAGAAGCAAGAUCAAUCUCACUAUGCCUUCUAAACAAACAAACAAAUAAAACAAGCAUAUUAAUUGCUUUAAUCACUCUACUAACAUCAACACAGCACACUUAGUUUACUAACAGAUGAUAUAGAAAGGAAAAAAAAGGACCAAUAGGGAGAAAAUGGUGAACUAAGGAGAGACUAAUACUUCUGGUCCUUAGAAGGCAUAACAGAAAUAAUAGAGCACACUGCUUGAAUGCAAGUCAGUAUUAGGAGCAAAACAGCUGCAAUGAAAGAAAUAGUUGCCCAAGGUGUAUUGAAAUAAUGUUGCCUCAAAUUUGCCUUCCAUUUGUUCCAAGGCUUUCUGCAGUAGCUAUUAAGGCGCUCAGAAAGAAUAGCAAAGUAGAAGCUUUCACGAUACACUGCAAUUCCUUUUCCGAGGUUGUUAAUCAGAGUGCACACCUCAUUGUAGUCACCAAGCAUAUUUUUGACAAUCCCAUCCUUCAGAAGGAACUCCACAUCCUUUUCGGUGUUCACAAACUCAUCCAUGAGUGAAACAUAAUCACUUAUGUAAUUCUUACGGCAAUGGCACUAUUCAAAGGCAAUGAGGUUACGGAGUGUGAGCUCUGUGUAAUCGUGUAUUUUUAGUUUUGGAAUUUCUAGAAUCCCAUCGUUGAAUUGUGUUAACGCAGCUUUCCUUUCCUAGCCUACACGGAAGUCAACUUCACAAUCUCCUCCUAGCAAUUAGUCUUUCCUGCUGUAAAUCAGAUUUCCUACUGUAAAUCGGAUUGUAUUCAUGUCUAUAUUAUUUCCUACUUUAAGUAGAUAUCUUGUACUAGUAUAAAUAGGGACUUUGUGUAAUCUGUUAAAUACAAGGAAAUAUAUACUCUGCAUGGUAUCAGCCUAACCUAGGGUUCUCUCUCUCUCCCUUAUUCGAUCCUCUUCUCCUUUAGGUCCACCUCAUGGCUUUGUCUGAAUCCACCAUCUCCCUCCCAAGCCCCAACUCUUCUAUUUUAUCAAGCUUAUUGACUCCAACUAUCUUCUUUGGCUCCGCCAACUCAAACCCUUUUUAGUCGGCCAUGACCUCUGGAAAUUUAUCGAUGGCAUUCAUAAACAACCUUCUGCCCACACCUCCACCUCUACCACCGCAACACCCACAACCACCACCACUCUUACCCAAAUCAAUCAUGCCCAUGCUCAGUGGUACCAACAAGACCAACUCAUUGUUAGCUACAUCACCAAUACACUCUCUGAGUCCAUUCUCUUUCUCACUGUUGGUUGCACCUCUGCCCGGGAUCUCUGGGAGUGUCUCCAACGCCACUUCUCUCAAUCCAGUAUGGCCAGUGAAUCUACUCUUCGUUUUAAACUCAUGGAUUUGCAAAAAGGCUCUGAACCCACUUAUGCUUACAUUCGUCAUGCUAAGUCCUUUGCCGAUUCACUGGCUGCCAUCAAUGAACCUGUCUCCCCAAAAGAACUUGUCACUACUGUGCUUUGGGGUUUAAGACCCUAUUGCAACAUCCUCGUCACAGCAAUUCUCAAUUUCCCUCUGCUUCCUAACUUUGCUAAUCUUCGUGCUCGUUUGUUAGCAUUUGACGCACAGACUCCUUGAAUCUCUCCUGAUCAAAACACAGCGCAAAUGGCCACCCAAUCCUCUCCUCACACCACCGGUCAUACUUCCUUCCCUUCUCACCGUGGUGGUGGCUCUUCCAACAACAGGCGUGGUGGCCUCGGUGGCUGGCGCAAUAGCGGCCGGGGUGGCUGGCGCAGCUUCUCAUCUUCCUGGAGCAACCCGUGGAAUGGCUUCCAGCAGCUCCAAUGACCUAAUCAACCAUGGCCUCCUUUUGCUCCAAGUUCUGGAUCUCAAAGCAACUGGCCUUCCUUUCAGCCUCCUUGGGCCUAAUCUGCCGCUUCUAUCAAACACUUUGCCCGGCCCAACUCAGCUCCUGGUGUCUUGGGACCCGCUUGGUGCACUACCUGCAAUACCAAUCACAUACUACUACAAUAUGUCCUCAUCGCUACAAUGGCCCAGAAUCCUUUCUUUGCUAGGGCUCAAUUCAUGUAGCCACCUGACUCUACUUGGUACCCUGACACAAGUACCACUCAUCAUAUGAUUGGUAGUCCUUCUAAUCUCCAAAAUCAAUCCUUCUAAUCUCCAAAAUCAACAGCCAUAUCAGGUUCAUAAUUCUGUAUUUCUUGGUAAUGGAGAUUCUCUCCCUAUCUCUCAUACUAGCUCUCUCUUUUGUCUUCCAUCUCUUCGUACUAAUCUUCUUUUUGUUGCCCAUUUUACUUGUGAUAAUUUAGUUUUCUUUGUCUUUACUCUUGACUUUUAUCAAAUCUAUGACUUAUGUACUGGUUCGUUACUCUUUCAGGGCCCUUCUAAAGAUGGUCUUUACCCACUUUCCAUCUCCUCUCACUCAUCCAUAGUCCCCCAUGCCCUUACCACCGUGCACUCUCCUGCUUGGCAUCAUUGCCUUGGCCAUCCAUUCCAUCGUGUGCUCUCUCAUUUAGCGCCAUCUCUAGGCUUUAAAGUUUCUCAUGCUUUCUGUAAGGAUUGUGCACUUAGCAAAUCCACCAAACUGUCAUUUCUUAGUAAUAAAACCUUUGCCCCAUCUCCCUUUUAUUUAAUUCACUCUGAUGUAUGGAUGUCCUCGGUCAUUUCUGUCACUGGUUAUCGCUAUUAUGUCUUGUUUACAGAUGACUUUUCUCGUUACUCCUGGAUCUAUCAUAUGCACCGUAAAAAUGAGGUCUUUUCUCACUUUCAAACCUUUCUUGCUAUGGUUAAAAAUCAAUUUCACACCACUGUACAAAUUCUUUAAAGUGACAAUGGCACUGAAUAUGUUAAUAAUGCUUUCUCUGAUCUUUGCAGUCAACUAGGCAUCCACCAACGUUUCACAUGUCCCCACACUCCCCAACAAAAUGGCCUAGCUGAACAUAAACACAGACACAUUGCCACCAUGAUCUGUCCCCGGUCAUUUAUUCAACCAUCUUGACCUUUUGCUUGAUCAUUUUCCACAAGCAACCGUCCACGUACCCCAAUAAUUUAAAAGGGCUGAUGAUCUUUAAUUUGGUGAAAGCUUCUAUCUACCUACCGUGCUAUAUAUGAGCUAUGCAAUCGUGACCGUGUUACAUGACGUCCCAAUGUCGUAGGGAUAAAAAAAUAAUAGUCAUGGUUUUCUUAUUAAUGUCAAUACAUUCAUAGCAAAGAGCUUGUAGCUCUAGUGGUUAAGAGCAAUUACCCAUGCACUUGAGAUAUUUUGUGUUUAAAUCCCCUCUUCCCCAAUAUUUCUUGUAUAAAAAUAAAAAUAACAAUAAUAAUGACAUUAAUGUUGUAUUCUAUAAAGUGUUGGACAUGUUUUAUACCCCUUUCUUGCAAAUUACAGUUUGCCACGUGUACAAAAAUAAUAGAUAAGUGUUGGACAUCAAGAGCACUUACAUAUAGGUUUAAUAGGUAAGUUUUGAAUAUUUCUGUAUUUAGCUUUAAAUAUUGAAAAUCAACCUAUUAGCAUAUUAAAGAUUUGUCCAUAUUCGACGUACAUUCUCUUAUUUUUCUCUCAUUGAAGUAAAUACAAAACUAAGCACAUAGUGGGAAAGUGCGUCACGAUUAGGGGUGGGUUUAGUCUAGGUUGGUUCAUUUUUGGGCUCAAUUUGAACACCGAACUGUAAGCUUCGGUUUGGCUAUUUUGGAAACCGAAACCAAACCAUAAUUGAUGAAAACCGACCACUUCGAUUACCUUCUGGUCUUCCAACCAGAAGAAAACUCAAAACUUUAACCAUACCAAGUGCAACAGAAUUACACCAGGCUGGAUUCAAGUUUAUGAUGGUUAAAGAUAAAAACUUAUUUGACAUACAAUUUGAGAAUGGAAUCCUCAAAAUUCCACACCUGCGAAUACGGGGUUUAACAGAAAUUUUCUUCCGCAAUCUUAUUGCCUAUGAGCAGUGUGAGCUUCAUGAUCAUUACAUCAACGACUAUGUCUUCAUCAUGGACCGCCUGGUCGACAGUGCCAGGGAUGUGGAAUUGCUUGUGAAGAGUGGAAUUCUUGAAUCUAUGCUACCGGACAGCGAGGCAGCAGGGGAAUUUAUUAAUUCUCUUGACUUGGGGCCUAUUUUAGGCAAGCUUGAAACAAGACUAUUUCAGUUCACCAUGGGCUGGCCUGUCUAUUAUUGUAGCCGCUAUACUAGUUGUGCUCACAUUUAUUCAAACAGUGUGCUCCGUAAUGGCGCUGUAGGUUCUUCAUUUCCUCAAUUUCAUGUUUAGUGGUUGCAGAUUUGUUGCUCAUGUACGUGUUUAUCUAAAGUUAAAUAAGAGUGAUUGACUGGAUUGACUGUUAGUCUGUUAGUUUGUUUUUCUGGGGUUUUUCCCCCCUGUUCGUCAAAAAAAAAAAUAAAAGAGUGAUGGCUUGUGCCUAUGAAAAUUACUUAGGAGUAUGCUCCACAGAGCCAAAAUAAAUAAACUAGGGAAGUGGAGGUUCUUCUGUUUGUAUAUAAAUGAGCAAUUCAAACUCUCAGUGCCAAGGGAGUUACCCUUGAUACAUUUGUUAAAAAUUAUAUAUUUGGUCUUACAUCAAACAAAUAAUUUGAAGGGCUUUUUUGACAACUGCUGACAGCGUUUGGCAGAAAAGUUUAGAAGCGCUUCUACGCUUCUAGAUCAUAAAAGUGCUUUACCAAAAAGCACUUAGAUUUCUUAUGAAAAUUUCAACAUUUUUAUAAUAAAAGCGCUUGCUAGAAGCACUUAUAAGCAGAAGUGCUUCAUAGAGAAGCAGUCCCAAACGAGCUUGAUUUUCAAAUGUGCUGCUUAAGAAGAAAUUUAAUACGUUUUGAAAACAAAAAAAAAUACGAAAUUUAAUACGUUUGUUUUACAAAUUGUAUUAAUUGUUAUCAAUAAUACUUGUGCACACCCACAACAUACUUCUUUCUUUCUUUAUUUUCCUUCAGUACAGUUCUGCCUUUCUUUAAUUAUUUUUAACGAAUGCAAAGAGUUUGUCACAAAAUCAAGGAUUGAAAAAAAAAGAGAGUAAAUUAUGUGCUAGAGAAACUUUCCUGCAGAAAUUGAAGAACAACUCUAGUUUCUCUCUUUCGCCUUGUACUCCCGCACUGAGGUUAGUAUUGUUAUAAUGUGCAGAUUAUACGGUCACUCUUGUAUAAUGGCGAGAAGGCUCUAAUUAUAUUUUUGAACCUCUUUGACAGGACCCGCCCCGAAUUUCCCGAAACCCAAGACGAAUUCUGUGGAAAUUCCCUACAUCACCCCGAUGUUGGGCCCACUUCUAAAACUAUAUCAUUUUUCCUAAAAAGGAAUAAGGGCACGAGACUUUCUACCGAAAUUUCGGCAGAGUCUCUCCUGUAAAUUGAACAUUUCCCAAAAUUUCAACCUGCAUAAAACACAUUUUAUAUUACCCAACUGGCAGCAUGCACAAAAUAAUAACAUGCAAUUCACAUAAACGGCCUCUGGCCCUCCGGUAAUUCAGAGCAAUGCAAACUAGCAACUCUAAACCUAAUAAAACAACAUAAGUAACAUUUAGCCAGCGGCUGCACCCAGGCACUACCCUAGGCUACCUACGUACCCUUACUAAGGGAUCAAGCCACACGUAGUUCUUUCAUACAAAAUUUCCAAAUCCAUCAACAUGCAAUCAAUUACAGAAUCCCAAACAAAAUCUUUCUCAAACAUCAUUAGUUCCCAACUCAGUAUAAUAAUCCUUAAUUCAUCUCUGUAAUAAUCACAAUAUCUCCCCAUACGCCGGAACUACCAACACCACGUAUGGAGCCUGCCUGUACGCCAGAUAACCAACGACACGUGGGACCUCAUCAUCAUAUCACAUAAUCUCCCCAUACGCCGAAACUACCAACACCACGUAUGGGGUCUGUCAACACGCCGGAUAACCUACGACGUGUGACCUCAACAUCAAAUCACAAUAUCUCCCCAUACACCGGAACUACCUACGCCACGUAUGGGGUCUGUCCACAUGCCGGAUAACCUACGACACGUGGGACCUCAUCAUCAUAUCACAUAAUAUAUUAACGAUCAAGAAAUAUCACUACGGUCAUUUAAUCCUCCUGGGAAGGUAAAACUAUCUCAGGAGACUCACGGUCAACCAAGGGUCAAACUACCUCAUACUUGGACAAACGAGCCCACGGAGCCCACAACCUCCGUUUUACUAUCCAAGAGUUCCUAUAGGUUCUACAAGGUUUAGGAUACACGGCUUGCAAGUUUGGUCAAGAUCAGACGGUCGGAUCGCUCACGAUAGGACGGUUACUGCAAACCUAGCCCUAGGGUUGGCAUUUUCGGAGUAUCCGAAACUCCGUUUUACGAUCUGUCGAAUCAUAGACGAUCCUAAGGAUUUGCAGACUAACUAUAAUAAAUUCAAGACCAUCCAACGGUCUAAACCUAUCGAACCCGGAUAACGCGCAAUAGGCAAUAUCCAAAUUGAAAUCCGAGCACACCUACGCACUCGUGAGGACUAGGAGAUUACAUCGGGACAUAGUGCCCUUUUUCUACAGUGCCCAUGAGCCGCCGCACGCACCAGCAACGCGUGGGUGCCCAAAGCGAUUAUGCAUCGCCAAAAAAUCUCAAAACCACGGCUCAAGACUCCUACCCUAGGUAUAACACCCUAUUUGGAACCACUUUUGUUCUUGGACCUACCCCAAAAACUGAUCAGAAGUGGCCGGAAUGGCUGAAAUGUAAUUCAAAAAUCAAGCUACCAACGCUCAAAAUCGAUGCAAUCCUACCCAACCAUCAACUAGAUUAUGAAGAAUGGAUAAAUUUCCAUACCUUGAUCGCCAACAAUGGCGGCCGGAGGAGAGAGAUCUGAUCCGGCGAAGUUCGAGUGAAAACGGCCAAAAAUCAUCUUUUUCAGGCGGCUGGAGGGCGACCGAUGUCAGGGAAGGGCAGGGUCGUGACGCUAAGGCUGAGCCUGUCCUUUUGGCACCGGUCCCUUCCGCAGCCGUGUCCGGUGGCUGGAGUUUCGAAGAGAGAGAGAGAGAGAGAGAGAGAGAGAGAGAGAGAAAUCUGAUUUUUAUCAAACCUUUUUGCCAAAAUUACGGUUAUGCCACUGAGGGUAUUUUGAUAGUAUCUCUCUCGUUACAACUUCGAUUCGAGCCCACCACGUGUGUACGGACUCAUCUAACUGUGUUGUACGCAACGGUAUAGUCGAAAUUCCCAAAUUAUUUCCUUGUCAAAAAGUCAACUUUAAACAUUAUAAAAUAUUUUAGGGAAAAAAUGGUAUUUUCUCUCAAUAAAUUAGUAACUAAUUUAUUUAGGACUGGGUCAUUAUACUCUUUUUCGCUUCAAUGGAUGGGAAAAAAUUUUAUGUAAUAUCCCACAUCGACCAACGAAGAGGGGGCGAUGUGUCUUAUAUGUACAUGCCCGCCUCCAUCUAGCAUAAGGCCUUUUGGAAGCUCACUGGCUUCAGAGUCAUGGGAACUCCGAAGUUAAGCGAGUUGGGGGCUAGAGCAAUCCCAGGAUGAGUAACCCACUGGGAAGUUGCUCGUGAGCUUCGAGAAACAAAACCGUGAGGGCAGAGAGAGGGGCCCAAAGCGGACAAUAAGGCCUCGUGCUAGAUGGAGGCGGGCAUGUACAUAUAAGGCACAUCACUCUCUCUCCGUUGGUCGAUGUGGAAUGUUAGAAUGGAAUUGUUACCUUUGGUGUGGAGGUGUUCUAUCAUUUGAGCAAGAAAUUCCCACAUAUUCUUCAACUAUUUUUCAAGCAUGCAUAUUCCUCCCUAUCAAUCUUUGGUUUCUUCCUUUACUGUGCAUAGUAAGGAUCCAGUCAGGGACGGACCGUCGCUAUGACUAUCCUGGGCUAUAGCCCAGGCAAAUUAUUUUUUUUUCUAGUCUAAAAUAGCAAUCCCACCGCUUGCUGUAGUACUUGUUCAGUUCGUCACAAACAUGAGCAUAAUAGAAGUUAUCAACAUCUAUAUAGGAACCCCAAUGAAAAGGCUGUUAACUAAUAAUGAAGUUAACCCGUCAAUUUUUCCGCAUAUCAGAUAUCUCUCAGAAUAUGCGAUUCCAUAUUCAAUAAGCCACUCCACAUGCCCUGAGGUUUUCAUCAAACCACCCAUUAAGGAAACAUACUGACUCAUGUAAUUAUCAUUACUCAUCGGGUAAUGCAAUUGUUCAAAGGCAAGGACAUUUCUCAUUAUUUAUGUAGCGAACCCCAAUGGAAAUGGUGGGAUCUUCAGAACCCCAUCGGUGCUACUGAAUUGUAUGUCAAAUAUGUUUUCACCUUGUCACGCCUCAAACUUGACUCCAGCGUGCUGUAAUUCUGUCAAGCUGGGUAUGGAUGAUGGGAGUUUGAUGCAGGAGCAUAGGGGUGGAUCAAGAUAGAUAUUUACUAUUUAAUUAGUUAUUUCAUGAUAUAUUGUUAUUUUCUUAUUUAGGUAGUUUUAUGAUAUCUUUUAUUAUUUAUGUGUGAUUUUAUAAUUAAUUAGUAUACUUUUGGACCAAGUAGCCUUGGUGCUCAAGUCUUGUAAAGCCUAUAAAUAAGGCUAAUGUAAUAGUUGUAGAAUAGAUGUCGAUGAUUAAUAAAAUCGUUUAUUUGUGGCAUGGAUUUGCUACGAUAUAUGUGAGUUUGCACUAGCCCUAGAUUUCAGUGCUCGUGUAUGUGGUUGGUGACCUGUGUCCGGAUCCCGAUCCCCAUCAAUUGGUAUCAGAGCUAUGGCUCAAGAUCUGCUAUAUCGGGGAGGUUUUUGGAUGGAGGGUCGUUUUAACAACUACAACGACAUGGAGGAAAUUAGGAGGAUGCUACGGCAACUUAUGGAACACAUUGCUCGCAUUGAAGCUCGAACCCAGAUAGGUAAGAGUUCUGACGGGGAGGGAUGUGUGAACCCUUAUCUGAACCGAGUAGCUCGCAUCGACACUCUAAGCCGUGAGAGUCUCGACGGGGAGUACGAGGGAGAUAGCCCUUUUCAUUAUUGUGCUCCGCUGUGUGAGUCAAGUGAAGAGGGGCACGGUUAUUCUCAUUGUGUCUUUGAAGGUAUAAAUGAAUUUAGUAAUUUUGGUGCAUCUUGUUAUUCAUCAAAGUUAUUAAAUUUGGAUUUACCUCCAUUAUUUGAUCCUUGCAAUUGUGAAAAUUGCAAUAAAAAUUGUUUGGGUGUUCAAAGCAAUUUUGAUAAGCAAUUUAUUGACCAGAACAGUGAAGAGAUGAGAAUUGAGAAAACUUUCGAAGAUAUUAUUGAUUUUAUGGGCAUUAAUAUUUUCACUUGGAAGGUUGCCAAAAAUCUGGUUGAUUUUGUCAAUCGGUUGAAGAUUCUAGAGAGAAACAUUUGCAUUGCUAGAGGGAGUAAGAAGUCAAGAAUAACGAAAUAUUCCAAAUAUCUUUUUAUUUGGAAAGGAAGGUUUCAAUUGGAUGCUAAAAGAUCCAAAAUUAAUAUGCAGCAAUUGAAGAUUCUACUCGGAUUUUCCUUAAUCAAAGGCUUGAAUUCGAGGACGAAUUCUUUCCAACUAUGGGAGUCUGAUGCAGGAGCAUAGGGGUGGAUCAAGAUAGAUAUUUACUAUUUAAUUUGUUAUUUCAUGAUAUAUUGUUAUUUUCUUAUUUAGGUAGUUUUAUGAUAUCUUUUAUUAUUUAUGUGUGAUUUUAUAAUUAAUUAGUUUACUUUUGGACCAAGUAGCCUUGGUGCUCAAGUCUUGUAAAGCCUAUAAAUAAGGCUAAUGUAAUAGUUGUAGAAUAGAUGUCGAUGAUUAAUAAAAUCGUUUAUUUGUGGCAUGGAUUUGCUACAAUAUAUGUGAGUUUGCACUAACCCUUGAUUUCGGUGCUCGUGUAUGUGGUUGGUGACCUGUGUCCGGAUCCCGAUCCCCAUCAGAGUUCCCCUCCAGCUUUUGAUUCCAACGGUUGAUAGAGUUUAAAUAUUUUCCUGAAAAGAUCAAUAAUAUGUGCCACUGAUCUAAAAGUCUCCAAAUUGUCUUCCAAUUUGUCAACAGGCAAUAGAUGUUCGAAGAAACUGAAAGAAAUACAAAUUAUUGAAAGCCCCUCAGUAAUGCUGUUAUUGUCAGCAUUAGCAGGGAGUGUAAUUUUCUGUGGGUCGAAAAGAUCCUCGAGAAUGAAGAAUGGCAACUGAUUUUCAAGCAACCACGUAUCUGUCCAUGCAUCUUGCAACAUACCUGGUUUGUCAAAUAUGCGGUCAUUUUCGUCCCAAAAUUUGAAGUAGUCCUUCAAUAAGGGCUCAAUAACGAAGGCGGCGCCCACUAGAAUGAUUGUUACAAAUUCAUCACUGCUAAACUUGAUGGGUUCUCCAUAACAACGUCUCAAUCUUGCUUCGUGGUCCUUUAUUUUCUUAAUAUAAUCCUCCAAACUCACAUUGGUCCGACCUAUAAAAUCUUGCAGGUAUCUCUGUUUGUUCUCUUCCAAUACGACAUUCAAGCCUUCCUUUCCAUGGUGAAGUGGACCUAUAGAGACCGACUGCCUGAGGUGUGCAGAGCUUUUCAUUCACACAUACGUAGAUAAAAUGUCUGGGGGCUCAGAGAGUGAUGAAUGUGCAACAGCUAAUGGGAGGGUUUAUAUUCCUGAAGUAAGAAAUGAGGAAACACCAGCAGUUGGGAUGAAGUUUGACUCGCUUGACCUCGUUUACAAUUUCUAUAAUAGAUAUGCAUUCUUGGCUGGCUUUGGUAUUCGACUUCAUUCUAGCUUUUGGGGGAAAAAUAAGAAAGAGAUUUUGAGGAAAGAAUUUGUAUGUUGCAAACAAGGUGCAUACAAGAAGGAUGAAACUCGGGAGAGAAAAAGACAACGGGGAAUAAGUAGAUGCAAUUGCAAAGCAAAGAUUGUGGUUGUGAAGACAAAUGGGAGCAAGAAGUAUACCAUUUCUCUUUUUGCAGAGGGACACAAUCAUAAGAUGACACCCUCAGAAAGAAUGCAUUUAUUGAGAUCACACCGUCAUAUUUCAGAUUCUACAAAAGUACUCACAAAACAGUUGGGUUCAGUUAAUAUUCCCAUUCAUCAGAAGGUAAGUAUAUUCGAGGUGCAAUCCGGAGGAAUGGAUAAAAUCGGUUUUAUCAAAAAAGAUAUCUACAAUCUUGAAUGUAGUGUGAAUGGGAAGCUGAGGAACCACGAUGUUGAACUAGUGACCGAGUAUUUUAUGGCUGAACAGAAAAAAAAUGAGGCUUUUUAUUUCAAGAUUGAGGGAGAUGGGCAUGACAGGUUUAGUCGAUGUUUUUGGGCAGAUGCAACUUCUAGACGGGCGUAUGGGUUUUAUGGAGAUGUUGUUGUAUUCGAUACCACAUUCAACACGAAUCGAUACGACUUGACAUUUGCACCAAUGUUGGGAGUUAAUAACCAUGGUCAGACAAUUGUCUUAGCAUGCGCAUUUUUGAGCAAGGAAACGACUGAGUCGUUUGUUUGGAUGUUUGAGGAGUUUAAGAAAGCCAUGCCAGGUGGGGAACCUAAAACGAUCAUUACAGAUCAAGAUGCGGCAAUGGCCAUAGCGAUUUCAAUAGCCUUCCCGAGUACAUUUCAUCGACUUUGCAUAUGGCACAUCACAUCAAAGUUCUCUGUUAAGUUACCACGUGACGCUUAUAAGGAGUAUUGGCCUGAAUUUCAGAAAGCCAUAUGGGAUACUGACAAUAAGGAUGAGUUUGAUGCAAAAUGGAAUAUUGUGGUUAUAAAGGCUGGUUUGACUGACCAUCCAUGGCUAAGUUCAAUGUUUGAUUUAAGGGAAUCUUGGGUUCCAGCCUACGCACGACAAUUUUUUGCCGCUGGAAUGUCAAGCAGCCAAAGAGCGGAAGGUUCUCAUGGUUUUUUCAAGCAAUACAUAUCAAGGAGAAAUUCGUUGAUGGAUUUCAUAAUACGAUUUGAGAGGGCAUUUUCUCAUCAACGUGAAAAAGAGUUAGUUGCUGAUCACGUAGAUGCAUUUGAAGUGGCUCAAUGUCUUCUACCGAUGCCAAUGAACAAACAAAUGGCUACCUUGUACACAAGGACAAUGUUUCAAAAGUUUGAGCAAGAACUAAUACAAAGUACAGCAUGUUUCCUAGAGCUCAAAACAGAGGAUGCAUGUAAAGUUGUGUUCAACGUGAGCGAAAGGAAAAAUUGGGAAACAAGAGUGGCAGAAGUCGUAUAUGUCAAAGAUUCUGACCACGCAUCGUGUAGCUGCAAAAGAUUUGAAUUUGUUGGAAUUAUUUGCAAGCACAUCCUAGCAUUGUUCAGAAGGGACCAGAUUGAAUAUAUGCCCGAUAAAUAUAUUUUGAAGAGGUGGAAGAAAACUGCGAAAUGUGGAUUGGUGUCAGAUGCAAAUGGCAACGAAAUUAAAGACUGUGCAGAUCCUGGCCUUCUAAUAAAGCGGAGUACAAUGUCUCGACUUGCUUCAAAUGUGGUUGAGGAUGCAUUAAUGAGUGAAGAAGGAUGUGAGCUACUGUCAGAGACUCUAAAAAGUUUGCAGGUGAAGUUGAAGUUGCUGAAGGAUGGACCAAGUAAUAACGAAGUUGGAGGGUCCAGCUCUCAAACACAAUAUAUGAAAGACCCUAAGAGAGUGAGGUGCAAAGGAAGGUCGAAAGGAAUAACGGGAGCAAAGGAAAAGGCAAUGAAGCGAGGGAUUAGACACUGUCGGGAGUGUGGACACAUUGGUCAUGAUAGAAGACAAUGCCCAGCCUUGAACACACCGUAAGAUGCUACCACUAUUUGUAAUAAUAUCUAAAAUAUGAAAAGGUAAAAUUUUUAUGUGCUUGUGUUUGAUGUUUAUGCAGGACAUCACCGUCGAACAAUGACAAAUCAACUCCAAUACAUCGUAGUGACCCAUUAUUCGACGAUUUUGACAAGAUGCACAGACCAACUGAAUGAUUGAUAUUUGUAUUAGACGAAAUGUGGUUGUUAUGAAGAUUAAUGAUCAAGUGAAGUUUUAUAGAUUCAGUUUUUGAAUGUUAUUGUGUUUUUGUUCAUGUCCACCGAUGAGCUCUUACUAUGUCCACUGGUAAUUGAAAUGAAAAUUUUCUUGGUUUCAUUCUUCCAAGACAUUUGGAGACAUGUUAAUUUUACGUCUUCUCCCUAUUUAUAAAUUUUCAUAGACAUUUGAUCAAGUUUGAAAUUUGUAGUUAUGUGAAGAAGCAAUGACUCUUACCAUGUAAAAUGGGCAGUUUAGGGUGAAAUUUGUUUUAACAGAGAUUCAUUUUUCAAUUCCUCAGGGUAAUGCAGCAAUUACAGCAGCCAGCUGUUGUUUCCAUUACCAGUAAUCAUUUCCAGCAGCAGCCACUUUUUCCGACUGGUUAUUAGGGGCACGAUUUUGUACACUUUUGUAAGUGAAGGAUACUCGAAGCACUUUGUUGGAACAGAGCAAAUAGAAACCAGCGGGUAAAAAAAAAACAUAACAUUGCAGCUAAUUACAUUUCGAUACAUAGGUGAAAAAUAUUAAAGGGUACACUAACUUACAUAAAUACUCAUAAUUCCACACACAAAAGAACAUUUGAUUGCAAAACAUAUUAUGUGCUUCCUCAUAGCAAUACCACGAUCUCCCCAACCAACUGAACAACGGUAGCCACAAUCACUGGGUCGUACUCGUCAGCUUCUUCUUAGCAGGUCUCACAUGCUUAUGGCCACUCAUAUCCCUAGUGAUAUACACGAAAUAAAUCUUCAGCAAUAUUUGGAAUUUUAUUAUAUAUAAAUAAACCAUAAACCAUUCAGUAAACAAUGUAUAGCACAUGUUAUGUAACUUAUGACUCACGUGUCAGUUUUUUUUUUAACACAUUAGUACUCCAGCUCUUUAAUGUAAAUGGACAUGAUAAGGAGCAUUUACUGAUUCCCGGCUUUCUAUGAUAUUGACUGCUUCUUGAAUAAUAUUUCCAUAUUUGCAAAAUAUAAUGUUAGACAUUAUAACACAUGAUGACUUGCAAUACAUAGUCCCAAUAAUUAUAUAUCAAGCAAAUGAAACUGAUAUUUGUGUUAUUUUAAGUUAGAUAAUGACAUUAAGGGAGUAUAUGUGCAAUACCACGGUCACCCUCAACCAACUGAACAGCGGUAGCCGCAAUCACUUAGUCGUAUCGGUCGGCUUCUUCCGAGCAGCUUUGACGUGCUUAUGCUCAUUCAUGUCACCCCCAUCGUCUAGUAUCUCUCUCACAGCAUCAGGGGACACAUAGUUCCAAUCAUAACUUGUAUGAGUAGUUGCCGCAAAUGCUCGGAAUUUGUCGAAUCCUUCGUUGAAUGCCAACUCCAGUUCAGUAUGGUGCUCUUCGCAUCGCAUAUGGUUCAUCAAACAACCUUUGAUUUCAUCAUUCAUUACUGUAUCCAACUCCUCAGCUUUCAGCUUCCUGCUAUGACUCAGCUUCAAGUACUUGUUCUUUUGGGAUAACGCUUUGUUCACCCUAAUGUUAAGAUCAGCCAAAAUUGCCUCGUCUUCAACACAUUUCUCGUGCCAUGAAUUGAUCAGUCUGGAAUUAUAAUCCAGCUUGCCACUGACUGCAUGUAUUGCCUGUAAUGGAUCAUCGGAGUCCCCCUCACUCCCAAAUGAUGUUGAAAAAGGAAGGGGUCGGCGAGUACAAUGUGGAAAUAGAACCUGCCACUCCAAUUUGUCAUCUUCGAUUGUGUUGUUGGCGCCUGAAGAGGUUGACAUGCUUGAAUAAUCCUCUUUGUUUUGGGAGGAUGAGGAUUGCAUAUGCAAUUUCGUUUGAGAAAGGGAACAUAGGUUUAUAGACCAACAUACCAAAGCUUGUGUGUAGUCAACAUAUGUACUUUUUGGCGGGAAUUUUUUAAAAAUAGGUGUUAGGUUUUGCUUUUCAAGCAUGUCAACCUCACACUCUCCUGACACCACUGCUAGUGGUUGAAACAAAGUCAAUGGAAGUGACAUCUACUUAGUUAACUCAACCAAACUAGUUAGGAUUAAACUUAGAUUGUAUCAGACCAAAAAAUAAUUUCUACUUUGUCAACCAAAUAUUUUUUGGCGGGAACCCUUUUCUUGGUAUUACUAUCACCCCUUUCAUAUAAAAUCUCCUUCCACACAAAACUCACUCCUCCACCGAAUCUGUCUCCAUCUACCGAUACUCUCUCAAGCAAACAAACUCAUUCCCCCCAAAGAAUGAGCAUAAGCACAACCAAGUUUGAUGUGAGCAUAAUAAACACCCCUCCAAACAAAGACCGGCUUCGACACGCAAGUGAGUCACCGGACAAGCAAUGUCACAUUGCUAGACAGAAUGACCAUUUUGUUGGAAGUUUUGAGUCUGAAAGAGUUGUUGCUUUUUGGAAGGAGAGGCAUCUUCAACUUGGUGAUGAAAUCCAAAGGGCAAGGGCACGUUUGGAAUUUGUGGAAGGCCAAAUUGAAGAUGACAAAAGGCAGGCCAAUCUGGAUAGGGCGAAGUUGUAGCGCAUGAAGCGUAGACACAAACGACUUCGGAGUGUAGCUGUUCAAAAAUACAAGAACUCAUCUAAUGUAGUGGAGUCAAAGAAGCGUGUGAUGCAAGCUGGAUUCGACUACUUCCGAUCCUAUGCAAAACUCGUCGUACCCGGGUUUGAUUGGUCAUCUAUUACCGUUUCCGACGUCACCAAAUAUACUCAGCAAGGGAAGUAACCAUUUUGGUUCUCGUGUUUUAGCAGAGGCAAAUAAGUGGAAUUGGAAUUUUGGUUACACUCUGCUUCAAAGCUAUUUUGAUGCUAACUACUAUGGAAGAUUUAAACCUUAAUAUUUUGAUGUCUUUAAUUACGAAAACAGAAGAUGCAAAGAGCUCAUCUACUUCAGCCAUAUGUUGCUGCCAUGUCCAUUUGUUUUUGAUCACUUAUCAGAUUUGGACAUGGUUGCAUCAUAUGCAAUGUUGCCUUUAUUUAUUAUAUGUUAGGACAAGGUUUAUGGAAAAGCUUUUGUGAGUGCGUUUGUGACAAGGUUAUGGAAUUAUUAUGUACACUUUAUAUAUUGUUUUUUGUACUGGUUCAUUUCCUACUAUUUCUUGCUUUCUUUAUAUUUUAUGUUUGUGGAAUCCCUCUCAAAGUUAACAUAUACUGUGAAAAAAAUAUUAUGCAACUGAUUAUAUAAUCACUCAUAUAGACUAGGACAAAUAUUCACUAAGGGUUUUAAACUUGCUUCACUUGUGUGAUGUUAUUGACAAAAAGUAUGGCAUUAUUUAUGUGAUUUGACAUGAUUGAAAAUAUAUUACUGAUUCCCAAUGCGGCGUCAUAUGGACAACGUAUUGAAUACCUGUGACGUGUUAAUAACUCAAGGUGCAGUUGCAUGUGGACAACUUCUUGAAUACCUCUGACGUGUUGAAAACUCUAGGUGCAGUUGCAUGUGGACAACUUAUUGAAUACGAACUGACGUCUUCAAAGCUCUAGGCGUAGUUGCAAUGAUGGCUUCAAAGCAUGUGCAAUUAUUUUUUAUGUACAUUAUUAUAACAAAACAUAUUAUUGUAUAUAGUGAAACUAAAUAUUGUAUUAUUAGAAAUUAUAUUUCGAAUAUUAUCCGAAAUAUACGUGUUAACGUGAAUUUGGGUUAAGAGGAAAGUGAGUUAUGUACAAAUAAUUUUCAUUUUCUCAUUUUCCGGGCAUUUUUUGGAUUUUCGUAGAAUUUAUUACCUAUGUCCACAGAUUGUUGCACUAAAAAAGCCAAAAUAAUAGCAAGAGGACACCUGGAGCGAUCUCAGCCCGUCACUGAUGACUACUUGCACAAGUGUACGUCAGUCAACAUGGCCACACCCUCCCAUUUUACCCUAAAUUAUUAUUUUAUUACUUUUCCUUACAAAAAUCAGAACUAAUUACACACAAAAUAAAAAAAUUAUCCGAAAAUUGCUACGAACUCAUUGACACUCCAUCUCCGUUGCUGAAUUCUCCGAUUCAUUGUUACGUAUUUGUAAAAUUAAUUCCCAACAUUAACGGGAGAUGCUUGUUGAAGUAGGUUAUUCAAGUUGAAGUUAACAAACAUCAAUACUUAGGGUUAAGAGGAAAGUGAGUUAUGUAACACAAUUUGGAUUAUUUCAUUGCGAGACGAAUGAUUUAUAGGUUCUCCUAGUUUUAUGACGUCACAAGUAGGCCGGAGUAAUUUUUGGGGCAUUUUUACGAUUUUCCUACUAUUUUUUACCUAGUUUCAAAGAUUUUUGAACAAAAGAAUCCAAAAUGUAAAAGAAGAUGACACCUGGCGCGAUCUCAGCCCGUCACUUUUCACUACUUGCACAAGUGUACGUCAGUCAACAUGGCCACAUCCUCUCAUUUUACCCUAAAUUAUUAUUUUAUUACGUUUUGUCUUGGAAAAUUCAUAACUAAAUACACAAAAAUUCAAAAUUAUUUCUGAAAAUUGCUACGAACUCAUUGACACUCCAUCUCCGUUGCUGAAUUCUCCGAUUCAUUGUUACGCAUUUUUAAAAUUAAUUCCCAACAUUAACGGGAGAUGCUUGUUGAAGUAGGUUAUUCAAGUUGAAGUUAACAAACAUCAAUACUUAGGGUUAAGAGGAAAGUGAGUUAUGUAACACAAUUUGGAUUAUUUCAUUGUGAGACGAAUGAUUUAUAGGUUCUCCUAGUUUUAUGACGUCACAAGUAGGCCGGAGUAAUUUUUGGGCCAUUUUUACGAUUUUCCUACUAUUUAUUACCUAGUUUCAAAGAUUUUUGAACAAAAGAAUCCAAAAUUAACAAGAAUAUGACACCUGGCGCGAUCUCAGCCAGUCACUUUUGACUACUUGCACAAGUGUACGUUACCGAACAUGGCCACAUCCUCCCAUUUUACCCUAAAUUAUUAUUUUAUUACCUUUUUUCUUGGAAAAUUCAUAACUAAAUACACAAAAAUUAGAAAAACGAUCCGAAAAUUUCUACGAACUUAUUGCGAUUUCAUCUUCCUACUGCAUUCCCUGUUUAAUGGUUAUGCUACAUUAGUAUUUUAUUAUUAUUUAUCCACAAUUAUUAUAAUUAUUAUGAUAUUACUUUUUAGGCUGUCCAUUUGUUAAUUAUACCACAUCCAACUUGUUGAAAACAAUUUUAUUUUCCGUGCGAAUAGGCCAUUUGUAGUGCUUAUCGGUUUCUCUGUUCUUCAAUUUGUUAAUUUUUUUAUUUUUUAGGUUGAAGGGAUGUUUUGAAACAUAAUAUGGAAAUAUACAAGUCAUCCAUUGUACUCCUUCCACACAAAAAAAUAGUCUACGUCAUUCACUGUUCAACACCCUAGGUUAAGACACGUGUAACCAAAUCCGUUCGGAUAUGCUAAGUGGGAAAAUGUCAUUCCCAAGCACUGGUGAAAAGACACUUAUUUACUCCAUGCAUGACUUUUGGUUUACCAAAUAUGAAGAUUGGGGUCGGUGAGCAAAAUAUCUGUGUCAGUAAAAUGUCAUUCCUAGCCAUCUAUGAUGUAAGUAAUAAUUCCGCUAUAUAAUAAAUAUUAUACAUUUAUAUAUAAAACGGUUUAUGACAAAAUACCAACAUUUGAACAACAUUUAAACUGAGAUAGGUAUAACGUAGCCAGCCAACCUAGAAGUGAAGAGAAGCAAGUCCACAAUGCAUCAAAACUGUAAAUUCGUACUAAAACUAAUGCAAAAAUACGUGAUUCCCUCGCACAACUUACUCACGCAGGAUUUUGCACCAAAAAAUACUCUCACGGUGCCAUUUGCAUCGGUUGCAGCAAGUCCAAAACGCAGGAUUUAUCUUGUCUUCACUAGGCCACCCUGGAAUAACAAAAUACCAUUCAUUGUUGUUACAAGCGCUGCACCGAUUGAACUUAAUCUUCCCAUAGUCAAACAUAUCUACGAUAUGUCUUGCAACAAAUGCUCCGCGACAUCUUCCUGUUAAAGCAUCCCUGGUUCCUUUCAUAUCAAUGUUGUUACGUUGAUUCAAAGAACACAAGAAUUGUAAUGCAUCCUCUUUUGACUGACCAAUUCCGGACAUACCAAGUAGUCCAACUACAUAUGCCGCUUCCAUAUGGCCUGCCGUGGCUGCAAUGCGCAUCCCAUACAACGCUUCCACCUUACCGUCUGUGAAAAAACCUUCGAAUGCUUCUCUAAAUAUGGACUCAGGGUUAUCGCAAGCCCUGCAUUGUUGCAAGAAAUGCUGGACUGCAGGUUUGGCACGGUAGCAGAUAGGAUGGUGUGGGUACUUUGCCAUUGAAAUGGUGUUCCACACUUGUGGACUGUUUGCCAAAAUGUUGAACAAUCGGCACACACAUGCCAUACGGAAGAGAUCUUCCGAUGAUUCGGUUGCCACGUAUAACAUCACUUGAAACCAAGCGGACUCCGGGAUAAAGGCUUCGGGCAUAUCGAAAUGGAGAUGCUUCCUUCUCUUUCCUCCGACUGUAGUGAAGUGUUUCGAAUUCAUUGAAAAGUUUUUGGAAUGGAACGAUUUGAGGAGUGGCAGAGGGGAUAAAUGAUAAUAUUUGGGGUACACGUUCUACUUCCGAGCCUCUGUUUAUAGUGUUUUGAAAAGGUGUUUCCAGUUGGGGUUUUUCCAAGUUGACCCUUUUGAAAGAAACUGAAUCCAAGUGAAUUAAAACUUAAGACAAAAGAAGGGAAAACGUCAUAACGGUGCAUACAGAGUCAGACAGUUAAAAAGUUAAUUAAAUGGCUAUUUGCAUAGCCAUUUUUGGGUUUAUCCCACUAUCAAAUUCAUUGAUACAAAUGUGAUGGAUUACUGACUAGUGACAGAAGGUCCCAUCAUAUACUUUUUCAUUUUCGCACACCCAACUAUCCCUAGUAAUGUUAUUAAAAUGGAACCAAUAAUGACGGAUUCUUAUCCAACUAGUUGCCUUAAUGAAAUAUAAAUAAAUUAAUAAAAUUGAAGCAGUGUCCCGUCAUUAGUCAGAAAAUAUAUUUGGUAGUGAAGUAGUUUCUAUUGCUUUUCGGGCUAAAAGAUGUCACAAUGCUGACGGUACAGGUGUCGACAUCGUGACCAACCCACCAAAUGAUCCCAAAAAAAAGUAAUAUAACUCGAUUUGGGCAGAGAUGAGAGAGAGCUGAGUGACAAGUUUAGGGUUAUGAGUGAAGGGGUAUGAAUGACAACUAUGAGUGAGAAGGUAUGAGUCCGAAGAGGUUUCAGUGAGAAGAUUUGAGUGAGAAGAGGUACAACUGAGAAGAUUCAACAUGUCUUCGUCUUCAUCUCCUGCUCAAACAAAGAGGUGUCAGUAUUGUGGAGCUACAAUGGUGCUUCGGGUUUCAAAAUCUGAAAAAAAAUCGAGGGAAGCCAUUCUGGAAGUGUCUAACCUCCUAUGUAAGUUUUAAUUUAAAGAAUAUGUAUGUGGGUGAAAAAAAACCUAUGUCUAACUCUGACAGAAUUAUAUUCCAUAUAUGAUGCCUGCAAUUAGGGAGCCACCAGUUGCAAUGGAUUCGAAUGGGUUGAUGUAACCUCCGCUGAAGCAGAACAUCAAGAUGACACGUAUGAUGUUAGAGUGCUGAACAUGCUGAAGUCCAUUAAGGACUUGGUAUUAGUUUUAUUAGUUGUAUUAAUUGUCAUUUUAUUUGUUCUUUUAAUGAUCAUUUAACUGCACGGUUUAAAAGAUUGUGAAAGUUCUCUCGCACAAGACAUAUUGCACGCACCACCAAUGAGACCCUAAACCCAUUUUGUAAUAUUUGGUAACUGCAUGUAUUUCGCAUGUUAUUGAAUGUUUAUUGAAGGUUUAUUGAUAGUUUGCUGCAUGUAUAUGGAAUAUCAUUGCCCCAAAAUUGGAUGUUUAUUGGGGCCACAAGUAUCACUCAAGUAAGAAUGAAGGGGAGAAACGGACCUUAUUCUUUCUUAUAGUAGGAAGAACAACUGUUAAGUUUAAUAUCCUAUUCAAUACGACUUCCCUAUGGUUGGUGUACUUGGGGACUGAAGUAUAUUGCAUCAUUAUUGUGGGCAAGGGCAUGUCUAUUGUGUGUGUUAAGGGAGUAUUGUGUGGGCAAGGGCAUGUCUACUGUGUGUAUAUUGCAUGUCUACUGUGUGUAUAUUGCAUAUCUAUUCUCUGUAUAUGGCAGGCCAAGUUUGUGUAUAUUGUUUGUCUGUUGUGUGUGUAUUGCUUGUCGGUGCGUUUGUGAAUUGUGGUUCAUUUUGUGUAUAUUGUCUUUGUUUCUACUUUUAUGCUACUGAGCUGCGGAAAACCUCGCAUGUUUAGACACCUAUUAUGAUGCAACACAUUGCGAUUAAUGGUGGCUUGCAUCAACAAUGACAUAUCACUUUGCAAUGAUGUAAUACACUUAAAAAGCCGUCUUCAAAUCCCAAUUCACAUAUGCAGUCUUAAAAUUCUAAUUCAAUGCAGUUUGGUUAACAAACAUGUAAAUGUCAUGAAGGAGUUAGCGGUAGAAUUCGAUAAGGACCCGUACGUCUCUAUUGUGUAUUUACAUUAGUUUGAGAAUGGACAUUCCCAAAACCUUCUCAUGUACCAUUUGUCAUCUUCAACCAAUAUCAUGGGAAGUAAGCAUCUCCCCUUGUUAUCUCCGCAGCCAAUUUCAACCGAAAAAAAGGCAUGUUGUGCGAGGUGCAAGUAGCUAACGGAAGCUUAGCGCUGAAAAGCUCAAUGUACUUUAACACAAACAUGCCACAAUCGCCUCUGAAGCAAAACAAGAACUCGAUCAAUUCAACUAAUGACAUUCUAAUGUAAUUGACAAUUGAAAGUAAUAAAAUUAAAUUGCAAGUUGUGCUUACUCAUUAGACUGUUGUGGAACAUCCACACGCUCUAUUGGCCACGGACACCACCAAUCUCGGCUGCAAUUGUUUGCAUAAACACCUUCUUCAUAAAAGUCGAUGGUGUUGAGAAGAUUUGGAAGCGUAAUUGAUAGCGGGCCGAGUUCUUCCUUUACGAUGUCAUCUGGAAUUAGUGAAACCUUUGAAUCGUACACUUUGAUUCACACAAUACCAGAUCAAACANNNNNNNNNNNNNNNNNNNNNNNNNNNNNNNNNNNNNNNNNNNNNNNNNNNNNNNNNNNNNNNNNNNNNNNNNNNNNNNNNNNNNNNNNNNNNNNNNNNNNNNNNNNNNNNNNNNNNNNNNNNNNNNNNNNNNNNNNNNNNNNNNNNNNNNNNNNNNNNNNNNNNNNNNNNNNNNNNNNNNNNNNNNNNNNNNNNNNNNNNNNNNNNNNNNNNNNNNNNNNNNNNNNNNNNNNNNNNNNNNNNNNNNNNNNNNNNNNNNNNNNNNNNNNNNNNNNNNNNNNNNNNNNNNNNNNNNNNNNNNNNNNNNNNNNNNNNNNNNNNNNNNNNNNNNNNNNNNNNNNNNNNNNNNNNNNNNNNNNNNNNNNNNNNNNNNNNNNNNNNNNNNNNNNNNNNNNNNNNNNNNNNNNNNNNNNNNNNNNNNNNNNNNNNNNNNNNNNNNNNNNNNNNNNNNNNNNNNNNNNNNNNNNNNNNNNNNNNNNNNNNNNNNNNNNNNNNNNNNNNNNNNNNNNNNNNNNNNNNNNNNNNNNNNNNNNNNNNNNNNNNNNNNNNNNNNNNNNNNNNNNNNNNNNNNNNNNNNNNNNNNNNNNNNNNNNNNNNNNNNNNNNNNNNNNNNNNNNNNNNNNNNNNNNNNNNNNNNNNNNNNNNNNNNNNNNNNNNNNNNNNNNNNNNNNNNNNNNNNNNNNNNNNNNNNNNNNNNNNNNNNNNNNNNNNNNNNNNNNNNNNNNNNNNNNNNNNNNNNNNNNNNNNNNNNNNNNNNNNNNNNNNNNNNNNNNNNNNNNNNNNNNNNNNNNNNNNNNNNNNNNNNNNNNNNNNNNNNNNNNNNNNNNNNNNNNNNNNNNNNNNNNNNNNNNNNNNNNNNNNNNNNNNNNNNNNNNNNNNNNNNNNNNNNNNNNNNNNNNNNNNNNNNNNNNNNNNNNNNNNNNNNNNNNNNNNNNNNNNNNNNNNNNNNNNNNNNNNNNNNNNNNNNNNNNNNNNNNNNNNNNNNNNNNNNNNNNNNNNNNNNNNNNNNNNNNNNNNNNNNNNNNNNNNNNNNNNNNNNNNNNNNNNNNNNNNNNNNNNNNNNNNNNNNNNNNNNNNNNNNNNNNNNNNNNNNNNNNNNNNNNNNNNNNNNNNNNNNNNNNNNNNNNNNNNNNNNNNNNNNNNNNNNNNNNNNNNNNNNNNNNNNNNNNNNNNNNNNNNNNNNNNNNNNNNNNNNNNUUUUCCUCUCCCUCAUCUCUAUUAUUUGGCCCUUCACCCCCUUCAAUCCCUUCAUCUUCUUUUUCCUCUCCCUCAUUUCUGUUACUUGGCCCUUCAUCCCAUUGAAUGUCAUCCAUUUCCCCAUAUCCCUUAAAUAGAUGUGAGACGACACAACGAUUCGUCCUCUGUUUCAGUAAAGCUAGGUCCCUCCUUACUUCCUGCUCAAACUGAGGACCUAAACAUUGGUCCAAUAGUUUUUCCAUCCGUAUGACCUUUAAGUGAAGGACGUCUUUUUCCCGCUUUUCUUGAAACAACUCGGACCUCAACAAGCUUACCACCUUGUUCAACUCAUCAAGAUCACCACAUGAAGAAGGAAUUGACUCUGCCGAGACAACAGCAGGGCGAUCCUGUGGCCAACUCCAAUAUGGCUGUCUCAUUUCCUCUUCACUUAGACAUAGCGCCCGCAACUGAACUGACUGUUUCAGAAUACAGACAAGAGUCAUAUUAAAUCAUUCUACUUCAUAAUUUCAUUCAAUCUUAUCAAUAGUUCUAAGGGCUGCAAACCAAACCUCUUUGCUCUGGAAAAAAUAAUUGUUCAACUUUCUCAUCUCUGGAACAGACGUAGUAGUUCUCCAUCGCAAAAUACGCGGGACAGCGGUCGGAUCAACAACCUUGCAGUAAUUCAGGUCCGCCAUUCUAGGAAUUAAUUCAUAUACCCAAAUCUACACAAUUCACAGGACAAAAGUCAUUAUUUAUGUUUUAAAGAAAAACAAAACAUAACUGACAUGAACAUUAUUACCAUGUACCUGGAAAGCAUACGUGAAACCUUUAAAACUCCAGCCACUCCUUUGCGCUUCACUAUGCUUAUCCUUCUUGCCCUUCUCAUUUCUCCGGCUUGUUCCCGUUACCUUACUUUUCCCCUUCCCUCUUCCCUCUUCAUUUUCCAAGCUUUUCACAUACUUUGUUGGUGCAGAAAAUAGACUGUCUUGGGUUUUGUCAAAGGACACCGAACCCCACGGAUACCUGUUGAACGCAUCCAAGUCCUCUACAAGGGUCAGGUAAUUUAGAUUGAUGUUCAAAUGUUUGUCCCUUCCCAAAACCACUAACUCAGCAAAGUAAACAAGAGGUAGCUUGAAGAUGUCAUCUUCCUCUGUGCACCUCACAAAUGCUUCUUCUAAAGCAUUGCAUGUAAUUCCUUCGUCUAUAAAAUAUCUUUUCUGAAGUCUGAUUUCAUUACUCUCUCCACUGGAAACUUCAGGCACUUCCCCAAAACGAAGCCCUGUGAUCAAACAGAAAUCCUGACGAGUGAACUGAGCAACGUCACACCCUAAUAAGAAACUCAGUCCAUCCAAGUCUUUCACACCCUGCCCCGCUACUCUACGCAACACAACCCCAUGCACAAUCUGUCCGCUAAACUGAAUCUUAUCUAUAUUCAGAAGAUGGCCAAAGCAUGAUGUCUUGAAUUGUUCUAAUUGUUCCGCACUCAACUUCGCUCGAAUUGCAGCUAGAGAUGAAUUUGCAUGUGAGCAGUUGUUCACCCGUGAUGAAUAUACCUCUGCCUCUGGCCAUACCAGCUCCACGUUGGAUCCCAUUUCCUCAAAUACAAUGUGAAAUAACGUGAACAUAUAUACUACCACGUAUUUGCACAAUCACAACUAGUCAACCAGGCACAUUACAACUUUUACAAAGUACAUGAGCAUAUGGAUUACUCAUCACAGGCUUUAACAUCAUCAAAGCAAUAUGACAAUUUUUGUGCAAAUACCUGUUAAUGCAAUGAUUAUGUGAAUUACAAACAAUUUCACGUGUUUUAUUUAUGGAUCCAUACUCGUGUGAGUGCAAUGUAGGCAAGUUCUGCACUUCACACACAUGACAAUUAUUGUCAUCUCAUACACAACCCAAAAUAAAUAAAUAAGAAAUAUAGUGGAAGGAAGCAAAGCAAAGCAUGUACUCUGCUAUCUGCUUGCUAAGCAAUUGCCACAUCCUUCUUUCUUUCUACCUUUUUCUUCAGUCACCCACAAUCGUCAUAGAUCAACCUUCAUUUCAAAUGCUUUGCACUUUUAUUCAUGAGUUUAUUAUUAUCUGUUCUCAUUUCUCAUAGGCAAAUUUAGUAACAAAUGAAAUAAUAUUUAUUUCACAAAAUAUAUAAAUUCUAGUGCCAGAGAGGUACUCUUCACUCUGCACUGCUUCAAAUGUGGAAGGUUUUGAGAUGUUAUUGACAUGUGAUUGACUUUAUUUUCAUUCGUUUUUUAACAUAUACCCAAGCAAAAAUUAACAUGCAAUUGAAGCACAAAUAAGAGAUGCCAAAUCCAACAACAUUGAUGGUACAAAUUGGGGAAAACCAUUACUCUAACCCUAAACUCAAAUUCCUUACAUUACUCAUCAAAUGCUUUGCAGUUCUAUUCAUGAGUUUAUUAUUAUCUGUUCAAAUGUUUCUCAGGCAAAUUUAGUAACAAAGGAAAUCAUAUUUACUUCAUAAAAUAUAUAUAUAUAUAUAUAUAUUCUAGCGCCUCUUCUUAAUCUGCACUAUGCACUGCUUCAAAUGUGGAAGGUUUUGAGGGCCUCCUCCAAUUCAACACCAUUAUCUUAUUCAUAUCAUUAUUGACAUGUUAUUCACUUGUUAUUGACUUCAUUUUCAUUCUUUUUUUAACAUAUACCUAAGCAAAAAUUAACAUGCAACUGAAGCACAACGAAGAGAUGCCAAAUCCAACAAAAUUUAUGGUACAAAUUGGGGAAAACCAUUACUCUAACCCUAAACUCAAAUUCCAUAAAUUACUCACCAAAUGCUGGUUAUUGCAAGGUGUCUGUGUGGGGUCUUUCUGUUUCUUUGCUCCACAAAUGGAACCUACCACUUCCAACGAAUACAGCUUUUCCCCUUCCCCUUCCACUGCUUCGCCUCUUCACUGAUUUGGAAUCCACACCUUUGCCCCUUCUACUCCAAAUAAAUACUUUCUCGGGGUCUGGAGAACGGAGUGGCGAAUCGUUGCCUUCAACUGUCGUUAGCCGUUGCCUUCAUUGGGUAUCUCAGACCUCUGUGUUUUAGAGAGAUGAGUUCUUUCUGUUCAAACUUCGAACUUGCCUCUUCUUCUUCUUUUUCGGACGUGUUUCCCUCUUCUUCUUCUUUUUGGACGUGCUGGAUAUUCAAUUCGGGUUUGGGUUCCUUACCUACCCAAUUGUGAAACUUUAACUCAAUUCUCCCCAGCCCUUGGAUUAAUCUGAUGGCUAUAAAGUGAACCCCUUAUAACUUACCCCUUAUAACUUUCCACUCAUUAUAGUCUUGGCCAGGUAUGGCGGCCAUGCUAGUAAGUGUUGGGUCUUUGACCCAACUUAAGCUAAAUGGGUCAUAAGAUGACCGAUCAUCUUAUCUCAUAAGGAUAUAUAAGUCAUGUUAUGAUUUAGGAUUUUAUAGGGUUUCCUUUGUAAGAGGUAAGAGAGAAACAAGCUCUCUCUCUCUCUACACAAGGAGGUCAGCCAUAGCAAGGGAAAGGCUCCUAGCACUCUCCUCUCUCUUAUUAUAUCAUCCUUCCAAGGACAGCUUUGGUAUGGUAAAGUUGGAGGUUGCACACUUUGUGCACUUUGGUAAGAACUCAUCCAAGGGAGCCAAGAUUAAAUUGGUUAGCUGUUGGAUUAAAUUGGUUAGCACGAUUCAACGGUUAAUAGAUAAAACUUCACAUAAAAGUCAUAUAUAAGGCCCUCACUAUAGAAUGACUCGUUAGUUUAGUCUCUUGUUACAUAUCAAAUGUUAGAGAUAUUUUUUAAUAAGGAUCUGCCAUACCACAUAGUUGGAUAAGACAUUAUACACGGCUUUUGUAAGAGCAUCUCCAGCGCUCCAAACUAGCCCAAGCAGCAGGGGGGCCUAAGUCUAGGAAGCAGCUCCAGCUCGCAAGAUUCAACCCAGGCAAGGUGUGGAACCCACGAGGAGAUCUAGCCCGUCACCUUGCCUUUGGGUUUCAGUCAAGCUGAUGUCAACGAAAGAAUUUCAAAUUUUUUUUACCGUUACAAUGUACGCGCCAACGAUAAAUUUUCUUUGGAUUUCUUGCAUUGAUCCACAGCUACCAAAAACCAACAGCUACAAGCCACGUGGCUUCUCCAGGAGCCUCCGAUCCAAAAAUCAUGUCAAAUCUAACGGCAGUCCAUUUUUUGGCUAAAAAUAUCAAAAAAUUAUGGAAACAUGUUCUAUAAAUUCCUACAAAUAUUAUUCACUUCCCACACCAAAUCUUCAUACAAAUUCAUAUCCUUUCAAUAUUUUUCACUUUCCAUACAAGAUUUUCUACUACUAAGUUUCGUUUGUGUAAAAAUACAAAUGACCUCUUCUAUCGAAGCCGGAGGCGCGUGUACAACCGUGGAAGAUAUUUUGUUGCGUGAGUGUUGGGUCAAAGUUGGUCAUUCCCUGAUCACGGGCAAUGAGAUGAAGUCCUCUCGUAGGAGUUUCUGACAUCGCAACGAAAGUAAGAUGUGAUAUGAAAAUGUAAGGAAUUUGAUGAGAGGAAUGGGAUUUGAGGAGUUUGAUGUAGGAAUUGAUGUAGGAAUUGAAUUUGGGAGGUAUGUAUAUAAGAUUUGAGGGUAUGUGUUUAGGGAUUUUGAUAAGAGGAUUUGAGGAAUUUAGAUUUGAAGGAUUUGGAUUUGGGGAAUUUAAAUAUGAGGAAUUUGAUUAGGGUUUGGGUUUGAAUAUGUGAAAUUUGAUAUGAGAGUUUAGAGACAACAGAUGAUCGAUUGCUCUGAUACCAUGCUAAAAUAUGAUAUGGUUUGAAUACUUUAGGUUGAGUUUUAUUCUUUUCCAUAAAAAGGUAUAUAUAGGAGUUUACAUGAGUGCUUUACAAAGAAAUAGAUACAAUAAUCAAUUAGGAUAAUAUCUCCUAAUUAUACAAUAAUUUGUCAACUAUAUAGAAUAGGAAAGUAAAUUCCUUAAUUAAUCAAGAAAAUAAAUCUCAUUGAUUAAUUAGGAGACUAACGUCAACAUUUAUAAGCCAUAAAAGAGCAGAAAAAGAGGUACUUAGGAGAUUUUAUACGUCGGACUAAGGUAAGCUUAAAGGACUAUAUCAAAAAAAUAAGGGACCAAGAAGCAAGACAGAGAAGUUGUUAUGCAAACCCAUUAAGUUUAGCAGUGAUGAAUUUGUAAAAAUCAUUCUAGUGGAUUCUGCCUUCACUAUUGAGUUCUUAUUGAGGUUCUAUCUGAAAGGAUCUGGACAUGAAGGAGACCGCUUAUUAAACAAACCGUGGAUGUUUACAGCCUGACAUGUGGUUGCUUGAAAAUCAGCUCCCAUUCUUUAUUCUUGAGGAUCUUUAUCACACAUACAUAAUAACCGACUCUUUUAGGAAUUAUUACAGUACUCAUGAUCAUGAGAGGCUUUCAAUAAUUAAUAUUUCUAAGAAUUUCUUCACAGCCGGAAUAUUGAAUUUGGAGGGGAAGGGAGACAAAUGGAACAGAAUAUCAUCUUCUUCUAGUGUUGGAAAUUUUAUAUUAUUUAAUAAUAUUUAAUUUCUAUUGUGAAUGAAAAAUAAGUUUCUUUAAGAAACGUGUGUCUUAGGCCAGUUUUUCUAACUGGUCGGCUUCCUUAGAUUUGUGCCUAUUGCUUUUCAAAGUAUAAUGAUGCAAUGGUUGUAUCUCGUUCAGGCAAAUGGAAGGUAUAUAGCAAUUUAUAGAACAAUACAGUAAUCCAGAAGAAAUAUUAUGAAAUGAAAAGAAUAAAAAGUAAAAAAAGAGAAAGAAAGGAAUUCCCACCUGCAAUGUAUAUGUAUGAAAGGAAGGACCAAGUUUGUUUUAAAAUGGUAAGAACAAGUUGAUUUUAAAUUGGGUUCAGAUCAACUCAUAGAUUUCUUGCCUUUUCUGUUCUCCUUCCUUGGACAUGAACUGUUUAAUCUUGGACUCUUCCCCAUCAUGUUGGGCCUGUCUUCUUCUUGAGGAUUGUAUAGGCCUAGGAAAUGCUUCGGGGUAGUUUUUGUGUUUUGGGCAUUGGGACCCAACUUCACAAAAAGAAAACAAAUUUGACCAAAACACAAAUUUGAAGGACAUUGAAAUUGUACCCGUAGGAUAGAUUAAAACACUAUAAGGGAGGUAAAUAGUACGUUUACAGAGUUUAAGUGUAAUAAAGGAAUAAAAACAUGCCCAGAGAAUUGAUAAGUGAUAUCAAUUCUUGAAUAUACGUGAAAAUUAUUUUAUGUGGUUAAACCCCACCUCUGGGGAAAAUCCACGGAACUUCUUAGUCCAACUUCUAUCACUUAUCCUAGACACAUUCUAGAUAAUGUUUGCCAACCUCUUCGUAACUCAACUUCUGUCACGAGAUGAUCUUUCAACACUUUAUGUCGAACGCAAUACUGGUCACGAUUUCUUCAAGCUCGCCGGAGUUCUUCCAAUUCUCCUUAUAUUGAAUCUGAUACUAGUCACGAUCGAUUCAAGCUCAUCGGAGAAAAAUCGCCACAACAAUCUUGGUGCCCUCAACCGUAUGAGUCACUGAACAUGCAAAUGAAUACAAUAUGAAUGAUAAAAGUGUUUGAUAAAUCACCAAGUUAUGGAACACUUGAUGAUUUAUCUCAAAUAAAAAUUCAGCUUUCCAAAGUUUAUGAAUUGAAAAUAUGACCGUUAAAGCUCUCUAAACAAAGAAGACGAAGGUCUUAUUUUAUAGACUUUUACUUUACAAGAAAGAAAACACGUUGAAAACCAAAUCUCCAAUUUCCAAGGCUUGACAGAAAAUCACAAAAUUAUCUUUCCUAUUCUAGAGAUUGGUCACAUGAAGUCCAACCAAUAGGAAAUGAGAUAUUUAAGAAAGGAAGAUUUUGAUCAAUAUCAAUAUCAAAUGAAUUCUUAUACGCCUAGUCAAUUGUUAUGGGUAUCUUGACUCCUUGAUAUUGUGAUAUGAUUGAAACAUGAUUUCCACGUUAGAAAAUUAAGGGGAUGUUAAAACAUGAAGGUAAUAGGAGAAUCAAAUUGAUUUGGGCCAAAAUUGCCUAAAAAGAAAACACUCCUUAAUAAACUUCAAUUUACUUUUAAAAAUAGUAAAACGUGAUUGAAUCGUUCUUUAAAACAAUUCCCUAAUAUACAUGCAUGAUAGUGAUAUCACUUACCUUUGAAUCAGAUGGCUUUCACGGGUCAAGCCACAAGUUUUUGUCUUGGGGAUUGCUGAGCUUCAUCAAUCCUGCCAAUGUCAAUUUUGCCCCUAAGCUCUCUCAAAGCACGUUUACAACCUAUGCUAACAUAUAUUAGAGUUUAUGUUAGUAUCAAGAAAAUGCCAACACUAAUUUCGUAACACGUAGAAAUUGUUAGAGAUUGAAGUUUUUAUCAUUUUUUCUUCCAGACUCUCCACCACUCACUAAUAUAGUUUACUCAUGUGAUGAGUUUACAAAACCUAUUUCUCUACUCUCACAAAGACUAUACUUAGGGGGGUGUAUUCAAUUAGGAUUCUAAAGCGUUUAAAAAGAUUUUGUUUAAGUGCCAGCUUUCAUAGAACUUGAUGGAACUUUAUAAUUCGUAUAGAACUUGAUAGACUUUCAGAAGACUUCUGUAUAAUUUUUUAAUAAAACUUUCUUAAGCUUUCAUAGAACUUGAUAGGCUUUCAUUCCAAACUUAUGUAGAUGGUAUAUUUCAUUUUAUCCCCAUCCUUGACAUUUAAAGAAAGAAACUUGAAUUUUUUCAAUCAAAUUUGUUUUUGUUACCAAAGCAGCAAAAACAAAAAGUACUUGUUUGCGAUGGAAGAACAUAUGCACAGUUCAAAAUGAAAAGAAUAAGAAGCAAAGUACCUAUUUGACCAAUGAAUGCUGUGUCAACUAGAGAAGCAAUUGGAUCGGCUGUCAAAGCCAAUGCUGCAGGCAAUGCAUCGAUGGUCCAAAUUGCAAUAAAAAAAUAUUUUGAAUAAUGGCUCUUGCAGACAAAGACCACAUAAAUUCUGAACUGGUCUAGCUUGAAUAAUAAGGUUAGAUUAGCCAAUUGAUGAGAUUAAAAGCAAAGCAAGUUGAUGAAUUUAUCAUCAACUAUUUAAUAACCACAGUCCUGAUCUCUUGGACCCCUGUAGUCCAAGAGAUUUAUGGUCACCCACCGUUGGAUGUAAAUUCAACGGUUGACUUGAAUCGGGUAAUAAUCAUUUAUGUCAUAUUGCAUUUAUAUAUAUCAUUUUGAACCAUUGGAUUAAUAUCCAACGGUGGGUGACCACAAUCUCUUGGACUCCUGUGGUCCAAGAGAUCGGGACUGUUAAUAACCAAUAGAGUAUUUAAACAUAAACAACAAUGUUUGAUCAACAAAACAAAUAGUCCAAAUAUCAUCCAAAAAACAAUAACAAAAAAUCAAUCAUUCCAAACAAACUAGUCAUUCUCAAAAACUCUCAAAAAACCCACUCAUUCCAAAUUGUAGGAUAUCCAAUUUGAGCACUCCUCAGGAGACAUUUUCAAAAAUGCAUCCUUUUUUGUGUUACUAUGCAACAAAGAGAGUGCUUUAUAACGAGCAUGUUCAUCCAAAUUUGGGGUCUCCUUAAUGGCAUCCCAUAUAUAACUCCGCUGCUCUCUCUCUUUUUCCCUUUUUGCCAAUAGGUUAUGGACCUCCCGGAAGUCGAUGACAAUUGAAUCAAUGCUAAGGCUAAUUCUUCCCAUAGCUUGCUGGGUGGUCACAUUUGAGAUAGCAUUCCCUUCCAAAUAUGUUCUAGUUCGUUUCCUCUAGUAACAAGCAUAAAUCCUAGUAACAAGCAUAAACCCUAACCCCAACCUAUAACCUAAUAACAAGAAGAAAACCCAACGAGGUAUUGAUCAAAGAAAAAUUAGGGAGCAUACCUUCACAGAUGGAGGAAGGAAGCUGUUCGUCUUCGCAGAGAGAAAAUCUAGGGAAAGAGAAAAACGUCUUAUGAAAUACUUGGGGGGGAGGUUGGAUUUAUUUUGGUCUUUUUUAUUUAUAACUCUCCCCUUAAAACCUACGUAAAUUUAUCACUUAAUGAAAUCCUUCCAAAUAUAUGACCUUUCGAAUACACCUAGAUUUGAUUCAACUUUUUUAUAAUCAUAAUUGAAUACACCCAUAUUUGAAUGGACUUUUUAAAAGUUCAUAUAGGUCCGAAAUGAAUAUACUCAAACUUGUAAAACCUCUUUUAAAGUUUGUAUAAAUCCAAAUUGAAUACACCUGGAUUUUUAAAAUCUUUUUAAACACUUUAUAAUCCUAAUUGAAUACACCCCCCUUAUUCUCAAAAGACUAUAUUACUUUACCUCUAUCUCUGUGAAAUGUAAAAAGUUGAAACUUUAAUGUCAAACCUCAACAAAAGAUGAACUUUCAUCAGUUACGUUGAAUUUGGAUUUGUUGAACUUAAGUGGUUUUAUUUUCUUUGUCAGUGUUUGAUGACUUAAUUUGGUAUUUAUUUCUUCUUUUUUUUCCUUGGAAAUGUGUUCCACCAACGUGAGGAAGAAAAAUAUGCACAAAUUAAUAUAUUUAAUAGAAGCCCAAGAUUUCGGAUGCAUAUAAUUUCUACAAAAAUCUACAAAGUUUUUUACUUUACAAACUUCUUAUGUCUACCAAUUUCUACUAAAAUUAAUUUCUCUGUGGUGCUCAAAUUCAUCAUAUGUGUGUCGUUAAUUUUAUUGAAAAUUGGAAGUUCCCAUCAUUUUUGUUUUUUGGGAAUUUUCUGAACCAAGGAAAAUCAAGUAAAAUUAAUAAAGCCUAAAUUGGAAAGGGAAAAUAUCUAGAGGAUGCAUUGUAGGAUUGCUCAUGCCAAUAAUUGUACCCUCUAAAUAUAUAGAGACAUAUUUUUUUUGUUUUCAUGACAUGUGGUCCUAAAAUUAUUGUGUAAAUCUUCAAUCCUGAACGAUGCACCUAAAACUCAUCCACCCAUUCUCAGGCCAAUUAUUGCACCUAGUGGGCUCUCGACCCCCUCUCAAAUUUAACCACAUAUUUUAUGGACCAUCCAGCUGUGAGGUACAUUCCCCCCACAUGCCACAAUUGUAUAUUCACAAUUACGUCUGAUACAUCACAUCAUGCCACUUGCCUCAAAUGAAUUUAAGUGAGUGAGGCAGUUGGAAGUAAUUAAGCUCUAUAUUGGUGGGUGGAGUGUUACUUCUCGGUUCCCCUCAUCAUUCGUCUAUAAAAUGGUGAAGGCAGUUGCUAUUGUUACCAUAAGAGCCAGCUCCGACUUCCUUUAAUUUCUUGCUUCAUAUCCACUAGCUACAUCUGUUACCAAGUUAAUUUCAGUUCUAAUGGGGUUUCAUCUCCCACUCAUCUUUGCUCUUCUCAGUGUAAGCUCUGCAAUUUGAUUAACUUUUCCAUUCUCUCUCAUUGUACUCUAUAUAAACGAAAGUUUUGUGUUCCUAUUGUUCUCUCCGAUUUUAUUUAGUACGUACUUAAGUGUCGUCCACUAAUUAAUUAUACUUUGUGAUUUGAUUUUAAUUUGAGUUUGAAUUAAUGUUGCAGCUAGCAGCAGUGGCACUGGCAAACCAUGCUGCUCAACCAGCACCUCAACUUUACUGGAGCUCCGUCCUGCCAAACACACAGAUGCCAAGAUCUAUCAGUGAACUUCUGCAUCCUGGUUUGUGUUGAGCUCUUUAGAAUCUUAGAUAUCUCUUCUACCUGCCAUUUUACUAAAAUAUGUUCCACCACAUAUUUAUCAGUUAACCAUUGUCAUUACAUGAGUGACACAUAUUCACAAAUCGGCUGAUCACUUAUUUUCCAUUAUGACUUGAUAUAUAAUUUGCAGACUCCACAAAUGAAGAAAAGAGCACAAAUGACGUUGGCAAACCUGAAACUUUCCCAUUGGGCAAUCAACAUUACUCCAGUCAAAAACAUUAUGGAGGCAUACCUGAAACUUCCCCAUUGGGCAAUAAACAUUACUCCAGUCAAAAACAUUAUGGAAGAGGCAAACCUGAAACUUUCCCAUUGGGCAAUCAGCAUUACUCCAGUCAAAGACAUUAUGGAAGAGGCAAACCUGAAACUUUCCCAUUGGGCAAUAAACAUUACUCCAGUCAAAAACAUUAUGGAAGAGGCAAACCUGAAACUUUCCCAUUGGGCAAUCAGCAUUACUCCAGUCAAAAAAAGUAUGGAAGAGGUGCUUCUCCAUCCGACAAUCAACAACUCCAUUAUAAAGACUUAGCUAUUUUCUUCUUGGAGAAGGACAUGCGCCCUGGCACAACAAUGAAGUUCCAAUUCCCUAUAAAUUCAAACACGGCUACUUUCUUGCCACGAGAAAGCGCUCAAUCGAUCCCCUUCUCCUCUAACAAACUGCCAGAAAUUUUCAACCAUUUUUCAGUGAAGCCAACAUCUGAGGAAGCCAAAACAAUUAAGCAAACAAUCGAAGAGUGUGAAGCUCCAGACCUUAAGGGAGAGGAAAUAUAUUGCGCCACAUCUUUAGAAUCAAUGGUUGAUUUUAGCACUUCGAAGCUUGGAACAAGAAACGUUGAAGCAAUCUCGACGGAGGUAUUGGAAAAAGGAGCCACCAUGUCCAUCCAAAACUAUACAACAAUGCCGGGACUGAAGAAGUUGGCAGGUGACAAAGUCGUUGUGUGUCAUAAGCAGAACUAUCCCUAUGCUGUGUUUUUCUGCCAUGCAAUAAAACAUACAGCAGCUUAUGCUCUCUCCCUGAAAGGCGAUGAUGGGGAGAAGGUUAAAGCAGUAACCAUCUGCCAUCUAGACACAUCAGAAUGGGACCCAGAGCAUAUGUCCUUCCAAAUCGUCAACGUUAAGCCCGGAACCAUUCCCAUCUGCCAUUUCAUUUCCACUGAUGCUAUUGCCUGGGUUCCGAACCACAAAUCUGCAUGAUCAUCACUUAGCACUAGUACUGUGCGUAUAAUAUGCCUGUAUAAUUAUCUCCCUACUUAUUUCUGCCUCUUCAUCAUGUGGUGUAAGAUAUAUGUUGAGAUGAAGUUUUUGGGAUUUGUGGUCGAAAUUAACCCGAUCAUGUUUUCUCUUGCAACCAUAUAGACUUCAACUUGUACUCAUAAUAAAGCAUGCUAUAUUUAUGAAGAGAUAUUAAUCUUCAGGCAAAUAGAUAUUAUGAAAACAUAUAUAGCAAUUUAUCCAGAAGAAACAUUAUGAAAUGAAAAGAAUAAAAAGUAGAAAAACAGAAGGAAAGGAAUUCGCACGUGCUAUGCUAUGUAUGAAAGGACCAAGAUUGUUUUCCCUUUGGUUAAUGACUAGAAAAGCUCACUUGCAGAGUGCUUUCUCCGACCAUAGAUGGAAGAGAAAUUUUCUCUUAAUAAUAGCACAAUGAUCGGGUAAUUGUAAGAACAAGUUGAUUUAAAAUUCCUUGACCCAAAAAAAAAAAAAAAGUUCUUUUCAAAUUCAGGUCAACCCAUAGAUUUCUUGCCUUCGUCUUCUUCAUCACGUUGGGCUUGUCUUCUUUUUGCGUUUUGGGCCUUGGAAGUUGGGACCCAACCCAACUUCACAAAAAGAAAACAGAUUUGCCAAAAAUCAAAUUUCAAGUCUCUCCUCCGAUCACUAAUACAGAUCAAAUUUUGGAUUUGAUGAACUAAAGUGGUUUUACUUUCUCUGUCAGUGUUUGAUGACUUAAUUUGUUAUUUACUUUUUUUUUUUUACUUGAUCUUUGUAGGGGCUUUUUUUUUUCCGGCAGCUUAAACGGGCUGGGCUGCCGUAAAGGGUAGAUUGAUGAAAUUGUCCCCUUUGUCUGAAUUCGAAAAUCAAGCCCCAAAAGCGCUUCGAAAGGGCAGUAGAGCCUUAGGAAGCGUUCUGGUUACCUUCACUAAUUAAAACAACAGCAACUUACAGAUGAUUUCUUGAGGCUUACAGAUAAAUUUUCUAGCUUGGCAUGACAUGGAAGCAAAAUCAGCAUGAGUUUAGCACCAAAGAGGAAAAUAUGGCUUCCUAGGGAGAAAUGAGAGUGUUUAAGGUGAGGAAGAAGAGGUUUGCAGGCUGAUUUGGCUGAGAAAAGAGAAAGAAAGAACAAUGUUCUUCCGGCAGCUUGACAAAGCUUCUGACAGAUGUGAAAGUCGUCCGCCAGAAGAGGAAAAUGGAGAAGAAGGAUGAAUAGUGCACGAAAUUGGUGGGUUCUUGCAGGUAAGAGAGAAAGCUUGCUCUCUGAAUCUGAGUUGGUUUUGGUUGGGUAGAAGAAGCCCCCUUUUAUAGCUGCGGGAAACCAUCUUUUUCCAAGAAACCCUAAUGGUUUCUAUCCUUUUUGGCCAAGCUUUUCCCUUCCUUUCUCUUCUCCUCCCUUGACUUUUCCUAUCUUGGUGAAAUUUCCUCUGCCUAUUUGCACAAAAUUAGAGAUUUUGAGGAGCUCAAGGCCCCUUUCCCGCAGCUGCCUUAGUGGAGAAUCCCCAUUUUCAGUCAUCUUUCUUCCUUCUUUUCUCCCAUCUUCCAAGGCUAGGUUUGAUGAGAGAAAGAAAUGGAUAUGCACACUGGUUUGAAGGGUGUUUUUCCUUGAAACUUGUUCUCUCCCAUGUGCUGGAGCUUCCCAGCAGCUUACACACAUAGAUAUUUUGGCUUUCAUCGUGGCUUUUGUUUUCAGCUAGGUGCUGGAGAUUUUGCAUAUAUUUUCUUGAGUUGCUUGGGCCUUCUAGGACAAUACGUUGGUUUAUCAAGUGAAUGGGCUAACUUCAUCAAUUGUUGGGCAAUUUUGGUUGAGUUAAUGGACUAUUUUGGUUCAAGUAAUGGACUAUUUUGGUUGAAAUAAUAGGCUAUUUUUCUCUCUUUGUGCUCACCCACAUAUUUGGGCCUAAAAAAUGGGCUUGAGUUUCGGGGCUCCCAAGCAACCCCGGGACUUCCAUUUCUCGGCCCAUCAAUGAGCCUCAUGUCAACUUAUUACCAUCCAUACCACAACCCACUCAAGCAAGCCUCAGGCAUCUUGCGUGGCUUGGGCCCACGUAAGCUCGUAGUGGCAAUGUUGCUUAUUUGCUUGACGUGGCAUGUGUGCAAGUGCAUAUGACGAACUUUCGCGUGCCCAAAUUGAGUUUCUUCUCGGUAGGGUAUCGCAUUGGGCCGAGAAUUUAAUUGGGUAGAACCGUGGAUUUUUUGGGCCUCAACAAUCUUAUAUAUAUUAGUUUUCUUUUUUUCCUUAAUAUUCACCACCUUUCUGUUGCAUAAGUAUUCCAGUCUUAGCGGGUUUCCAUCUACCACUCAUCUUUGCUCUUUUAAGUGCAAGCUUUUUUAUUUUUAUUUUUUUAUGCACAAGAUUAGAGGGGAGGGAGAUUUCUCAAUGUAAGCUUUGCAGUUUCAUAAUUAAUAUUUCCAAUAUCUCACUGUUAGUAAAAUAUGGAACGGGAAAAGUACGAAUAAAAUACACACAUGUUUUAUUUAGCAAAAUUUUGACAAGAUACAACUGAAAAGUUUGGCCACUAUAUAAUAUUUUGAUUUAAUUUUUUUUAUUUUUUUAAUAUAUAUUAUUUUUAUUCAAUAAUAUGUGAAAAAUAGGUGUACAAUAUAUGAAAUUUGUAUGUAUUAUUGAAAAAUUCGUAAAAAAAAAACAUGUUAUUAAAUGUGAAAAAUAUGUACGUAUAUGUAUAAAACAUGUAUUGUACAUUACUUUUUAACAAACUUGUAUUUUACCUAGUCUUUAAACCGUAUAUGGAAAACGGAAGUAUUAUUGAAAAAUACAUAUGUACGUAUAUGUAUAAAACAUGUAUUGUACAUUACUUUUUAACAAACUUGUAUUUUACCUAGUCUUUAAACCGUAUAUGGAAAACGGAAGUAUUAUUAAAAAAUACAUAUGUACGUGUAUAAUAUGAGUAUUAAACAAAAAAAUGUGCUAAGUACUUAUCUUUUAAUUUAAUAAUUCAUUUCAUUUUGUGAUCUCAUACGUAGUAAUGAGAGUUCAAAUUAAUGUUGCAGCUGACAAUGGUGGCUCUGGCAAGCCAUGCUUGAUGCAGGAGUAUAGGGGUGGAUCAAGAUAGAUAUUUACCAUGUAAUUAGUUAUUUCAUGAUAUAUUGUUAUUUUCUUAUUUAGGUAGUUUUAUGAUAUCUUUUAUUAUUUAUGUGGGAUUUUAUAAUUAAUUAGUUUACUUUUGGACCAAGUAGCCUUGGUGCUCAAGUCUUGUAAAGCUUAUAAAUAAGGCUAAUGUAAUAGUUGUAGGAAAAGAGAUGUCGAUGAUUAAUAAAAUCGUUUAUUUGUGGCAUGGAUUUGCUACGAUAUAUGUGAGUUUGCACUAGCCCUAGAUUUCGGUGCUCGUGUAUGUGGUUGGUGACCUGUGUCCGGAUCCCGAUCCCCAUCAAUGCUGUUCUCCCAGUACCUCAACUUUACUGGAACUCUUUCCUGCCAAACACAAAUGCCAAGAGCUAUCAGUCAACUUCUGCAUCCUGGUUUCUAUUAAGGGACUUUUCGUGAGCUUAUCAUCUACCCAAAUUUUACUCAUCCGACGUAAUUUUAAAAGUGAUUUGAUCCUUUGGCAAAGUAAUCUUGAACUACAAAAAAGGAGGGCACUCGAAUAGGCAUGCCAUUUGGUAUUACCCACCUCUAAUUUCUUUUAAAAUUUUAGUAAUUGAUUUUUAAGAUUAGAAAAUGGGAAAGUUCAAAACCGAAAAAGUUGUUUCAGUUUUGGCAAGUAUCGGAAAAGACUAAAAUUUUCCGACUUUAUUAUUACUAGAAACAAAGUCGAAGUAUUCACCAAUCAUGUGGCCUUCCAAGUGCUCAAGGUUAAGCCAGGAACCGUUCCUAUCAGCCAUUUCCUUCCCAAGUAUGAUCAUGUUGUCUGGGUUCCAACCCACAAAUCUACAUCAGUACCUGAACUAAUCAGUUCUACAUGAAUAUUCAUUCAUGGCAACCUUGGGCUAAGUAUUUGAAUUUAUGCUCAUAAAGCUUUAAUGCUUUUGAGGGCCAAUCGUUGUCUACAUAUGGUAUUGUAGCAUCUUUAGAUGGAAGAGGUCAGGGGUUCAAUUCUUGUUUUCCACUUCUUUAUUUGUUGGUUUAUCGAGUGUAGAGUGGAGUUGCACCUAUAUGUUCGUCUCUCACCCCAUCAUUUACCAUUGAUAUAUAUUUAAUAGAAGCCUAAGAUUUCGGAAGCACAUAAUUUCUACUUUACAAACUUCCUGUGUCUACCAAUUUCUACUAAAAUUAAUUUAUCUGCGGUGCUGAGAUUCAUCAUAAUUUUAAUAGAAAUUGGAAGUUUUCAUCAUUUUUGCUUUAAGUCUCUACUCCACUCACUAAUAAAGAUUACUCAUGUGAGUUUACAAAACAUUUUUUUUUUCUACUCUCUCCUGAAGACUACACUUCUUCUCAAAAAAUUAGAUCACUUCACAUCUUGUGUAUGUGAAAACUAAUGUAAAAAGUUGAAACUUUAUCGUAAAACCUCGACAAAAAUGAGCUCUACUACAAAAUGUUAAAUUUGGAUUCGUUGAUUUAAAUGGCAAUUUGACACUUGAUAGAAAUUUUUACAUACAUGUGUUAGUGUUUGAUCACUUCACAUGUCACUUACUAUAUUUAUUCCACUCAAGUUAGGUAAAUAUUAUUAUCAAACAUUUCAAUUAAUUUGUGAUUUUUUUAUUAUUUAAUCAAUUAUGAAUUAAUGGAUUCUUCUUGUUGUUUUGAAGACCAACAAAAAAAAAAAAAAGGGUAGUGAUGGCUUAUAAUUCUGGUAAAACAACAGUGACGUGGACAACAGAUGUUACGCUGUACUAAAGAUUUUUGAAGAUUCUUUAUUUGAGUUUCUUUCAAGAUAAAAACCAUAUUAUCCACAACCACAAGCACAUCCGGCAGACAAUCUUUGGCUAUUCAUCACAAUUGGGAGACAAUGAAGAAGACAGAAAAUGGAGUAAUUCAGAUGUUACCAGCCAUCCACGACAAACUGAAGUCUGCAAAGCAUUCGUAAUCUAAAAAGGAUGGGGAGGCUGCGCAAUACUUAGCCACGUGUAGGCCAGGAGGCUUUCCAAUUUUAAUAUAUAUAUAGAUUGAAAAAAUAAAAUAAAAAUCAAUCUAUUAUCAUAUAUAUUAUAAAAUAAAGAUUAUUGCUCCCAUGGGCGGUGCUAUGCACAGGACAGUGCCUGCCUAGUCCAAAUUUUUUUUAAAUAAAAAUAAAAAUCUACAUAUGUUAUAAGCUCAUCCAAAAAAAAAAAAAAAAAUAAAAGUGUUGUAAAUUAUAAGGUGGAGCCCACAUGUUGGAAGGCUUUGCCUACAAAAGGGUUCACACCCUCCCUUUGUAAUUAGACAUUGAGAAUACUAAGGAAGACAGAAAUGAAUAGAGAGAAAACAUUCCCUUCUCUCCAUCUCAAUUCCCUCUCCAAUUCCUCUAGAUUUAUAACACGUUAUCAGCAGCACGAAUCGCUUUCAAACAAUACCAGCUGAAUUUUAUGAUGAAACCCAGAUCUCUCAUCCAUCUCUGCUGCUCCACUACUUCAAAAUAAAUCCCACAGAAAAAGAAAAAGCCUCAAUGCUCUCUCUCUCUCUCUGUCUCGCUUGGGAGACUUGGACAAUUCCUCAUCCCCGUUACUGACAAUUUCAACAGCUUCAGGGGAAGCUAGUUUAUCUUCCUCUGCUCACGAAACCAUGACUCUUUCAGAGCCAAACAACAACACAAUAGACAACGCAUGGAGACCAGACUGGAGCUCGUCGGCUAAGGCACCGACGAUCCGACCCUACCCGUAUGGACCUUCCGGAUGUGGUUCCUGGGUCUUGUCUCAUGUGCCCUCCUCUCAUUUCUCAACCAAUUCUACAAGCAGCAGAGCUUCAAAUCAAACAGAUCAUGGCAUCGCUUUCACACCUCCCCAUCUUCCUCUUCCUCCUGUUCACCGCUUUCUAUUCUACAGCUUCGCAGUCCUUCAUCGGCGCAUCCAAAGGCGACAUACCGGCGCUCGCCUCAGAUCCGAACGCGGCGGCUCAGUGGGUGAACUCGAAUGUCCUCGCCUUCUACUCGGCCAGCAACAUCGACCUCAUCAACGUCGGCAACGAGGUCCUUUUUCUCCAACGACCAGGGCCUCAUCUCGCAGCUCCUCCCCGCCAUGCGAAAUGUCCAAUCUGCCCUCUCCGCCGCGUCCCUCGGCGGCAAGGUCCGUGUCUCCACGGUCCACUGCCUCGCCGGAUCGGGAUCCUUCCUUCAAGUGUUUCUCUGUCUUCGACUUGAAAAAGAAGGUCAUGGCAGGCCUAUGUAAAAAUUGCGAAAAGGAAGGCAAUCUUCAACCUUUUCUCCUGUCUCUCUCUUGAUCAAUUCAUGGAAGGCACAUUUGGGUCUUCCGGGGGCUCAUCAAAUGAGUCAGCAAUGUCAAAGGUGGAGGUGGUGGAGCAAGACUACGUGGGGAUGUCAUAUGAGGCAACCUCAUACCCAGCUGAGGCAGAGCUUGUGCUGGGCCUGGGCCUUGGCCUGAGCCUUCGUGGUGGUGGUGCAGGGAAGCAGCCAAAGCCAUGUGCAUGGGGUGAGCGUGGUAGAAUCUUGACUGCUAAAGUUAGGUGCUGAGUUACACUGUGUUCUCUGCUACUGACCCUAAGAGGAGUGCUAGAAACUUCCAUGUUCCGCCAUCAUUUCGCUUUCACUGUUACAAGGCACUGGAGUAUGUUUAAUUGAAAAGUGAGAUACACAGCAAGUUGAUCAGCCUAGUGGAAAGCAAAGGAUUAUUGCCAGGGAUAUGAACACCCACCGAAAUAAAGGGAUAAGUACUCUUUUUCCCUUCGACCAGUUUUUUUUUGUCCCACUGGGUUUUUACUGGCAAGGUUUUUCACGAAACAUAUUCCGUAUCAUUUGUGGUCUCUAAGAGGGAGUGUUGUAAAUUAUAAGGUGGAGCCCACAUGUUGGAAGGCUUUGCCUACAAAAGGGUUCACACCCUCCCUUUGUAAUUAGACAUUGAGAAUACUAAGGAAGACAGAAAUGAAUAGAGAGAAAACAUUCCCUUCUCUCCAUCUCAAUUCCCUCUCCAAUUCCUCUAGAUUUAUAACAAAAAGUAAAUUCUACACAUAUGUUGCCCAUCCAGGUGGUCCCAUAUCUUCUCUUUCCUUUUCUUUUGGCUAUUAGACUUCUUGUUUCUCUCUCUCUCUUUGCUACCCCACAUCAGCAAGUUUCUCCCUCUCUUUUUUUGGGAUCAAAUUCUUCUUCUAUUGACAAAAUCUUCUAUUAUAUUGGGUGGGCAACUUGGCAACAACAUCUUCUCCUCUCCUUUUGUCAACAGCAAGUAUUAUUCUCAUUCUCUCAUUUGCUAUAUAUCUUUAAUUAUAGUUUUAAUUUAAAAUUGAGUAUUCUAGGGUUUAAUUAGGGAUGAAUUAUAAUUUUGGGAUUUUGUUGAAAUUAAUUAGGGCUUCGAUUAGGGGUGAAUUAUUCUACUGCUUUGAUUUGGAAUUUUGUUAAAAUUGAGUAUUAUAGGUUUAAUUAUGGAUGAAUUACAAUUUUUGGUUUUGGUAUUGUUGAGAUGUUAUUAUGAGAAUUUGUUUGAUUUUUUGUUGGUAUAUUUGAUUAAAAUUCUUUCUACAUAUUAUUCAUAGGCUAUCUUUUAUUAUGUCGGAUCACAAUCGGAAUCCCAAGAAAACAAAAAAUUUGAAUAGUGUUGUUUUGUAUUGCAUUGCAUUUACUUUUGGUUUUAGUUUUGCUUUUAGUGUAAAUUACUCAAAUGGUCCUCAAAUUUGUACCCAAUUUACAUUUUGGUCCAUAAACUAAAUUAUUCAUUCAAAUGGUCCACCAACUCUUUAUUAAUCGGUGCUUUGGUCCUAUCGUUAUGUUUUCUAUUAAAUUUAGUCAUGUGAGCAGCACAUGCUACAUUUGUAUGGGUAAAUAAGACUUUUGACCAGUGGCGGAUCCACGUUGGGACAAGAGGGGUCGGACGACCCCUUGGAAGGCUGGAAAUUUGGCAAGGGAGUCCAUGAAAGCCCCCUUGGACAGCUGCUGGAAGCCCCCUUGUAUGCACACAAUGUGCUCGACGAAAUGCCCCAACGAAAUGUCCUGCGCAGCUGUGCUGCGCCUUGCGCGUAAUUUUUUUUUAAAACCAGCCUUGCCAAACGACGUCGUUUGGUCAAGGCUCAGUCAAAUUUUUUUUUAAUUAACCUGGCCUCAAAACGACGUCGUUUUGGGCCAGGUUUAAAAAAAAAAAAACAGAACAGUACACACGCACAGCAGCUCUGCACAGAUUCAUUUUCUCCAAACCUUUCAUUCCCAAUUCCACAGCCCCUCUUCCCAUCCUCUCAAACCCUAACCUCCCAACCUCCCAACCUUGGACAACCUCCAUCAACUCUUCACCGGUGGCCCAAUGCCGAUCACCACCACCUUCUACCGCCGUCCGCCGCCCAUUUUUUAAACUACAAGUAAGUAAGCAUGGAAAAUCUGAUAUUAAUAAUUAUAGUGAUAAUAUAUAUUGUUGAUAUUGAUAUUUUUUUUUUAUGUAAUGAAAUUUAUGGAUAUGAAUCAUAUUGAUUGAUUGAGUUUAUGCUUGAAAUUUAUGGAUAUGAAUCAUAUUGAUAUUUUUUUUUAUGUAAUUAAAUUUAUGGAUAUGAAUCAUAGUGAUAAUCAUAUUAAUGUAGAUUGAUUGAGUUUAUGCUUGAUUGAUAAUAUGAAUUGAUUGGGUAUAUUAAAUAUUGAUUGCUAUUUGAUAUGAUAAUUUGGUAUAUUGAAUAUUGAUUGAUAUGGGUUUAGGGAGUAUAUUGAAUAUUGAGAGUGGGUUAUUGAAAUUUUCAUAUUCAUAUGAUAAUUAGGAUAAAAAUUAAUGAUUGAUUGAAUUAAUUGAUUUGUAGAUUUAUGGAACGAUUCUUUAAAAGAAAAUUAUCUACGGAUAGUUCUUCUCUGUCUAAUCCGGGUAGUUCAAAUGCAAGACCAAUUGAAGUAGAUGAGAUCUUAGCUAAUCUUCAAGCAGACCCUGGACUAAGAACUCGAAUGGCGGAUUAUAGUCCUAAUAUUAGGGAUGAGAUCCGAAGAGCAUAUCUACAAAAGGGACCUUGUCAACCUAGAAGUUAUAAAUUCCCACAAACUAAUCAAUCAGGAAUUAAUAGACGCUUCAUUGCUCAUUGGUUUGAUGAUCAUGAUUGGUUGGAAUAUAGUAUUGCUAAAGAUGCUACGUUUUGUCUUCAUUGUUAUCUCUUCAAAUCUAAUUUUGAUCAAGUGGGUGGUGAUGCAUUCACUGGGGUAGGCUUCAAUAAUUGGAAGAAGGCGAAAGAAAGAUUUAACCUUCAUAUUGGACCGGUUGGUAGUGUUCACAACCAAGCUAGAGAAGUUGCUUACAAUUUGAUGCAUCAAACUACACACAUUGAAACAAUUGUGCUCAAGCAAACAAGCCAAGCUCGCACGGCUUAUCGCACUUGCUUGAAUGCAUCACUUAAGUGCACUAGGUAUUUGUUGCGGCAAGGGCUUUCUUUUCGUGGUCAUGAUGAAAGUGCACAAUCAAGUAAUAAAGGGAAUUAUUUAGAGCUCUUGCAAUUUCUUGCGGAUCAUGAUGAAAAAGUUAAGGCCGUUGUAUUGGAAAAUGCUCCGGGAAAUUUAAAGUUAAUAGCUCCUUCAAUUCAAAAAGAUCUUGUCAAUUCUUGUGCCAAAGAAACCAUUGAUCUUAUCUUGAGUGAUGUAAAAGAUAGAUAUUUUUCAAUAAUGGUGGAUGAAGCACGUGAUGUUUCAAUAAAGGAGCAAAUGGCAAUGGUGUUGCGUUAUGUGAAUGACAAAGGACAAAUAAUUGAAAGGUUUGUGGGGGUUCAACAUGUAACCGACACUACUUCAAGUGCACUAAAGGAAACAAUUGAUGAAUUCUUUUCUUCCGCGAAUUUGAGCUUUUCCAAGCUACGAGGACAAGGUUAUGAUGGAGCUAGCAAUAUGAGAGGUGAGUUCAAUGGCCUUAAGAGAAAGAUUUUGAGAGAACAACCUUGUGCAUUUUAUGUUCAUUGCUUUGCUCAUCAACUUCAACUAGCUCUUGUUGCGGUAGCAAAGAAAAACAUUGAUGUCAACUCUUUUUUCACAACGGCUAAUAGUUUGGUUAAUGUGGUUGGAGCAUCUUGUAAGCGUCGCGAUGCACUUAGAGCACAAUACCAAGAAGAGCUUGUGAGAGCUUUUGAAGAUGAUUGUCUUAUAACGGGGCGGGGCUUAAAUCAAGAAAGGACUCUCAAACGUGCCGGCAAUACACGAUGGAACUCACAUUAUGGUACGUUGAUUAGUAUCAUUUCUAUGUUCCCAUCUGUGGUGAAUGUGCUUCAAAUGAUUGUUGAUGAUAAUCUUAAUGAUAGUUCGGGUGAAGCCUAUAAGUUAAGGAGAGAAAUACAAUCUUUUGAGUUUGUGUUUCACUUAUUUGUAAUGAAAGCUAUAUUGGGAAUAACAAACACUUUGUCUCUAGCAUUGCAAAAGAAAGAUCAAGACAUUGUGAGUACAAUGAAUUUAGUGAAAACAUGCAAGGAAAACCUGCAGUUGAUGAGGGAUAAUGAGUUUGAAGAAUUGGUUGGGCAAGCAUCCUCGUUUUGUUACAAAUAUGAUAUUAUAGUUCCUACCAUGGAUGAGGAAUAUGUAAUUCCAGGGAGAUCAUGGCGUAAUGCUCCAAUGAAGACAAAUUAUCAUCGUUAUCGUGUGGAGAUCUUUAUUCAUGUAAUUGAUGGGCAACUUGCGGAAUUAAAUGAUCGCUUCAACGAGGUAAGUACUGAGUUACUUACUUGUUUGGCAUGCUUGAGUCCAAAAAAUAACUUUGUGACUUUUGACAAACGAAAGCUAGUUCGUCUUGCUCAAUUUUAUCCUUAUGAUUUUUCGGAUAGAGACUUAUUGAUGCUUGAAGAUCAACUUGGUGUUUAUGUUCAUCAUAUGCGUUCGAGUAGUGAUUUUUCUCAAUUGGAAGGGAUUAGUAGUCUUGCGGAAAAAAUGGUGGAGAAAGGAAUGCAUGAAAUAUUUCCUUUUGUAUUUGCUUCUUACAUUGGCUUUGGUUUUACCGGUUGCAACUGCAUCAGUGGAGAGGGCAUUUUCCGCUAUGAAUAUUAUUAAAAAUCCACUUCGCAACAGAAUGGGAGAUCAAUGGUUGAAUGAUAGCUUGCUUGUUUACAUUGAGAGAGAUGUUUUUGCUUGUAUUGAUAACGAAAUUAUAAUGCAAUGUUUUCAGAAUAUGAAAACUCGUCGUGGACAAUUGUAACUUGUAUUAUUGGUUUUGUUAUGAAUUAUGAAUGAAAGUACUAUCUUUCUAUCUUUUUAGCAUUAUUUUCUUUGUAGAAAAAUUUCAGAACUUUUACACUAAGCCCCCUUGGCUACAUAAUCCUGGAUCCGCCACUGCUUUUGACCACUUUAUCACCUAUGUAUCACCACUUUAUAACCUAUUUGGGGAACAUAGGUCAGUUAUGGACGGUUUUACCCUUACAUUUGACGGCAACAUUAACAUAAUGUAACAGUGGGAUCAAUGGAGUGAUUAAUAUAAAGUUGAUGGACCAUUUGAAUGAAUAAUUUAAUUGAGAGACCAAAAUGUAAAUCAAGUAUAAGUUUGAGGACCAUUUGAGUAAUUUACCCUUCGCUUUUAUAUUUGUUGAACUUUUAUUUAUGAUAGAUAUGCAUUUAAGGGUAAGACCCAUUAUGUUCCCCUGGCUAGGUGUAUCUUUUUAUGUUUAUUAAUGAAAUUCACUCGAACUGUUGAGUUUAGUAUGUAAGUUUUGCCUAACUGGCUUUUGAAUCCUAGAACCGCCACUGUUGCUCCAUCCUCCAUGCACUUGCAUGUGCUCUUACAAAGUGUGAAGUAGAUUUUGUGUGCUCCAAGUCAUUGACUAGAGCUGAAACAUGGUUAGCUAGAUUUAUAAGGACCCAUCUCUUUAUUUCCUAGACAUAUACCCAUCUCUCUAUAAAUCUAUAUGUAAAACCUAAUUUCAAACUUAAAUGACCAGUAGGAUAUAAAAGGUCAUAGUAUUCCUAUGUUUUUAUAUCGUUGCCACCAGACUUCUUAUUUUAUUUAUAAUUUAUUUCAAGCAUUUCAUUAACUGCCAUAAUUGUAAUUAAUACUCCAUAUUAAUAGCAUAUCAAUCACCCCAUUUCUUUUGGUUGCCAUUCCCUCUAACAUAUCGCCCCUUAAAUUUGAAAACCAAAAAAAAAAAAUGUAAAUUACAUAUCCAAUAAUGUACCUAUGAAAAAUAUAAAUAUAAAUAUAUACAUAUAAAAAUAUAGGUAUAUUAUUUACCAAAUAGAAAAUAUAAAAACCUAGGUCAGUUGCUUUGUAAUUGAAAUUUCUGUACAUUUUCCACAAAUUAAAAAUAGGUACAUAAUAAUUUAUAGAAAAUAUAUGUACAUUAUUUAUCCAUAGGUAAAAAUACCGAUAAAUGCACAUAGGUGAAUUAUUUACCAAUAUAUUAUUUUUUUGCUAAGGAUUUACCUUAGUUUUUAGUAGAUUAAUUUACCUACCUAGAGGCAUAGGUAGCUUAAAAAAAAUGUACCACCUUAGUUGGUUGCAUACUAAUUUACCUACCUAGAGGCAUAGGUUGCUAAGAAAAAAUGUAGGUAAAUUCAUGUACCUAAACACAUAGGGGUCAAAUAGAGAAUAACAUGUUAUUUCCCUUUGAACAAAUUAAUUUCAAACCAUAACAAUUAUUGAAUUUGGAAAUUGGUAUAAAUAAAAGGAAAUAAAUAAACUAUCAAUUUGAAAAUUAAAAUAAGAAAUGAUCAAGUAGUCAUAUUUGAAAAAAAAGGAAAGAAUAUAUUCUUGGUUUUUAUAGGAACAACGAGUAUAUUCAAACCAAACGGCGAUAACUACACCAAGCUUUAAUUACUUUUUUUUAAGGCCAAAAGUCACUUUUGGUCCCUGUAGUUCGGCAUUUCUACCACUUUUGAUGUUGUAGUUUCAAUUCCGUCAAUUUUGCCAUUGUAGUUUCGUAUUUGUAGCAAUUCAAGGACCUGUUAAUAUUAAUGUCAAUUUGUUUAAUGAUGCAAGAGGUAAUUUCGUCAUCCCAAAAUCCUUGAGCAUAAAAGAUUGUCUGAAAUUCUCCCCAUUUCAUAUUAGGGCUCGAAAUUCAACCACUAAUCCUAAUUUUUGAAGAACCCUAGACCCAAAUGACCAAUUUCAAGCCCUAAUAUGAAAUUACGGAAGUUUUAGAUGAGCUUUUAUGCUCAAGGAUUUUGAGUUGAAGAAACUGCCCCUUGCACUGUCAAAUAAAUUGACAGGAAUACUGACUUGUCCUUGAAUUGCUACAAAUACAAAACUACAGUGUCAAAAUUAACAGAAUUUAAACUAUAGGGUCAAAAGUAGUUGAAGUGUCAAACUAUAAGGACCAAAAGUGACUUUUAGCCUUUUUGUUUCAAUAAGGAAAAAACUGACCUAUUAAAUCCUUGGAAUCUAUACAAAAUUGAAACACAAUUAAUCAACAUUGAAUUGCAGCUAAUUUCUUAAACAAGGGUAUUAUAGGAAUUUAAAAAGUAUAACAUUUAAUCCAUUGAAUUUGAUUAGGAAACUUGAUGAAUUGAAUCCUAGUUAUAUAGUUUUUCUUAUAAAAAUCAGGUUUUAUUUAUAGACAAAUAAAACAAUGGGUUGUAGGUAAGAAAAUAUUAAUUUGAAGGGAAAGAGUCAAAUUUACUAAAUUAAUAAAGCAUAAAUUGGAAAGGGAAAAGAUCUAGAGGAUGCAUUGUAGGAUUGCUCAUGCCAAUAAUUGCACCCUCUCGAUAUUGAAAAACCUAUUGUUUAUUAUUAUCUUCAAUCCUGAAUGAUGCACCUAAAACCCAAGUGUCUCAGGCCAACCAUUGCGCUCAUACCACUUGUUGCAGUACACAUUCACCUGUUUUUAAAGAAAGAAAUUCUACCAAUCGAUAUUUUCUCAAAUUUAAUCACAUAGAUCUAUUAUGGUUAACCAUAUGUACUUUUAUCUGCCAUCCAGAGGUACCUUUUUCCAACGUGCAACAAUUGUAUUUGAUUCACAAUUAUGUCUGAUAUACAUCACAUCAUGCCACUUGCCUCAAAUGAAUUUAAUUGAGUGAGGCAAUGGGAAGUAAUUAAGCUCUAUAUUGGUGGGUGGAGUGUUACUUCUGGAACCCUCAUCAUUCGUCCAUACAGGGGAACAAUUCCCUUCCUUCUAUAAAAUGGGAGCAAUUCUCUCACUGUACUCUAUAUAAAGGAAUAAGUGUCGUCCACUAAUUAAUUACACUUUGUGAGAUUUGAUUUUAAUUAGAGUUCGAAUUAAUGUUGCAGCUAGCAGCGGUGGCACUGGCAAACCAUGCUGCUCAACCAGCACCUCCACUUUACUGGAAUUCCAUCCUGCCAAACACACAAAUGCCAAGAGCUAUCAGUGAACUUCUGCAUCCUGAUUUGUGUUGAAUAGAUAUAGUAUGUUACUGGAGUACGUAUGGCAACAUAUUCACAAAUGUGUCACGUAUUUUCCAUUAUGACGUUGAUAUAUAAUUGCAGACUCCACAAACGAAGAAAAGAGCACAAAUGUCAUGAAUGCUGUUGGGAAUGGAAAGCCAAUUGACCACAAGGGCAAACCUGAAAAUACUGUACUACCACAGCUUGCACGACGCCCAUUUUCUUACAAGAGUGAUGAUCGUCCCACUGACAAUCAACUCCAUUAUAAAAACGUAGCUAUUUUCUUCUUGGAGAAGGACAUGCGCCCUGGCACAACAAUGAGCUUCCAAUUCCCUAGAAAUUCAAACACGGCUACUUUCCUGCCACGAGAAAGAGCUCAAUCGAUCCCCUUCUCCUCUAACAAACUACCAGAAAUUUUCAACCAUUUUUCAGUGAAGCCAACAUCUGUGGAAGCCAAAACAAUUAAGCAAACAAUCGAAGAGUGUGAGGCUCCAGGCAUUAAGGGAGAGGAAAUAUAUUGCGCCACAUCUUUAGAAUCAAUGGUUGAUUUUAGCACUUCGAAGCUUCGAACAAGAAACGUUCAAGCAAUCUCGACGGAGGUAUUGGAAAAAGGUGCCACCAUGUCCAUGCACAAGCACACAACAAUGCCGGGACUGAAGAAGUUGGCAGGUGUCAAAGUCGUUUUGUGUCAUAAGCAGAACUAUCCCUAUGCUGUGUUUUACUGCCAUGUAAUAAAACCAACAGCAGCUUAUGUUCUCUCCCUGAAAGGCGAUGAUGGGGUGAAAGUUAAAGCAGUAGCCAUCUGCCAUCUAGACACAUCAGAAUGGAACCCAAAGCAUUUGGCCUUCCAAAUCCUCAAAGUUAAGCCCGGAACAAUUCCCAUCUGCCAUUUCCUUCCCACUGAUCAUAUUGUCUGGGUUCCGAACCACAAAUCUGCAUGAUCAUCACUUAGCACUGUACGUAUAAUAACCUUUACCCCUGUAUAAUUAUCUCCCUACUCUACUUAUUUCUGCCUCUUCAUGUGGUGUAAGAUAUAUGAUGAGAUGAAGUUUUUGGGAUUAGUGGUCGGGUUGCCUUAAAAACACAGAUUACAGAAACUGCUUGAACUUAACCCGAUCAUGUUUUCUCUUGUACUCGUAAAGCAUGCUGUUGUGGUUCUACUUAAUUUCGUCCUCCCCAAUGUUUGAGUGUUUAAUUGUUACGUUGGAAUAGGCUGCUAAUGCAUGUAGUUAGAGAAGCUUUCAUUUAUAUCAAAGUCCUCAAACUAUCAAGAAUUAAUGCAUCCAGAAACAUAUAUACCAAGACGCAAAACAACAUAUUUUCCAUGCUGUGUCGGUAACACCAAAGCAAACUUCCUUUAUCACAAAAGGACCAAAUUCCAAUACUAAUCUAAUCCAUCAUGUAAAGCAUACAAUCUACAACUGCCUCCCUAAAUUUGUCCAUUGGAUAUAUAUGUCACUUUUUGGUAAUUUGGUAUAGCAGCACCACGUAGUAUGCAUUUAACAGAAAAGUAAACAAAAUUGACAGUAGAACUAUUUGUCCUAACGAAACUGAAGUUGAAAGACCAUGAGAACGAUUUUGAAAAUUAAGGGACUCAAAUGAAAAUUGGGUCUAAGUUCAGGGACCAAUAAAACGAUUAACCCAUAGAUUUUGGAUCCAGUACCACAUCCCAAAGAGAAAACCACAAGUUUGCAAGCAAGUUUGUCCAUACUAACACUACGUACAGUAUGGGCAAUGUGCUAGACUCAUCUCACUUUCUCAACCUAUCCUAUACUUGUCUAAAAGAGUUUCUAAUUUAAUGUACUGAGAUUUACGAAAGAAAUAUCAGAGAAACAAUUUUCAGGCAAUAAAAAAAUGUCUUGGCAAGAAAAUGCACAAUUUGUUACAUAACUUAUUAAAUAUGAACAGUUGAAAGAAAAAAGAAUUUGGAUGAGGGAUUUGCAAAUUCCUAUGGCCCAAUUACCUUUUUUUCUUUGUUUUUUUUUGGUUCUUUUGAUCCAGUAGCAUAUUCCAAAGAAUGAAAACCACAGGCAUGCAAUGCAAGCUCUUUUCCCAUGUUUUCCUCUGUUUUUCUCCUAUCAUGGAAGUGAUUAAAACACACCUCUAAGCUUGUUUUGCGUUUGGUAGCCGAGUGUAAAAGCUCAAUGCAAGAUAGUUUGAGGUAGAAUUUUCUCCUGUUUUAUUAGGACAAUGAUGAGCUAUAUGUGACAACAAAUUGCUUUAAUAAUGAAAAUUAAAAAAGUGUGAUUCAUUGAAUAUUUGCGGGGUUUUGUUCAGAGCUGACAAAGUUCUAAGUCAACACAUCAAAUUCCUUUUUCCAACAAUCGUAUUUGAUUCACAAUUUUGUCUGAUAUACAUCACAUCAUGACACUUGCAUCAAAUGAAUUUAAUUGAGUGAGGCAAUGGGAAGUAAUUAAGCUCUAUAUUGGUGGGUGGAGUGUUACUUCUGGAAUCCUAAUCAUUCGUCCCUACAGGACUCUAGAACUCUCACACUUCUUACAAGGACUACUUAACUCUAUAGCUUAUUGCAUAUAGCAUAUAUAUGCAAACCCAAUUAGAAAUUCUACAACAGAAGCAAGAUCAAUCUCACUAUGCCUUCUAAACAAACAAACAAAUAAAACAAGCAUAUUAAUUGCUUUAAUCACUCUACUAACAUCAACACAGCACACUUAGUUUACUAACAGAUGAUAUAGAAAGGAAAAAAAAGGACCAAUAGGGAGAAAAUGGUGAACUAAGGAGAGACUAAUACUUCUGGUCCUUAGAAGGCAUAACAGAAAUAAUAGAGCACACUGCUUGAAUGCAAGUCAGUAUUAGGAGCAAAACAGCUGCAAUGAAAGAAAUAGUUGCCCAAGGUGUAUUGAAAUAAUGUUGCCUCAAAUUUGCCUUCCAUUUGUUCCAAGGCUUUCUGCAGUAGCUAUUAAGGCGCUCAGAAAGAGUAGCAAAGUAGAAGCUUUCACGAUACACUGCAAUUCCUUUUCCGAGGUUGUUAAUCAGAGUGCACACCUCAUUGUAGUCACCAAGCAUAUUUUUGACAAUCCCAUACUUCAGAAGGAACUCCACAUCCUUUUCGGUGUUCACAAACUCAUCCAUGAGUGAAACAUAAUCACUUAUGUAAUUCUUACGGCAAUGGCACUAUUCAAAGGCAAUGAGGUUAUGGAGUGUGAGCUCUGUGUAAUCGUUUAUUUUUAGUUUUGGAAUUUCUAGAAUCCCAUCGUUGAAUCGUGUUAACGCAGCUUUCCUUUCCUAGCCUACGCGGAAGUCAACUUCACAAUCUCCUCCUAGCAAUUAGCCUUUCCUACUGUAAAUCGGAUUGUAUUCAUGUCUAUAUUAUUUCCUACCUUAAAUAGAUAUCCUGUACUAGUAUACAUAGGGACUUUGUGUAAUCUGUUAAAUACAAGGAAAUAUAUACUCUACAUGGUAUCAACCUAACCUAGGGUUCUCUCUCUCCCCCUUAUUCGAUCCUCUUCUCCUUUAGGUCCACCUCAUGGCUUCGUUUGAAUCCACCAUCUCCCUCCCAAGCCCUAACUCUUCUCAUUUUAUCAAGCUUACUAACUCCAACUAUCUUCUUUGGCUCCGCCAACUCAAACCCUUUUAGUUGGCCAUGACCUCUGGAAAUUUAUCGAUGGCAUUCAUAAACAACCUUCUGCCCACACCUCCACCUCUACCACCACAACACCCACAACCACCACCACUCUUACCGAAAUCAAUCCUACCUAUGCUCAGUGGUACCAACAAGACCAACUCAUUGUUAGCUACAUCACCAGUACACUCUCUGAGUCCAUUUUCUCUCUCACUGUCGGUUGCAUCUCUGCCCGGGAUCUCUGGGAGUGUCUCCAAUGCCACUUCUCUUAAUCCAAUAUGGCCAGUGAAUCUGCUCUUCGUUUUCAACUCAUGGAUUUGCAAAAAGGCUCUCAACCCAUUGAUGCUUACCUUCGUCAUGCUAAGUCUCUUGCCGAUUCACUAGCUGCCAUCAAUUAACCUGUCUCCCCAAAAGAACUUGUCACUGCUGUGCUUCGGGGUUUAGGACCCGAUCACAAAAUGCUCAUCACAGCAAUUCUCAAUUUCUCUCCGCUUCCAGACUUUGCUGAUCUUCGUGCUCGUUUGUUAGCUUUUGAUGCACAGACUCCUCGAAUCUUUCCUGAUCAAAACACAACGCUAAUGGCCACCCAAUCUUCUCCUUACACCACCGGUCAUACUUCCUUCCCUUCUCACCGUGGUUGUGGCUCUUCCAGCAAUAGGCGCGGUGGCUGGUGCAGUAUUGGCCGUGGUGGCUGGCACAACUUCUCAUCUUCCUAGAGCAACCCGUGGAAUGGCUUCCAGCAGCCCUAAUGACCUAAUCAACUGUGGCCUCCUUUUGCUCUAAGUUUUGGAUCUCAAAGCAACUGGCCUUCCUUUCAACCUCUUUGGGCCCAAUCUGCCGCUUCUAGCAAACACUCUGCCCGACCCAACUCAGCUCCUGGUGUCUUGGGACCCGCUUGGUGCACCACAUGCAAUACCAAUCGACAUACUACUACAACAUGUCCUUAUUGCUACAAUGGCCCAGAAUUCUUCCUUUGCUGGGGCUCAAUUCAUGCAGCCACCUAACUCUACAUGGUACCCUGACACAAGUGCCACUCAUCAUAUGACUGGUAGUUCUUCUAAUCUCCAAAGGAAAUUAAAUGAAGGAGUCCUACGAAGGCUCAAGGCUCGAAAGCACACGAUCCGGCUCUGCUGCGGAGCUCACUCAACUACUGGCUGAGGGGGCGCAAAACAGAAAAUUGUGAGUGGACAAAAAUAAAAAUUCAGUUCAGUGUAAACCAACGUAAUAUAACCCCACCGUUUAGAAAACCAUGCAAGAAAUCCAAAUGCAUCUCAAAACCAUCAUAAUCAUCAAAUCAAAAUCAAAUACUGGAUGCCAAGUCCGAAAUCCAUAAAGAAAGCUUUACAAACCCACCAUCCAAAUCUUACAAUCCCACAACUAAACUCUCGAAAGCGUACCCAUUGGCAGUACCAGCAAGGAAGUAUCCUCACCGAGAAACAAGAACAAAAGAAUAGCUAUAUAUAUAAUUAUAUAAUAUAACCACACCUAGUUGUACCGGGAAAACAAUCCAACCGGGGGAUUGUUUGACUAGUCACCAUGGCAGAGUCAAAGUAAACAAAUUCCUCAAUUCACCAUGUGACUAGGGAACGAGCUGUCCAACUGGGGGACCAACUCUCAGCCAGCAUGUACCGUCGAUAGCCUCAAAACCCGUACGUCUGUGACCAGUCCUACGCGUGCAGACUACCCAAUCAAGGGUUUACAGCAACAUCCCAUCAAGGAUGCCCUAGGUUCCCACAAUUCCAAGUAUCUCAAGUUUGCGUAUCCAAGUUCCAAAUCCGGGGAGGUACAUAGGGUAGUGCUUAUAGCACUCCAAAUUGACAUUCUAUACUCAUCACUUUCCACAAUCUCAUCUCAACAACCUAAGUACCCCACACAUAGCCAAACAUAUAUAGAAAUUCUCAAAAUCCAUAUAUACAUACUCAAGAUACUCAAAUAUGUCAAAAUCCAAAAUAUAUUUCCAAUGCAUCAUAAAAAUAUCACUUUUAACAAUUGAAUAAAUAAUAUAUAUCCAAUAUACCAAUUAAAACAUCAUGCAUAAUAUUUCCCAUCAUAAAAUCAUGCAUAAGAUUUGAAAACAAAGUCCACUCACAAGUAGUCCCACACUGCUUGACCUUGAGAGGGUCCCGCCUACUGCGUAUGCGUGGUUGGAGUACCUAUUUCAGAAUACGUAUACGAGAUUAAUAAGAAGCGUUUCGAACGAGAACUUUGAAUUAAAUAUCCUAAUUUCCCAGGUUUCUAGUAAGUGUACUAGGAACGAGACGUUCUAAGGUUCCACUACCCAAUUCGAACCAUGGAAGAGCUUCGGGAGACACUCGGUCAACCGGCGGUCAAAUUCCCAAAUCGGGUCAACUGGCCCACGGGACCCACGACCUCCGUUUUUAAAAUCCGUAAGUUCCUAAAGGUUUCACAAUGUCUAAGAUACUACUAUCACAAGUUUGGUCCGAAACGGACUGUUAGAUCGCUUACGAUCGCACGAUCAGACGGUUAUUGUAAAACGUAAACUUUAAGUUAUUGAAUCAGAACAUCCGGGGCUCCGAUUCACGAUCCGCGAAUUCCUACACGAUCCUAGGAAGGUCUAGAGUAACAUAUAUUGGAAUGGAGUCGAUCCAAAGGUCCGAACAUAUCGAACCUAGACCGGAUAACUCCUAAUAUGUGAGAUUCGUUCGGGGUUCGAACAUCAACCAAAUUGGAAUCCUAAGGUACCUACGUGCUCGUGACAUUAAGGGGAUCAAUUGGGACAAAAAUGCCCCUCUGCUACAGUGCCCACGUGCCACCACACGCGGCGGUAGAGAGUGGGUGUCCAAAGCGAUUUCUCUUCGCCGGAAAAUCUCCAAAUUACAAGCCACUCUCCUGGCUACAGGUUCUACUCAACGAGUGGAACACUUUAUUCAACUACAGCCAAGUCCAAUUCGGACGGCAAGUGGCCGGAAACUCACGGUUUAACCCGGAACUUCAUGGCUUGGAUUGGGCGACCAUCGUCACCAUUGUCGUGGCACAACCUAGGAAAUAGCUAAAAGGAGAGGAGGGCUACCUAUUCCAAGCGAUGGCGCAGCUCGCGGUAGCCGAAAAUGUAGCCGAUGACGUUGGCAGUUUUGGCCGGUUUUUCACGUCGUUGCCAUCGCCGUUUGUCGAGUUUUCGAUUGGAGAAAAGGGGUGGGGUGAGUAGAGGAGGAAGAGAGGAAGCUUUUGCAAGAAAUGACACUUGUCAGGGAGGGGGGGGUUGGGGGAAGAGAGAGAGAGAGAGAGAGAGAGAGAGAGAAAAAAAAAAAAUUUCAGAUUUUCAUCCAAACCCUUUUCGAAAUAUUUACAAGUUUGCCACUAAACUACUUUUGGUUGCCAAAUCUUCGUUAUAACUCCGAUUCAAGCCUACCACGUGUCUACGGAUUCGUCUCAAUACAACCUACCCAAAAAUACCAGUCACUGCCCCAAACUCUUUUUGGGUAAGAAAAUGACCAAAAUACCCCUACCCCAAGGGUAAAUUCAUAAUUUCACUUCAAUAAUUUAAUAAAGAAUUAAAUUUGGAGUCGGGGUGUUACAUUAACUACCUGUUUAGUAGGUGUGGGGUUUUAUACAAAAAGCAUCGAUGUUAUUGGGAGUGGAACCACUUAUUAUAAGUUGUGAUUUAUUUAGUCAAGUUUCCUAUGUGGGAUUUUCUAUUCUUCAACAAGCCCCCUCAUGUGGGACCACCACAUAGUGGGCCACAUGUAAAGCUAAGUCCACAUCGGAGUCAAUCAUUCAAGCCCAAUACCUAAACACCACGUAUUGUGUGAGGGGUAGGGGUAAACAUUCAAGCCCAACAUGUGAACCACCAAAUAUUAAGUAAGGGUAAAGGCUCAAUUCAGGCCCAAUCAAUGAACCCAUUAUGAUAUCAUGUUAAAUUUCAGAUAGACGGGACUGUGGCCCACCACUAGCAACAUUGAUAUUGUCCCCAACUUAACUACAUGUUUAGUAGGUGUGGAGUUCUAUACAUAAGGUCUCGAUGUUUUUAGGAGUGGAACCACUUAUUAUAAGUUAUAAUUUAUUUAGUCAAGUUUCCAGUCAACCUGACUUUGAUACCAUGUUAAGAUUUUAAAGGGACGAACUCUUGGCACUAUUAGUAACAUCGACAUUGUCCCCAACUUAACCACCUGUUUAGCAAGUGUGGGGUUUUAUCCUAAAGGCCUCGAUCUUAUUAAGAGUUGAGUCAUUUAUUAUAUGGAACUUUCUAUUUUGUUAACUCUGUGUAUUCUUCAUCAAUGUGAACACCCCUAAACCAAUCAUACCUGAUACGAAUUGAAACACAAGUUUGUUUUUUGCCUUUGGUAGAUGAGUAGCUAGAAAAGCUCAAUGCACUUGCUCUUCUGCUACAUUUCAAUAUAAGAACAAGGUUUGGAAGUCAGGUCAACUCCUCAUAGCUUCCUUGCCUUUGCUUUGACAUGUCUAUGCACUUCUUGGGGAAGUUUGAAUAAUCCAUUGCAGGCCCCAUGACAACUAAGGAACCAACAUUUUGUAGAAGGUUUUGUCUAUACCUUUUGACUAUAAGUAAAAUCUUUUGUAUCUGCUCUUAUGUUUCGGUGAAGUUUCUAUGUGUCCUUUGUGCCGAGUUUCUAUGCGUCCUUUGUUGAACCAAAAAAUGAGGUUGUUUCUUACUAGAUUCAAAUACUUAAAAGAAAAAAAGAAAUUGUUGUUUCUUAAUGGAUUUUAUGAUGAACAAUAUCAAACUCUCCUCUUAUACGUCUGUUGGUAAAUUUUAACAACAAUAUUAAAACCUUGCAAGUGCACAAAUCAAAUGAUAGUAUAGUAAGCAAGCAAGGGUCGAUCCCACGGAGAUUGUGAUCUAAAGAGAUGUUUAUCAAUGUCACGCAAUGAAAAUCAAAACAAAGGACUUCCAAACACACGCCAACACCAAGGGGGGUUUUGAUUUGUUUUUGUGAAUCAAACAAAAUAAGGAAAAGGAAACAAAAGAGAAUUUAAAUUAGAGUUUAAGAGAAAUUGGUUUAAAAUCAAUCAAGAUCAAUAGCUAGGACUUACUAUCCACCUCCAAACAAUCAAUCAAUCCAUAAACAACAAUAGAUAAUCAAUUUCUAGUAAGCACACUACUACAAAAAAGCAAAAAGACGACGGUAAAUCACCGUCGUGUAUUCGGUUUUUCAAUGGUCGUGGAAUCCACCGUCAUCUUUUCCCUCAUAAACCACGACGCUAAAUCACCGUCGUUGUUACAAUAUACAACGUCAUCAACAAAUACAAAACGACGUCUUUGUACUGCAAAAAGAUCUAAAAAAGCAAUCGAUGAUGAGAAAAGACGACCAACUCUCUAAACAAACCGUCGUUAAAAAGAAAAAAUAUGACACAUAUUAACAGAACAUGGCCGCAAGAUAGACAUACAACGACGAAAAUUAAAAUAAGACGCCGUUAAAUAUCAUUUUCACGACAAUAAAAAAUAUGUCGUCUUUAAAUACAUUAGAAGACGACGUUAUUGAUACCUACUACGUCGCCUAUAUAAAAAUAACCGUCGUAAAAUAAAUUUUCCACUUCGAUUUUUCUAUAAAAGAUGACGUGGAAAUAGUUGUCAGUGUCAUUAUUUACGACGUAUGUAUUUAUAGAGUAGACGUUGAACAACGAAACAACGUCGGUUACAAAUAUAUGAGAGUCGUAUUACAAAAUUUAUACGUCCUAUUUUCAGAAACAAACAACGACGAUAAAUAUUAGACGUUGUUAAAUAAAACAACGUCGAAAACAAAUAAAAACAGACGUGUUUAGUCUGCUAAAGUUCUAAAAAAUAGUCGAGGAUGAGAAUAGACGACCAACUCAAACAAAUCACCGUCGUUAAAAAGGAAAAAUAUGACACAUAUUAAAAGAACAAGGCCGCAAGAUAGACAUACAACGACGACAACUAAAACACUACGCCGUCAAAUAUAAUUUUCACGACAAGAAAAAAUAUGACGUCUUUAAAUACAUGAGAAGACGACGUUAUUGAAAUAUACUACGUUUCUUAUUUACAAACAACCGUCGUGAAAUAAAUUUUCCACUUCGAUUUUUCUAAAAAAGAUGAUGUGGAAAUAGUUGUCAGUGUCAUUAUUUACGACGUAUGUAUUUAUAUAGUUGACGUUGAAAUGCGAAACAACGUCGGUGGCAUUUAUAUAGUCGACGUUGUAUUUAUAUGUAUUCAUUACUCACGACGCACUUAUUAAUAUAGACGACGUUGAACUUCUAAACAACGUCGGUUCCAAAUAAAUGAGAGCCGUAUUACAGAAAAUAUAGAUGGCGUUGAUUAUGAUGAGAGCCGUAUUACAAAUAACGUCGUUUAAUUGAUAUUAGACGGCGGUUAUAAUGAAUUACCGUCGGAAUUCAUUUCGUUCCUCUUCGUUUAUAAAAGAACUUGCGACGUGGAAAAUGUAUGAUGACGUCGUAUUUUUUAACGUUCAGAUUAUAUAUCUCGUUUUUUAGACGUCGGUAUUAUGGGAUUGGAGUCGUGUUAUUUUGAAUUACAUGGCGGUUCUUAAUCCUUCCCCGACGUGAUAUCCUGAAUAAUUGCUUCAUAAUAGCGUCGUGGUUCUUCAUUGUUACGUUGCUUUAAGACGUCGGUAAAUAUGCUGAAUAACUGGUUCACAAUAACGUCGUGUUUUAUUUGAACGUAGAAAGUGAAGAAAUCACAUUACAAUAUAUUACAAAAUUAAUGUCAUACACUGCCAAUUACAUAAGCAUCAUUCAAUCCAUAUAUCUUCACACCCAUCUCGAAUAUUUUGACCGCCUAACUCACCCACCAGUUCAUCAAAUGUGUCAACAUUUGGCAUCCCUCUAGUAAAUGGCUCACACUCAAUUAUCACAUCACCUAAGACUUCAUCACCAAUAACAUUAUUAUAUUCUCUAUUAGGCAUUGAUAACACUACCGACCAACCACGAUGCAUCGGGUCGUCAACAAAAAAUAUUUGUUUGACUUGAGAAGCCAAAACAAAUUGGUCAUUCCUAUGUCCAAUUUUACUCAAAUCUACAAGGGUAAAUCCAAGUUCGUCGACUACAAGACCAGAACUAUCUAUCCAAUCACACCUAAAGACUGGGAUUGUAAACUUUUGGUAGUCAAGGUCCCAAAUUUCUUGAAUGACACCAUAGAAACCCAUAUUUGAGAGAAUUGAGUUUUUAUCCUUGGCACUAGCAACUUGCAUGGUAUGUGCAAGUAAAUAAACUCCACUAUUUUGAGUUGUCCGCACAUCAUCUUGUGCCUUGAUAUUGAAUUUAAUACCUUUAAUAAGAUAGCUCCUAUAUAAUGGCACAGCCAUGUUUGGACCAGCUGCUAGCCACCUUAAAUUUUCUGAUACGCCAUGAUUGUCUUCCUCAAGUUCACUUUGAACCUGCAAAUUAAUCAUAUAUCUUAAUGCAAUCUAACAUAGAAAUAAGAAGAAAAUUAAAAGAGAAAUAUGUUAUUCAACAACAUAUACCUUGAAGCGUAGCCAUUGAAUGAAAGUGUUAUUGUGCUUAUCCUGCAGCCACUUUGUGAUUUAAGGUAUGACAAUCAUGUGAUUUAAGGCCAAGAAGUCUUGAAUCUUGUAAAGAUACAAGAUUUUUAAUAUUUGAAGAAUAACCUUCAGGGACCUUCAUACCAUAGAAAGAAUUGCAAACCUCUCUCUUCUCUGCUCUUGACAAAUUCCAAGGCCCAGGAGGCAAACGAGUACGUCUUUCUCCAUACUCGGGUUGCAAAUCAGUUUUGACCCCCAUGUUCAAUAAAUCUAAUCGAGCAGCAAUCCCAUCUUUAUUUUUUCCAGGGAUCUCCAGCAAUGUACCAAUGAUACUAUCGCAAACAUUCUUCUCAAUGUGCAUAACAUCUAGGGCAUGCCUCACAGGAAGGUAUUUCCAAUACUCGAGAUCAAAGAAUAUUGAUUUCUUCUUCCAACAAACUCUGUCACCAUUUUCAACCAUGUGCAGCACUUCUUCUCCGGUUAAUGGCUCGGGAGGUAUGCCAUAUUCAGGUUUCCCAUUAAAAGCUGCACGUUGCCUCCUAUAUGGAUGAUUGAUUGGUAACCAUUUUCUAUGCCCAAUGUAACAAAUUUUGUGGCCAUUUUCAACCUGUGACUAGGUGUAUCAUCGCCGCAUAUUGGACAAGCUUUAUAUCCUUUAACAACACAACCAGAUAAGUUUCCAUAGGCGGGGAAAUCAUUAAUUGUCCACAUUAAUGCAGCUCUGAGUGUAAAGUAUUCUCCAUUAUGUGCAUCAUACACUCCUCUAAUCCCAUCCCACAAAGAUUUUAAAUCAUCAAUCAAAGGCUCCAAGUAGACGUCUAUAUCAUUUUCGGGUUGUUUAGGACCGGAAAUCAAUAAGGUUAACAUCAUGAACUUUCGUUUCAUGCACAGCCAUGGAGGGAGAUUAUAUGUAACUAAGAUAACCGGCCAACAACUAUAUCUGCUACUUAGAGAACUGUGGGGAUUGAAUCCAUCAGAUGAAAGAGCCAAUCUCAAGUUUCUCGGCUCAUUACCAAACUCAGGCCAUUUAUCAUCAAGAAGUUUCCAAGACGGGGAAUCCGCCGGAUGAGACAUCUGACCGUCAAUUGAUUUUCUAGCAGCAUGCCAAGUCAAACUCUUAGCUGUCUCAUGUGAUUGAAACAUCCUUUUAAACCUUGGAAUUGGAGGAAAAUACCACACCACCUUCGCUGGCACAUCCUCUUUCAAGAUUGAAUCUUUGCCUUCCUUCCACCUUGAGAUACCACAAGUAGGACAAUUAGUUGAAUCCUCAUACUCCUUCCUAUACAAGAUGCAAUCAUUGGGGCAUGCGUGCAUUUUCUCAUAACUCAGCCCCAAUGCACACAAAGUCUUUUUUGCCUCAUACAUAGAGGUUGGUAUUGUAUUUCCUUCUGGAAGCAAAUCGCCUUGAAGUAUCAAUAAUUCUGUAAAACAGACAUCACUCAUCCCAUGUUUUGCCUUCAAAUUAUACAACUUCACUAAUGCCGAUAACUUCGUGUACUUUCUACAACCAGGGUACACUGGUUGAUCUCCAUCCCCAAUCACAUUGGCAAACUCAUACGGAUCGGAACCAAAAUCACCAAAAUCAUUAUCAUCCAUAUCAAUUUCUUCAGACACAAAACUGUACCUACUAUGGCCAUCAUCUUCUUCAACAUUUCUACUAGCAUUAGUAGUUGCUUCCCAAGGUUCUCCGUGAAAUGUCCAAUUCUUAUAGCUUUGGUCAAUUCCAUUAAAGUAUAAGUGAUCCCUUAUAAUUCCAACCCCAAACAACUUCAAAUUAACACAUUUAACACAUGGACAACGGAUAUGUGUUGUAGUUAGAAGAUUUUCUACAGCAAAGUUCAAAAAUGCUUCCACCCCAAACUCAUAUGCCUUCGAUCUUCUAUCCGAGUGCAUCCAUGACUUAUUCAUCUCCGACACUAUAACCUAUUAUCUAUAAUAAAGUGAAAAUACAGGCAAUGACCAUCACUAUAGCAGAUUAUACAAAGAUCUAAUAGCAAGUAAUACAUAACAGAGACGACGGGUUUUAAACAAAAACAGACGUAUUUGGCAUAUAUAGACGACGGAUUUUCAACAGACGUCGUCUAAUAUAAGUAAUACAAACGACGGUUUAUGAAAAAACCGUCGUGUAUAAGUAAUACAACGACGGUUUUUUCAUAAACCGUCGUGUAAUCGUCGUCGUAUGCCUAAAAAGGCGUCGUGUCUCAGUUUAUUUUCAAGAACCCAAAACCCAUUAAGAACACAACAUAUAUAUGAAACCAAGCAAGAAACCAACAUAUACAUGAAGCCAAGCAUGAAAACAAUAAAUCCAUUCCCAAUUCAACAUAACAUAGGGUGAUUAAAAGAUCCGACAAAAUUAAAACCAUUCCCAAUUCAACAUAACAGAUAAUGUAAUCCAUGAACCCAUUAAACAGAAAAUCCAUGAACCUAUACCUAUAAGCACAUUAUUAACAGAUCGCAAAGCAUAUACCUAAAACCCUUUAACAAAACAACCUAAUAUCAUUCAAUGAAUUUACAAAGGGAAGAUAGGGUUUGUACUUACAGGUUGGACGAGCUCACAGAUUCGACGAAGCCUGGAGAGUGCAACUUUUAAUUAGAGCAGAAGUGAGAGAGCGAAUGUUAUGUUGCGCGAAAUCUGAAAAUUUUAGGGUUCAGGGUUAGAAGUAUAAGAAUAAGAGCCAAAUAUAAAAAAAUUUAGGGCGCGCGAAAAUUUUUAGAGCGCGCGCUCUUUAAAACGUCGAAAGAAAAACCAUGGCGAAAGUUCUACAAGAACCGACGUAAAUGUAAUAUUCCACGACGAAAACACUUAACGUAACGCCGUUUAUUUUGACGUUCAUUUUUCGGAUUAAUUUUAAAUUUAUUUUGAAUAUUUUGAUAUAAAGACGACUGAAAAACCACGUCGAAGUUAAGAAAUUGAAAACGUUGUAAAUUAUAAUAGACGACUUACAUAUUAAAAUGACGUCGUUUAAAGUGGAAACCAUGUCGGAUAUUUUACUGCACGACGUAACAUAUGUAUUCCACGACUCAACCACCGUCGUUAACAAUUAAUACCCUAAACCCUUAAAACUAAAUUAUAUAAUUUUAAAAAUUAAGUUUAUAAAAGGGUUUAUGGUUUUACAGCCUAAUAUAUACCCUAUACUACCCAAAAAUUAUACUUUAAAAAUAAACCCCAAUAAAUAACAACCCUAAUCUCUAAACCCUAGACUCUAAACCCUAAACCAUAAAACUAGAAGUGAUUUUAUGACUCAUCAAAACAAUUUUGUUUUGGAUGGUCAUUUUAAAUUUUUUUUAUUCAAAAUGAAUUUUUUCAAGGUUUAGGGGGAAGAAAAUAUAUCAAUGACUUCAUAGGAGUUGACUUUUCAUUUUUCUGAUUUAUUUUAAAUUUAUUUUGAAUAUUUUGAUAUAAAAAUAAUAAAAUAUUCUUAUCACAAUAACAAACCACGUCGGUGUUAAUAAAUUUUAGACGUUGUAAAUUGUAAUAGACGACUAAGUUGUUAAAAUGACGUCGUUUAAAUGAGAAACCAUGGCGGAUAUUUAACUAUCCGACAUAAAAUAUAUAUUCCACGACUUAACCGCUGUCGUUACAAAGUACUACCCUGAACCCUUAAGAAAUUGAAGACGUUGUAAACCAUAAACGACUCAAUUGUUCAAAGAACGUCGUCUAAAUAUCCUUUUACGUCGGAUUUGGUUAAAACGAAACAACAAAAAACGACGGCUUUUGACUUUAUUACGUCGUUGGAAAAGUAUUACACGUCGGUUACGCAAUUUGUAUGUUUGUUUUUUUUUUUAAUUUAAGAAAACCUCAACAAAUUUUUACAUUAUAUAUUAUAGACAAAAUUUGUACAUUAUACAUAAAUAUCAAGUGUUCAAUAAUUCCCCUAUUCCAGGUGAAGGCAAACAAACUCUGACCAUUCAUUCCGGACUUCAUCAAUUGCUUCUUGGGGGUAUGGCGCUUCCUGUUUUCCCUUGGCAUACUGCAUAAACAAUGACUAUUAGGGUUUAUAAAUAAAAAGAAAUUCAAUCACAGACGACGAUAUUUUUCAUAACCGACGUACUAUAUCUAUUCAACGACGGUAAUUUUACAUGACCGUCGUUGAUAAUACAAAAAACGACGUAAAAUGUAUGAAGGUAAUUUCUUCUUACCUUCUUCUCAAACCCCAAGGAAGGAUCCAUGAUGAUGUCCCUCAUGAAGCGCAUCACAUAAUACCCGCAUUCGACAUUGCUGGGUUGCUUUGGUGUCCCUGACAGAGUUUUCCAAAUGGCUGCCUUACGGCCUGGUCUGGCUAUGUGAGAAUUAUAAAUUUUUAUAGCACUGUUCACAAUGUUUUUGGCCUCUUCAUCGACCACACGAUUUCCUGGCAGAGGAUCCAGAAAAUAGACGGUUUCUCUCUUUGCUCUUACAAUCAGCAAGAUCCAAUGACGGCUGCACAAAAUUAAUAUAAAAACGACGGUUAUUUACAAUAACGACGUAUUAUAAUGUUUCACACGACGAAAUAAAGUAGCAAUCGACGACAUUUUACAUUUAUCACGACGAUAAAUAACUACCGACGUGGUUAGUAGUUUCAAACGACUCAAUAAAAUAAAACACCGACGUGGUUAGUUUAUACGCUGUAAUUUAUUGAAAAUCAUAAAAACAAAAUCCUGUUAAGGAGACUAACCCUGGAUUGUAAGGCAUCAGGAAAAUCUGUUCACCGUCAGUCUUUUGAAGUCGAGCUGCUAGUAAGCGUGAUCUGUCAGCUAUUGUGCCAGAGUUGGCACUAACUGUAGCAAGGUCGAUAAAGCCAACCAUAUUGCACAUAUUUGCUCGUUUCAAAACAUCGUGCAAGUGCCUAAAUAUAUAAAAUAAUAUAAACAAGUCAGCACAAAAAAACACACGACGGUUAUGUAUAACAAAACGACGUAUUAUAAAAUUUCACACGACGUACUGAAAUAGACAACGACGUUAUAAUAUAUUUAUCACGACGGUAAAUACUAACGACGUGGUUAGUUAGUUAAGACGACGUAAUAAAUAAACCAACGACGUAUUAUUUUAGAAUGACAAACCUCAUAUAUACAAAAAAACACGACGGUUAUGUAUAACAAAACGACGUAUUAUAAAAUUUCACACGACAUACUGAAAUAGACAACGACGUUAUGAUAUACUAACGACGUGGUUAGUUGGUUAAGACGACGCAAUAAAUACACCAACGACGUAUUAUUUUAGAAUGACAAACCUCAUAUAUACAGCAAUGACAGUGGCUCCUAUUUCUUCCAUGCCUGCAAAUUGUGUAAUAUCUUCAGGCAGGAGGAAGGUAUCGCGCUCUAGACCAAACACCUCCUUAUCAAUUGUAAAGUGCAGGGUCUUAUCCUGAGGCACGAGUGUCGUUUCCACAUAACGACAAAGGGAGUUUAAAGAAGAUGGCGCCUCCAUAUUUGAAUAAUCAACAACUUUAAUAACCUGUUUAAAGAAAUAUAAAAAAUGACGUGGUAAUUCAAUAAAAACGACGGUUUAAGGAAUAAAACGUCGUCUGAAAAGAAUUUAAACGUCGUCUGAAGAAACCGUCGUGGUGAAUAAUUUAUUACGUCUUAAAAAAAAUUCCGCCGUCUAAGUUGUAAACAAACGACGGUUUAAAGAAAAAUAUCGACGUCUGGAAUUUUGAAAAACAAAUAAAAAAGGCAAAGUUAUGUGAACAUACCUGGUCGUCAUCUUCUUUCUCCUUUUCAUCAUGUUUUUCUUCUGUCUUCCCUUCAUCUAUUACGUCGAGAAUGACUAACUCCGUCGUCUAAAAACCACAAAGUUUUAAAAUAACGACGUUUAAUGGCGUGUAAAACAAGUAAACUAAAUACGACGUGGUAUUGAAAUACAAACGACGGUUUAUGUUUAAAAUCGUGGUGGUAUGUAUUUCAAACGACGGUUUUAUUAAUAAUAACGACAUCUAAUGGUUUUUAAAAAAACAGAGAAUUCAAA